GAAAAGUCUGGUGUUCAUGUGGAAUUUUCAGCUAGAAGUCUACAAAGCAGUGGAAUUAAUCAAUCAUCGUGGAGUGCACGGUGGUUGGACAAUGAGAUGAAAUUGAAAAAUUAUCACGGAACUUGAAGGAAGGUUCAUGGCAUCGAUUUAUUGUACAGAGUCACGCACAUUUGGUUCAAUAAUUGUUUUCAUCCCAUUAAAAUCUCUCCCUAAUCAAUCCAACUGUUUCUGUUAAUUAUGGCUUCUUCUUCUCGAAACAACAAGAAAUAUGAUGUUUUUGUUAGUUUCAGAGGAGAGGACACCGGUGACAACAUUACUAGUCAUCUCUAUUCAGCUGUCUCGACAAAAUAUCCAAACUUUCGUUGACGACCAACUUAGCAGAGGAGAUGAAAUUUCGGAGUCACUUGUGAAUGCAAUUGAAGCAUCAGCCAUUUCGGUUAUUCUUUUCUCUGAAGGGUAUGCAUCUUCCAGAUGGUGUCUCGAUAAACUUGUAAAGAUCCUCGAGGGCAAGAAGGAGUAUGCACAGAUUGUGAUUCCGGUUUUCUAUCGGGUUGAUCCAUCAGACGUGAGAAACCAAACGGGGUCUUUUGGGAUUUUAUUUUCGAAGCUUGAAGAAAGAUUAAAGGUGAAUACUGAAAAGCUGCAGAGUUGGAGAAAUGCUUUGAAGGAAGCAGCCACUUUGUCUAGCUUUCAUUCUCUUAACAUGAGGUGAAAAGUUACCUUUAAUUUCUCAUACUAAUAUUUGACAAUAAAUAAAAUUUACGCAGCACUCUUAGUUAAAUUUCCGGAUGCUAAACUACAAUUUAAAAAAUUUUUAAGCAUCAAAUUCUAGACUUCCUGACUUCCCCACUUUUGUGCUCAUAUAAAAUAAUUUUGACAGAAUUAAUAAUAAAAGCGCGAGAAUUUUACAAUAUAUAUAGCAAAAUUAGUGGUGCUCUGUAGUGUUUUAAGCAAUUUCAACCUCUCACUCAUAUACCACCAUUAAAAAAAAAAAAACUCACGCAUAUUCUUGUAACUUAAGAGUUAUCAAUUUAUUGUGAGAUUGUAGACUUAUAGUGGUAUAUAUUAAUUUUAAUAGGAAAAUUGACAAUCUACUUUAUUUCAUAUUUAAUGCAAAUUCCUCAUAUUAAUUAAUUUGAAGUUACCGCGGCUAAUUUUAUGUAUUUGCUAGGCGUGAGUCGGAACUUAUAAAUGAAGUUGUUAAUCAAGUUUUGAAGAGAUUGGAUGAAGUGUUUCGGCCGCGUGAUAACAAAAACCAGCUGGUUGGAGUGGAAUCAAAAGUUGAGGAAAUUGAAUCUCUACUAAGUGUUGGGUCGAAAUGAAGGACAACAUUUGUCCAUGAGGUUCCUAAAAUCGCAACUUUUGUGCAGUAAAAUUUAAACGGAUGGCGGAAGCUCUAGAAACCUCGGAUCGGAUUCAUUCAAAAACGAAAAUCAAGAGGAAAGAUUGAAGUUUAAUAACCUCACUUGUAGUUUCAAAAACGACUUCGUGAAGUAGGAGAAAAUGACUGAAAACAGCAAGCUACGAACACUGUCCAGAAAAUAGAGCUCUGCACGAACAGCUUCUGUUUUGCCACGAUCUGAGAUCCUUAAAGCACCCAAUUGUGAUGCCUCUAAUUAGUCCACACUUAGAAAUGUUCUAGGAGUUCAUUGGAUUUGGAAUCUCGAAAUUUCGUUUAGAAAUGAGAGAGAUAAUGAAGAAACAUGAAUGCUAGUUCAUGAUGAUUCAUUCCACCAAAUAAAGCCACCAUUAUCUCCAAUAAUGGCACCAAACAUUAUCAUGUGCUAGACCCACCCACUUAGCCAUUAUUUAUUGAAAGUGAUCUUAUCACUUCAAUAAAUUAUUUAAUCAAAUAAAUAAAUAGCUAAAUUAAUUAAUUUCGUAAUUAAUUAAUUAAUCCCAUUUUGAUCAAAUCAAAUGGUUGAAUGUGGGCUUCUUUUGUGACAUGUUCUAAUGCUUUCUCUUAAUUCAUAUUAGAUCCAAUAAAAGCCCAAAAUUCUAAACCCAAAAUUGGUCUAGAAGUCCAUAAUCAUAUAUGAACCGGAACAUGUCCAAAAUGGUCAUUUUACGUGCUCGAUAUUACAUAAUGUUUAAUUGAGGAUUUUCAAAAUUUAUUUUGUUCCUUAAACUAUUUAUGGAACAUCUAAAUUUCUAUCUUAAAUCAUAUUUAAGAUAUAUUUAUAUAUAUAUUCAUUCUUAAUGAAUUAUAAUAUAAAUAUUGAUUUUCCUAAAAUUAGGAAAUUUAACUUCUCAUUUUCUAGUAACUCCUUUUUCAUUUCUAUUUGGUGUGUGACCUUUUAGGUUCUUAGUUAUAAGGUAGUAGAACUAUUUUAAUGAUAACUCUUUAUUCAUUAAAUGAUGCUAAACUCUUUAGUCAUCAAUUAGAACUUUUCUAAUGACCUUAAGAUGCAUUGCUAAUACGCUUUACCAAUAUUAAUCUUAAGGUUUCUACAAGUCAUGAGUGACACCUAACAGUAUAUCACAACUAUCCAAAUAACAAGAAUUGUUGGAUCUAUAGAACCUAUUCCAUUGUAUCUCUAUGUCUUGGUCUCUUCAUCAUCCAUGUCCAGAGAAAAGCACGGCUUAUGGUUUAUUAUGUUAAGCAGUUAUGCUUUAUCUCAAAAUAAAUCUAAAUGAACUUGACAUGAAAAUAUAAUUUGAACUCCUUCAAAUAUAUUUCACCUUGGCCAAGGAUUUCUCAUGCCAAUUCAUAUUAUCUCAUAGGGACAUCCUUUUUGUAUAUUACAAAGUGAUGAAUUCCAUAUUGGCCAUACACUUGUCUUCAUACAUAGCCAACCAUGCAGCUAUUGCUAGAUCUCUUCCGUGAUUAGGAAUCAAUCAUUAUACUUUCACAUAUCAGAGAUGUCUAUGUAUAAGACAUCUGUUAUGCCUCAGGUCUAAAGACCAUUACUAAACAUAGUGUCUAUUACAAUGUAUAAUAAGCCAUUAACACUUAAAACCAUAUGGCUUACUAUAUUUGGUCAAGUUAAGUAAACUCAUUCUCUCAACAAGUACCUAUGUGUUUGACUUGACAUCUCAUGUCAAUGAUAUGAAACUCACCAUCCAUUUUAGUAUCACAUACCAUAAGGAGUCAUAACACAUACUAGUGUUUAUAGGAAUUUACAAUGUCCAAUCAUAAAUCCACCACUAGGAACUAUUUUAGAAGUAUAGUACAAAGGAUGCAUGUUUCAUUCUCGACAAACUCGAGAAUGUGCUCCUUAACUAUUUUACUUCUUGGACUAUAUUCAUUAAAUUAAUUUAUGAAUGUUGAUAACUUUGCCAUUUCAUAAAUAUCAAAAUGCUAUUCAAAUACAAUAAUACCCUAAACAAACAAUCACCAUUCGAUUGGCCUUUAGGGCAUAUUACUAACACGAAAGAUGUGUACGCUUUAGGGAUUUGGGGCAUUGGUGGUAUGGCAAAACAACAAUCGCUAGAGCUACUUUCGACAAAAUCGCUAGAUAUUUUGAUGGUUCUUGCUUCCUUGAAAAUGUUAGAGGAGAGUCACAAAGACCGGGAGGAUUAGCUUGCUUGCGACAAAAACUUCUUUCAAAUUUAUUGAAGGAUGAAAAUGCGAUUCCUGGUAUUGACCUCAAUUUUAGAAGGCUCAGCCACAUGAAGGUUCUGAUUGUUUUUGAUGAUGUGACAUGCUUGAGCCAAUUAGAAUCUAUAAUUGGUAGUCUUGAUUGGUUGAUGCCUGUGAGUCGAAUCCUAAUAACCACUAGAAAUAAACAAGUGCUUAGAAAUUGGGGGGGGGGGGGGGUGAGGAAAAUAUAUGAGAUGGAGGCAUGAGAAUAUCAUCACGCUCUUGAGCUUUUUAGUCGACAUGCCUUCAAACAAAACCAUCCUGAUGUUGGUUAUGAGGAACUUUCAAGUAAGGCAAUGAAAUAUGCUCAAGGUUAGCUCUUAAAGUUUUGGGCUGCUUUCUAUAUGAAAGGGAAAAAGAAGUCUGGGAAAGUGCAAUAAAUAAAUUGCAAAGAAUCCUCCAUCCAAGUAUUCUAUAGAGGUAUUAAAAAUAAGUUAUGAUGGUUUGGGCAAUAAAGAGAAAAAUAUUUUCCUUGAUGUUGCUUGUUUCUUUCAAGGUGAGGAUGUAAAUCUAGUAAUGAAGUUUCUUAAUGCAAGCAUUUACAAACUUGAUAUGGAUAUAUUUAUAUACUCUCGAAUUGAUGAAUCUAGAAUUAAUAGAAGAGUGACAAUGAUUAGAAAAAACAAUAGUGGUUAUAUAUGCCGUGACAACUUGUACAACCCUUGGUAAGCAUAGUUUAUUUUUGAAUUUGUCUUGUAUACGUACGUGAAAUCUAUGCCUAGUAUUACAUGUAUUAUUAUGUUUCUUUGUGCGUUUGCAAUUAAGAUUUUAAUUGCCUAGCAAUAACUAUAAACAUGAGUUAUUGAAAUUUGAUUCGAGCAAUGAUAAAGGGCUCCACUCCAAUCCCACCUCAAUUCCACACAAGAGUAAAAAAUGAUGAAUUAAUAACUAAGUUACCCCCAAUUGUGAAUUAAUAGCAAACAUGCCCCAAAAAUUUGUCUUGGUGGGGUUGAGGUGCAAUUCGUUGAUGGGAUAGAAAUAUCAUUUUUCAUUUGAUUUUAACUUUAUUGAUUUUUUAUUCAUAAUUAGGGGACAUAAAAAGUUGAGGGAAUCUGUUUGAAUAUAUCCAAAGUAAAAGAGAUCUGUUUAAAUUCCGAUACAUUCACAAAGAUGCGGAAAUUGAGAUUUUUAAAAUUCUACAGCUCAUCAUUCAAUGGAGAGAACAAAUGUAAGGUGUCUUAUUUGCAAGAUCUUAGAUUUGCUGAAGUGAAGUAUCUCCACUGGCAUGGAUAUCCAUUGAAGUUAUUGCAUUCAAGCAUUAGCGCAGAGAAGCUUGUGUCUCUUGAAAUGCCUAAUAGUAGCAUUGAACAACUUUGGGAUGGUGUGAAGGUAUGUAUAACCUAAUACAUUAUGUGUGCAGUAUAUUCAUAAUAACAUUUAAUUGUCAUACAUGGUAAUGAUUCGUCUUGGCCUCUUUUUUGACCAAGCAGCAUCGUGAUAAGUUAAACCAGAUAAUCCAUGCUGCCUGCAAGAAGCUAAUUGCUAAAACUCCAAACCCUACGUUGAUGCAACAUCUGAACAAGCUAGUUAUCUUGAAUCUAAAUGGUAGCAAAAUCCUGAAAAGUCUUCCAGCUGGAAUAUUUAAUUGGAAUUUCUUACCGAACUUGAUCUUUUGGGCUGCUCAAAAAUGAAGAGGCUUCGAAAGAUCUCAUCUGGUAACAUAAGCUGGCUAUUUUCAAGUGGAACAGCAAUUGAAGAAUUGCCCUCAUCAUUUGAGCUUCUACUUAGGCUGGAGUACUUGGACCUUUCAGACUGUAAAAGGCUUAAGAGUCUCCCAAGCAGCCUAUAUAAGUUGAAAUCUCUUGGAGUUUUGAAUCUCUGUGGUUGCUCAAAUCUUCAGAGAUUGCCCGAAUGUCAUGGCCAGUUAUCGUCGCCAAUAAUAUUGAAUCUAACAAAAACCAAUAUUGAGAGAAUACCAGAAAGCAUCAUCCAACUUUUUCUGUUGCGAUACCUCCUCUUAAUUUAUUGUGACGGGGGUCAAUCCUCACCAAAGAUUCCAUUCCUUGUACGAUGGUUAGAUGUCGAUCAUUCCCCAGCAUUGCAAUCCUUAACAGGUUUAUUCGCUAAGUUCUGAAUCUUAUAGGUAGUGUUCUUUUACUAGAGUAAUAAUUUUAAAUUGGAAGGUAAUUCUACUGCAGGAACUGUUGAAGAUGCCGUGAGAAUUCAGCAUAUGGGCCAUGCGGUAGCCGCCUGUUGGAAAGAAGCACGGGAAAAGGUGUGUCUUAACUCUUUCUCCUUACAAUUUAUACAGUUUUUUUUGGCUUUAUAAUUAUGAUUUUUUUGUACAGAGAGGUUUUCUCAUGGAUAAAGAUCACAUUGUACUACCUGGGAAUGAAAUUCCAAGGUGGUUUAAUUUUUUGUAGCAAAAGAAUAGGAUAUAGAGAUAGAUGUAGAAUUGUAGACGUCUAAAAUAAAAAGAAAAGGAAAGAUGAUUUAUAAAUGGGCUUCCCAGAAUCAGGAUAUUCGUCAAAGAUAUUAGCCCACUUACUUUAGAGCUUUAGGAUCUUUGAGGGACUAGAGAGAGAAAAGAGAAUUUUGGUAUUAUUUAAUUAAUUAAUUGACAAAAAAAAACCUGGGAUUUUGUAGGAUGGAUUUAAAGAUUGAUCAAAGCUCAUAAAAUGUUUGAUUUUGAUGAUGCUUUAAUUUGGGGUAGAGGAUAGAUAAUAUGUAUACAUAUAUAGAGUUGCCUAUAUAGAGAACAAAUAGAAUAACAUAUGGAUAACUAGCUGCAUAUGUAUAUUAAUAUAAUAUUAAUGGGUAAAAAGAAGCCUAAAAAAACAGAGGAGUUAUCAGUCGCAAUAGCUGAAGCUUCAUCAACAAGAGAAGAAGAUAAAACUCAAAGGCAGAAGCCACUGGUUCAGACUCCUAGAAAACUUAAUCUAAUGGCACCAAAUAUCAGCCAUGUUACUUUUAGUGUUCUUCAAAGAAAAAGUUAAAAUAGAAGGCAACAUUUAUACUGCAAACAAGGUAAGUGCGACUACUUGCACUAGAUAAAUCGAAGCUAGUUGUCACAAACCGCAAUCGUGGCACCCAAGAUAUGCGCUUGUAUGCUAGUGUCGAUGAUGGUUGUGCUGAUUGUUGGAGAUGUGCUUCAGGGGCAUGCGUGUGGGGAAUACAAUGGCCCUAGACUCUUUGGAGUUCAGCCAGGUCGACCCGGUUGAGUUUGGGGAGCUUGUCGCUAGUCGAGGACUUAACCUUGAAGAGGGGUCUAGGUGAAACCCUACACACACUGGUUGGGAAUUGAAGCCGUUCUCCUGACGAGCCCAAGGCAGGGUAAAACUAGUCGAUAUUGUGCCACUUCCACUAGGCUUACUCUCGUAGUAUGGGAUGCGGGAGUGCCGCAUGGGCUCGAAACCUUUUGUCCCGUGACAAAUGGUUUCAGAGCCGCGCUUGUCAUCUUUCGAAGCCCUCGUUACGAGCUCGCCAAGCGCUCCAAUGCCGCAUCACGCAGGUCCCCACCCUUUUUGGGCGCAAGGGUCGACAAACGGGACGAACAGGCGGGUUCUCACACCCCCAAGCAUUCGCACUAAGUUGGAUAGUGUCUGCACGCGGGUCCUCUCCCCGGAUCGAGGACGAGUAGGCAAGGAGUUCAUGGAUGAGAUUGGCAAGCCGAUUUUCACGUUUUCGCGCAGAAGUGCACAUUUGCGAGGCGUACUCUUCAUGCACAAGGACGUGCAUGGUCAUGGUGGUAGGAGAAUGUCACGAACCGUAAUCGUGGCACCCAAGAUAUGCGCUUGUACGCUAGUGUUGAUGAUGGUUGUGUUGAUUGUUGGAGAUGUGCUUCAGGGGCGUGCGUGUGGGGAAUACAAUGGCCCUAGACUCUUUGGAGUUCAGGCAGGCCGACCCGGUUGAGUUUGGGGAGCUUGUCGCUAGUCGAGGACUUAACCUUGAAGAGGGGUCUAGGUGAAACCCUACACACACUGGUUGGGAAUUGAAGCCAUUCUCCUGACGAGCCCAAGGCAGGGCGAAAUCAGUCGAUAUUGUGCCACUUCCACUAGGGUUACUCUCAUAGUAUGGGAUGCAGGAGUGCCGCACAGGCUCGAAACCUCUCGUCCCGUGACAUAGUGCCCAAAGAAAGUGCUAAAAAUGACAUUCAGAUGCAACUUAAUUACUCAUUACUGAUAAACAAACAUAGGCACAAAGACACCUAGUGUAGAUUGCAUUAUCAAUCUUAAUUUCUUUCCAUUAGGUUGGUGAAACUUCAUAUAUUUAUCUCCCAUGCGACCCAAUGACCCAUUACUGACAAUAUGGCUGUAUGGAUGAAAUUAAUAAGAGAAGCAACAACAAUUAGCUGCCAACAAUUAAGUAUGAGGUAUUUAUGAAUGAAAUCGCACCUUUAUUAGGCCCAAAGCAUGGCUGUCAGGUAACUCAAAUCAUGACUGCAGCCUCUGUUUCAGUGAGCUCUCCAUGGCUGUAGUCUGUGCUUUAGGAGAAGAUGAAUGAAAACACACAAAAUGUAAAAUUGACUCAAAUCAAUGAAACCAGAUGCAAUUUGAAAUAAAUAAAGAAAGAAAGAAAAAUAGAGAGAGUUAAAACCUUGCAGCAGGAGAGCUGAUAGCACGGCUGAGUGUUGUUUGGUGACGAUGAACGGCUGCGGUUGACUAGCUGUUAGCGACGACGACGGCAACGGCUGACGAGCUGUUAAGGUUUUGUUUGGAGGAAUAACGAUUAAUUCAAUCCAAAAAAUCGGUAUUAGAAUUUUUAAUUUACAAGUUUAAAAUAUUAGGUAAUAAUCUUUUUCUUUUGGGUAAAAGCCUAGUUAGUCCCUAUAUUUUAAGAUUAGUAUCCAUUUAGUCCCUAUAUUUUUAAAAAUGCCUCAAAACAUCCUUGUCAUUAAAGUAUUGAUACCCCUACCGUUACUUUUUUAUUUUUUUGGCUUCGUUUUACAAUAUUACCCUUUUAUAAUAAUUUUUUUUGGACAUUAAUAAAAAGAAAAUAAUUAAAUUACCAAUUUAACCCUAAAAAAAUAUAUUAAUUUUUAAUUGUAAAAAAUUAUAUUGUUACUUUUUAUUUCUUUUGGCUUACUUUUACAAUAUGACCCUUUUAUAAUAUUUUUUUUGUUUGGAUAUUAAUAAAAAAAUAAUUAAAUUACCAAUUUAACCCUAAAAAAAAAUAUAUAUUAAUUUUUAAUUGUCAAAAAUUAAAUUGUCAAAAAUUUUAUGCAAACUACCAAGUGUGCAAAUGGUGCUUGCAAAAAAAAUUAAUAUGAUUUUUUUAUUUUCUAGGGUGAAAUUGGUAAUUUAAUUAUUUUCUUUUUAUUAAUGUCCAAACAAAAAAAUUAUUAUAAAAGGGUAAUAUUGUAAAAAUAAGCCAAAAAGAAAUAAAAAAUAACAGUUGGUGUAUCAAUACUUUAACGGCAAGAAUGUUUCGAGGCAUUUUUAAAAAUACAGAGAUUAAACGGACACUAAUCUUAAAAUAUAGGGACUAAAUGAGCAUUUACCCUUUUCUUUUUAGUUUUUAUUUUUAGAUUGGGUUAAGAGGCCCAACAAAAUUCCCAAACCCAAACCCGAAAAUUUUUUGGAGCUUAAACCCACACCCAAAACAAACUCGAAUUUAUUUUCAAAUUUUUCUGAGGUCCAUGCCCGCCCCAAAUUAAUUGAGGCAUUAAUUGAGGCCCCACGCCGCGGGUACUGCUGCCAACUCUAGCAAAAGAUAUUCGAGCAGUUGGAGUAAGAAUUGCUAUAUACAAUAUAAAUACAAGAGUUGUUUGCCAUUAUACAAUAGGAAUAAUAUAUAAUGCGCAUCAACACUUAUUGAUAAGAAAGUAAAUUCCUCAGCACUUAAAUGUUUCAGCCAACCAAGAAAGCAACUUUUCAUCAUCCAACCCGGGUCUGUCGUCAUGGGGACAAUGUCCUACUCUUUCCAACACAAUUAACUUCACACUUUAGAGUUGAGAAGUCAUAGAUGGGAAGUGGGGUGACUUGAUCCUCAUAACCCCAAAAAACUAGUACAGGUAUAGAGAUUGAUGGCAUCAAUUGCACUUGGUGGGCCUGUCAUAAUCGAAAAAAUGCAUCAAGUGCCCCUUUAUCAUUGGCAAGUUCUCGUAUGAUCUGUAGUUUUUUUUUUUAAUUCAUGAAUUCUGUGUGGCCAUUUUUUUAAGAGGUGAAAAUGGCACAUGAGUGGAGAAUAUUAAUACCUCUACCAGUGCUUCAUCCACAGAUUUCUUAUUUGCAUAGAUGUUAAUAUGAACCUUUGAGACUUGUUAUCUCAAUUGUCAUAUAAGAAUUAAUUUGAUGUUGGGUUCCAGCAGUACCAACUUGCUUUUACUUAUCUUGGAUGCUAUGUGUAUUGCACAUGGAUCUGGUAUUUUGAUGAUAUGAUCUGUAAAUUGGAGAUUGGAUUUCAGGGUGGGAUAAUCGGCUUCUCUCUUUUAAGGGUAAGCUUGUACUUUUAUGGCAUGUGCUUCUUCCAUGCCGUUACAUAUCUUCCAAGUCCUCUGAUUGCCUAUGGUAGUCAUUAAUCAUCUCGAGCAAUAGUUCACCAUUUUCUUAUUAGGAGAUACAAAUUCAAGACGGCGCAUCUACUGGUGCAAAUUACCAUAUGUUUACUUCCUUGUGGAUGAGGGUGGUUUAGGAAUUCAUUUUCUUUUUCAAAUCUCCCUGAUGCAUUUGAGCUGAAAAUGUGGUAGAGAUUUCGGGAUCAGCAAUCUCUUUGGGCUUCACUCAUGAAGUCCAAGUAUUGCAAAACCUAACAUCCCAAAAUGGUUCAAUUUCACUAUUCUAUUUCCCCAUUCUGUCAACAUUUUUGCUCCAUUUGUUAUGUUGCUAAACCUCAUAUACACUGGCUAAUUAGAUCUAGUGAUAAUAAUUUCUUGUAUGAUUGUUGUUUGUGCUUUAUGUUUCUCUUUCUUUUUAACAUUGGUGCUGCUUCUAUGGUUCCUGUGUCAUUCUUUUGGCGAGGAGCAGUUUAGGAUAUGAGUAGGCUAUUGUCUAUUCUACUUACUUCAAUUGUUAAGUAGAUUUUGUUGAUAAUUAUUUUUGGUGUUAGACCGAAUAUUCUUCAUUGGACUCUAUCUAGGGAUGGGAAUUUUUCUAUAAAGACUAUUUGGGAGCUUGUUUGUAGGUCUCGAAUCUGGAAUGAGGUUUUUACUUAUAUUUGGCAACGACAUAUUCCUUAUAGGUUUUUUUUCUUUUGUUAUGGUGGUUGUUGUAUGGUUUCUUAGUUGCGAAUGAUGCCUUGGGCUUGCACUAUUAAGAUUGUCAAGUAGUUAUUUUGUGAAUUGCUCAUUAGUUGGGAAAAUCUGACAACGAUUUCACUCGAUGAUUGGUCUUUGAUACAUUCCUUUCUAUCUCCUCAUACGUUGCUUGUUCACUGGCAGCAUUGUGCCCAUUCUUCGAGACAUUUUCGAGUCCUUCUCUCAUGCUUCAUCAUGUGGCAUGUCUGAAAGCCUAGAAAUGCUCUUAGAUUCGAUUCCAUUUGUCAUUACUUUUCGAGUGGUUUUGGGCCUUAGACUCGCUAGCUCUAUUUUUGGUUUUAAGCUAUCCCAAUUGAGGGGUGUUUUGGAUACCCAUAUUAGAGAGGGUUUGUAGAUAUUUUGCCUCCUCGUAGACUGGUCGCUUGGUUUCCUAGUUGAGGCUACCGUCUGGCGUGAUGAAGUUAAAUGUGGAUGGUUACUCUAGGGGAACCUCUAGUAUGUCUGUUGUUGAAGGUGUUCUACAUGAUCAUUCGGGAGUAGUACUAGUUGCUUUUGGUUCUUUCUUAGGGCACCAAUCAAUACUGUUUGCUGAGCUGUUGGCUAUGCUUGAAGGAUUAGAUCUUGUGCUCAGCUUGGGUUUACUGUUCUAGAGAUGGAAUCUAACUUGCCACUAUGGUUUCUUUAGCUACUUCACAUGAUUCAGUGCAAUAAGAAUUUGCUUAUCUCCUGGUUUGGAUUCAUGCUUUAUCUUCUAGUCCUUUUAUUGCUAUCAAACAUGUCUUUUGGGAGGCCACUUCAACCACUGACUUCAUGGUUGAUUAAGCAUGUACUCAUAACACUCAUCAGCGAUUCUUCAGCUCUGGGGAUCUUAUAUCUAGUCUAUUUGGCAUUCUUCAUUUAGAUGCUCUCGAGUUCUUUUAUGUUCAACAUUGAUUUCCCUUUGUUGUUUCUUUUAUAGUUUAUUUUUUUUUUAAAAAAACUUUUUGGUUUAUGUCCCCCUCUUCAUAUUCUUUUCAUUAUCUAAUGUUUCUUUCAUUGUAGGUAGAGAUCUGGCCUAACCCCUCACCUUCAUGGUGGUUUAGAUAAAAAAAAAACAAUUUGACGGCAGGUUUGAAUAGCCAAACUAGAGGGGGGCGAGGAUUGCUAAGGAUCCUUUGGUAAUGAGAUUCACAAGAUUUACACAUAAAUCAACUGGAAUAAUAUUGAUUUGUCAUCCUCACAAAUGGUGGAAAUAAGAGAAUCCACUUUGUUUGGGGGAUGUGCUUUGACAAGGACCAGCAGUGGUGAGCAGACAUCUGGUAGUAGGGUCCCAUGAACACGUAUAUCUUGUAAGAGUCUGGUAGCAGGGGAGCAGGAGCAAGAAUAUUCCGCUCAUCUACGAAUACGUCAUCUGCGAGGCCGAUCUCCUGUUAGAGGCAUAAAGCCAUUCCUGCUAAGGGUUGAGUCGAGGAGACCCGGUCAACGACAGUUGGCGAGACGUGCUCUCCAAUCCGAGAAUCAAGGCAUGAAGACCACGCAACCACCCAUGAUUACAGAAAUAGAGCAUCCACUUUCGAGAGGUGGGAGGAUAACAAGCGUGAAUGGAGGGAGGGUAUGAAUUCAGGAGAAGCCUAUAAAAAGGUAGCCAACGAAGGUAAAAGGGUUAGAAUUUUUGACAUUGAAACUAAGAUAAAAAAAGAGCACUGGCUAAUCAGUACCAAAAGGAAACCAUAAGAUUAGUGGCCAACAUUCCCAAGAACGAAAAACCUUCAUUUCUGACUUAAGCGUCGGAGGGUUUACGCCGAAAAACAACCGGCGUGCUCUGACAUUUUCUAUGUACGCAGGAACCUUUGGAGAAGAAGUCAUACAAGGAGAAAUCCUGGUCGUGGUAGAGUUGGUUGAGCAGAGAUCCUGGUCGUGAUCGAGGGGUAACCAGAAUCUCGCAUCAACAUUUUGGCGCCAUCUGUGGGGAGCUAAUAAAAAAGCUUCUAUUGACAGAGAGAGGAAAAUCAAAGCAAGAGAAGAAACAAUAGAUGUAGGAGGAAGUAGUGCACAAGGAGAUUAUAUGAGGCUUAACGAAUCUGUGACGUUGAGGGAGAUAGCCAUUGAAGCACGGGAAAAAGCCAUGCAUGACCGAGUGGAACGGAUGGAAAAGCAGAUGGAGACCCUGACAACCAUCCUACAUGAACUGAGGAGUGAACGAAGGGGAACCCAUGAGGAAAGGGUGAGAGGUGGUGGAGUGGCACCAUGGCACGAUGGUAUGAUGAGAAGUCAGACCACCAGGAGAUUUGGUGGUGAGAGAAGUAACUUAUCUCUAUGGGGAGGAGUUCAUAGAGAAGAAGAGCAAUCACCAGGAAGACAGAUUUUUGAUGAGGAUGACGAGGUGGUGAAUGCAGAGGAAACAGAGCUCAGGCAACACUUACAUGAUGUAGAGCAAGAGCGGGAUCAAGUUGCAGCACGUGACCCUGGUCGUGCAGUGCAGCUGGAGGAGGAAGUGCGCAGACUAGCGCAGGUAAUUGAUGAUAUGCAAGGAAGGAGUAGAGCACCUAGUUGGAGGAUAAUGCUAGGCGGAGAAUCCCCGCUCUCAGCGGAGAUCAUGAGGGCAGUCAUUCCCAGAGAUUUUCAUCUCCCAGACCUCAGAUAUUCAAGGCGAACUGAUCCGUUGGUGCACAUAGAGUGCUUUAAUGACAUAACUGGGGUGUAGGGAUUAUCCCAAGCCCAAAGAUGCAGGGUAUUCCCACUGUCACUAGAGGGGCGAGCAUGCGAGUGGUACCGCAAACUCCCUCGAGGAAGCGUCAAAUCCUUCGAGCAGAUGUGCCAAGAAUUUACAGAACAGUUUCGUGGGGCAAUGACACCAGAAGACGACAUGAUGGAGUUGAAAAGUAUGAAGCAGGGGGAACAAGAAACCCUUCUGGAAUUCAUCAAGAGGUUUCAUCGUGAUGUCCUCGACUUAGGAGCCUUCAAUUAUCCUCAAGCAUUAAGGGGAUUGAAAGAAGGGGUGAAGAUAGGAAGGCUGUAGUACAACUUGAUGAGCCCAGUUAUUCAGACGUAUGCAGCCGCUUACGAGCAUGCUAAGAGGGACAUAGAGAUUGAGGAGGAAAAGGCAGCACGGAUCAAGACAGAUCAGUUAGAAGGGUUGGGAAGGAAAGAGAAGAGAGCAUUACCAGGAAAUGGGCCGAUUAAGAGGAGGGACCACCAUGCCUCACGUAGUGGUACAGGAGGUCGGGUAUCUGCUUACCAGCCCUAUCAAAGGCCGCCACAGUAUCAGCGCAGCAGGGCGCAACCUCUUCGCUCACCAGCUAGGGAGCCUUGGAGAAGGCAUGACUCGACAUAUGGUCAACCUCCUCCACACCCCCAUGGUAGUAGAUGGAGUAAACCAGGAGCGCUGCCACCUCCUCCAACUCAGAACGGCACAAACAGGGAAAGGGCAGUGCACAUGAUCGACCAGAACUAGGACUAUGGGCGGUACACUUCCUUGAAGAUGCCCUUGGACGAGGUAUACGAGGCCAUAAAAGAUCAGGGAUUACUGUACCUCCCUGCCCCAAUAACCAAGCUACCCGGUAUGAGGGAUAUGGGACGCUAUUGCAAGUUCCAUGGCACUCAUGGCCAUACCACAACAGAAUGCAGAGAUCUCAAGACCCAUGUAGAAGAUUUGGUGAGAAAUCGAUAUCUGGACGAGUUUAUAGAUGAGACUUUUCCGAUUAUGACCUCGACAUGUGAAGGGGAGCAGAGUAACAGAAACUUGAGCCACAAGCAACCUCUAGUAAGGGUGAUAGCUGGGGGUCCAACGUUGGCCGGGGAUUCCAACAGAUCGAGGAAGAAUUAUGCUAGAUAUGCCAUGACUAGUAAAGAGGUAUCCUUCAACACCCCAGCAGCCAAACGAGCAAGAGUCAGGCAAGUACCAAUCAUGUGGACAGAUGAGGAUGAAGAAGGGAUUCUAUACCCACACGAGGAUGCCUUAGUCAUCAAGGCCACUGUUGCUAGCAAGAAGUUUGACCGGAUACUGGUUGACACAGGGAGCUCAGUUGAUGUGUUGUUUAAGUCAACUCUGGAGGAGAUGAGAAUAGCAGACCUGAGGUUGGAGCACACUAAUACCUCCUUGAAGGGAUUUGGAGGAGGAAAGCUGGUCCCCUUAGGCAUGGUCGAGCUGCCUAUCAUGAUUGGAAGCUCCUCGACAGAAAGGACUAUGGUACUGGAUUUUAUGGUAGUCGAUGAAGAAGGUCCUUACUAGAUGAUCCUAGGUUGGCCAUUUCUGAGGAUGAGCAAAGCGGUGCUGUCCAACCAUUAUCUAGCUCUCAAGUACCGGGUGAAUGGGGUAAUUGGGGUGGUACGAGGAGACCAGAGAAUCCUACGAAGCUGUUACUCCUCAGCAGCAAGGGAAGCAAUGCAGAUAACAUCCCUUGAUACCCGAGUGGGAGCCAAGAAUGGCAGACAAGAACCUAUAAAGGAGCAGGAGACAGCAAGCCUGGGACCAAAGAAUCCAAGAAAAACGAUCCGAAUUGGGUCAAGGCUUAAAGAAGAGCAGAAGCAGGAGUUGGUGCAAUGCUUGCGGGCUCAUGCAAAUGUGUUUGCUUGGACACAUGAAGACAUGCCAGGGAUCGACCCUGAGGUCGCAUGCCAUAAGCUGGCAAUAAAGAAAGGUGCUCGGGCAGUAAGGCAGAAAAGGAGGUGCUUCAACCAGGAGAGGUAUGAGGCUAUAAACGGCGAGGUGGAAAAGCUCUUGAAAGCAGGGUUCAUUCGGGAAGUCAAUUAUCCCGAGUGGAUAUCGAAUGUGGUGUUCGUAAAAAAGGCUAAUGGCAAGUGGAGGAUGUGUGUGGACUUUACGGACCUCAACAAGGCGUGCCCAAAAGACAGCUUUCCUUUACCAAAGAUCGACCAGCUUGUAGACUCAACAGCUGGGCAUGGCCUGCUCAGCUUCAUGGAUGCAUUCUCAGGAUACAACCAAAUCCCCAUGUUCGAGCAGGAUGAGGAGAGCACGGCAUUUAUUACUAACCAGGGUUUGUUCUGUUACAGGGUAAUGUCAUUCGGUCUUAAAAAUGCUGGGGCCACGUACCAGAGGCUGGUGAAUAGGAUCUUUAAGCCGUUGAUUGGGAGAACAAUGGAGGUGUACGUGGAUGACAUGAUAACCAAGUCAAAAAUCCCGAAGGAACAUGUUGAGCACCUCGAGGAGACAUUCAGACUUUUGAGGAAGUACAAGAUGAAGCUCAACCCGAAAAAGUGUGCUUUUGGGGUCGAGUCAGGGAAAUUCCUUGGAUUCAUGGUGAGUCAUAGGAGGAUCGAAGCAAAUCCCGAGAAGAUCCAGGCGAUCGUGCAGAUGAGGUCUCCUCGUAACCUAAAGGAGAUGCAGAGCCUUACGGGGAGGUUGGCAGCAUUGAGCCGAUUCAUAUCCAAGGCUACAGAUAAGUGUCAGCCAUUCUUUUAAGUGAUAAGGAAAGGAAAGAAAACAGAAUGGACCCCAGAAUGCGAAGAAGCCUUCCAGGACUUGAAGCGAUACUUACAGCAGGCACCUCUGUUGUCCAUACCGAGGGAUGGGGACACGUUAUUUUUGUAUUUGGUGGUAUCAGAUCGUGUCGCAAGUUCUAUUCUGGUGAGAGAGGAAGAAGGGGUUCAGUAUCCGAUAUACUACACCAGUAAGGCCCUGCUUGAUGUUGAGACCAGAUACCCACCGUUGGAGAAAUAGGCACUUGCCCUUGUGGUUGCUGCUCGGAAGUUGAGGCCGUACUUUCAAGCAUUCCCCGUCUCGGUAAUAACAAACCAGCCGUUGCAUCAAACCCUGCACAAGCCGGAUGCUUCUGGUCGGCUCGUGAAGUGGGCUAUAGAGCUGAGCGAGUUCGACAUUGAUUACAAACCCCGAGCAGUGAUAAAGGCUCAAGCAAUGGCCGAUUUCGUAGCAGAAUUCGUAGAGCCUGAAGUAUGUUUGGACCAGCCAGAUAUUGCUACAGACAGCAGCGAAGCUCGAGUAUGGCAGAUGUCUGUAGAUGGGUCAUCAGGGGAGCAGGGAUCGGGAGCAGGGAUUGUCUUAGAAGGCCCAGAAGGGGAGGAGAUCUCUUAUGCUGGAAAGUUAGAAUUCACAGCCACAAAUAACCAGGCAGAAUACGAAGCCUUGAUAGCAGGCUUGGAAUUGGCUAAGGCAGUGAAAGUAGAUAGGGUGAAGAUCAGAACUGAUUCCCAGCUGGUCGCAAAUCAUGUCAGUGAAAGAUUUCAACUGAGAGAUGAGAAGAUGGAGCAGUACCUGAAGAAAGUCAGGCAGAUGAUGGGGAAGUUCGAAGCGGUUGAGGUGAUACAAAUCCCAAGGGAGCAGAAUAGUCGAGCAGAUAUUCUGGCCAGGAUGACAACUAUAGCAGACCCGAAAAUGCCUAAGUCGAUCCCUUUGGAAGUGAAAACCAACCCUAGCAUCGAGCAGAAUUUGGAGGUGAUGUAAAUAGAAUAAAAAGGCUCGUGGAUGGAUCCGAUAACUUCAUAUAUUAGAGACGGGGUGUUACCACCAGAUAAGCUACGAGCUCGGAAGAUCAGAGCCCAGGCCUCAAGGUACACAAUGAUUGAUGGGGUGUUAUAUUGGCGAAGAUAUACGCUCCCGUUCCUUCGGUGCUUGGAUGAGGAUGACGCGGACUACGUAUUGAGAGAAGUACACGAGGGAAUUUGCGGGAACCAUUCUGGUGGGAGGUCCCUUGCCCACAAGAUUCUAAGGCAGGGAUAUUUCUGGCCGACAAUGCACCAGGAUGCGCAGGAGAAGACCAGGAGCUGCGUAAGCUGCCAGAAUUUUGCAAGUUUCUCCAAUCAACCACCAGAGAAGCUCAUCUCUAUGGCCUCCCCUUGGCCAUUUGCUCAAUGGGGAAUUGAUCUGAUCAGGCCGUUGCCAAAGGGAUGAGGAGCAGCAAUACAUGCAAUAGUUGCAAUAGACUACUUCACGAAGUGGAUAAAGGUAGAAGCCCUCAGCAGGAUCACAGAGAAGAAGACAACAGACUUCGUAUAGAGAAACCUGGUCUGUCGGUACGUGAUCCCUUAUGUCUUGAUAACGGAUAAUGGCAGGCAGUUCGAUAAUCACAGCUUCAAGGAUUUUUGCCAGAAUCUCAGGAUAGAGUUGAAGUAUUGCUCGCCUGCUCACCCUCAGUCUAAUGGACAAGUAGAAGCAACCAACAAGACGAUCAAGAGGCUUUUGAAAACCAGGCUUAGAGCAAAAAAGGGUGCAUGAGUUGAUGAACUAUCAGGUGUUUUAUGGGCAUAAAGGACAACCCACAAAACAGCAACUGGAGAAACACCGUUCGCCUUGGCCUUCGGACAUGAAUCGGUCGUACCAGCCGAGAUAGGAACGACCACGCACCGGACAUAUCAUUUCAAUGAGCAAGAGAACAACGAGCAGAUGUGCCUGAAUCUGGAUUUACUAACAGAGAAGAGGGAGCAAGUAUCGAAGCGAUCAACCAUUUACCAGUAGAGGGUCGCUCGGUAUUAUAACCAGAAGGUGAAUGUACGGCAGUUCAGAGUCGGAGAUUGGGUGCUAAGGAGAGUGAAUCAGAACAUAACACCAGAGACUUGACUCAAGGAGUGCUUGGACCGAAUUGGGAGGGGCCAUACAGGGUCAAGCAGAUAGUAAGACCCGGAGCUUACAAGCUUGUUCGCACGGAUGGCCACGAGGUGAAACGCCCAUGGAACGCAGCACACCUCAGAAAAUAUUUCCAGUAAGACUUGUUCAUGUUUUUUCUAUUCGUGCUCGUUGUUAUUUAUUUUAUGUCAAAGCGAUUUCAUGUAAGCCGAAUUCAGCAAUAAAUGGAUCAAUGAGGAAUUUCAGUCAACUGAACUGUUAUAAAAAGUUUUUAAGGCAUGCAAAUGCUCACCAAGUCUCAAAGCCUGUUUUAUGUCGAGACCAGAAGCCAAACAUACCCGGGUCUGCUCGACCAAGAGAAGACGAGCAGACUCCCAAGCAUUUAAAAAGUUCUAAGGCAUGCAAAGGCUCACCAAGUCUCAAAGCCUGUUUUAUGGCGAGACCAGAAGCCAAGCAUGCCCGGGUCUGCUCGAAAGAAGGCAAGCAGACUCCUAAGCAUUUAAAAAGUUAUAAGGUAUGCAAAGGCUCACCAAGUCUCAAAGCCUGUUUUAUGGCGAGACUAGAAGCCAAGCAUGCCCGGGUCUGCUUGACUAAGAGAAGGCGAGCAGACUCCCAAGCAUUAAAAAGUUCUAAGGCAUGCAAAGGCUCACCAAGUCUCAAAGCCUGUUUUAUGGCGAGACCGAAAGCCAAGCGUGCCAGGAUCUGCUCGGCCAAGCGAAGGCGAGCAGAAUCCCAAGCAUUGAAAAAGUUCUAAGGCAUGCAAAGGCUCACCAAGUCUCAAAGCCUGUUUUAUGGCGAGACCAGAAGCCAAGCGUGCUAGGAUCUGCUCGACCAAGCGAAGGCGAGCAGAAUCCCAAGCAUUGAAAAAGUUUCUAAGGCAUGCAAAGGCUCACCAAAUCUCAAAGCCUGUUUUAUGGCGAGACCAGAAGCCAAACAUGGCAGGAUCUACUUAGCCAAGAGAAGGCGAGCAGAGUAAAAAAAAAAAAAAUUUACAACUACUAUACCAGAAGGCAAGUAAGAACAUUCUUAUUAAUAUGCCAAUAGUUUGUAAAGCUAUUCAUCCUAACAUACAAUGUCCAAAAACAAGAAAAAGGUAACUACAACACAAAACAUGUUUAAGAAGACGGUGGGUCAGUAAGACGAACAGCCUCAGUUGGCUGGUCCACCUCAGGGGCAGGGGGGUAUCACCAGUUGCGUCCGGAGGGGUACUCGCCUCACCAACAUCAGCAAGGAUUGCAUGAGGAGGAGAGUUUUCCUCCUCAAGCACAAUUGGCUCCACCUCUUCGACAUCCUCUUUUGCUACCUCCUCGUCCAUGUGUUGAGCAACACCAGCUGCAAGGUCAUCCAUCUUCAGAUUAGAGUGCUGCUUCCCAAGGACGGCUAUGAUGCAACGAUAGGAAUGUCGAAGUCCCUGGUCGUAUUGGUUGUCAGCUUCCUUCUCCAAGUUCUCGACCUGAACCCGGUGGGAAUCGCGGAGAGAUUCGAGCUGAGCCUCGUACAUAACCUUCUGCCUUUGCAGAUCCUCCUUAACCUUAGUCAGCUCUUCCUCGAGAGUAAUGGCCUUUGCUUGAGCAAGAGAUUCUCGCUCUAUCAGCUUCAGAUUCUUGAGAUUCAAGUCUUCUGCUUUCUUCUCGGUAGCGUCAGCUCUGGUCAUCACCGAUUGAAUGUCCUCCUUCAUCUUCCGGUCGUAACGGCCAACCUUGGCCUUAUAGUAAGUGGCCAUGCAGUUGAGAUGAAAAGCGCUAUACUGCAUGGCCCCCACCAGCUCACCCAGGGUGCAGCCGUCAAAGUCCUCCAAGUCCUUCUUGCUCACGAGUUUAGAAAGCUCAUUCAUAUAGGGGCCCAAAUGUUCUGCUCGAUUGUCAGAUAAACGAGAUCUCAGCCCGACGGGAGGAGAAGAGGAAGCAGGAUCAGUGGCUGCUCCGCUAGUUUCUCUGGCUUUGAUAAGAGGAGGUGGUAGAGUCUUCAAGGGGGGAACCUGCUGCACAACGUUCACCCGCUUCGUAGCGGGAGCAUUUUUAUUCUGGUCCCGCUUAGUAGCUUGAGGUCGAGGACGUUUCCGAGUCAAAGCCCCAAUCACAGCAUCCUCCAUCUUAUGGCCGGUGGACACCAAACCAGAUUCGACCAGGUUAUAAGUUGUUAGCAGCUCUCGGUUCGAGCAGGAAUUGGCCAGUACAGCCUCAACCCACUUAAGCUGGUCGGGUUUGAGUGGGAAGUGAACACCCCAAGAACCUGCAAUACGAACAGACAGUCGGUUAGAGACAAACCAGUAAAGUGAGAACAACUAUGGAGACAAGACAUCUAAAGCAAGCAGGCAACUUGGGACCACGAAACGGGGUGGGACGCGAUAAUCCUUCCCUUCAAUUUGUGCAACUUGACCCUAGGGACCCCCAGUAAAAAAGAAUUUUUUUUUCCAAUUCCCACCACCACCAGUUGGAAGAUCGGUUAUGGGUUUCCUGGUCUUAGUAGUUGAUUGAAAGUAAUACCAACCGGCAUCUUUGGGGCUGCUUUUCAGCUGGUACAGGUGCUUUACCUCAUCAACUGUGGGCUCGCUUUGGCAACAUCUGUCCCACAAUAUAAACAGACCAGAGAGUACUUUCCACCCGUUGGGGUUCAGCUGACCAGGAGCUAAAUUUAGCCCGUUGAGCAUUCGGACAAAGUAGGGUUGCAGGGGACACCUCAGCCCAUACUUAAAACUUUCCAGAAACAGGGUAACGUAUCCCUUAGGAGGCCGGGUAGGAGCAUCCUUCUUUCCUGGGAUCCUAAGAGGUAUUUCAUCAGGAAUAUUACACCUAACCCGGAGGUCAGUGAGCUCGUCAAAUGUGGUCGUGCACGUGAUGAAAUCAAUGGCGUAAUUCUGUGAUAGGGCUCUACCUUCUACUGUACUCCGCCCUUCUGGUCGCGAUGUUCCUGGUGGGGACACCUUACCAGAAUCACCUCCUCGAUCCUUACUCAAGGUGUUUUCUGAGCCAGAAGAUCCCUCCUCACCGCUAUUUCCACUCGAGGAGGUUGUUUAGGGGGACAUCCUCCUAACACUAGUCCCAACACUAGACCUAAUGGGUUCUAUGGGGAUCCCGGGGUCAAAGGCAGGAUCGGUGAGCAGACUAGGCAGGAAGUCUAACUCAUCGUCAUCAACCUCAAUGACUUUCUCUUUACCUUUUGACAUUUCCUAAGCUAUAACCAGAGCAAUAUCACCAAAUACUACCCAAGCAAAAUAGAGAGAAAUGAAAUUAUCUACAACUAUCUGAGACCGAGGAAAUAGAAGUAAUACCUGAAGUAGUGGCUCAUUCGGAGAGAGAUAGGGAUGAAAGCUUUUAUGCCGGAACUCCUUCACUGGAGAGACAGAGACAGAGAUGGAGUAAAUGACGAAUUUCUCUUUUGAAGGGUUUUGGGUUUUCCUAAUAAAGAACAAACUCUUGGGCUGCCAGCAUUUAACGGUCGGUUUGAAAUUCAAAUAGAGGGGUAGAUUUCUGCCACAUCACCUCGUUAGCAAUUAAAUGCAACACGACUCUUGGUAGCCUUUUCCUGUCCCGCGCGAGCAAGAACUGUCAAGUUUCUACUGUCGGCUCACUACGUUACCCAACACCAGAAACUGGGGGACCGGUGUUUGGGGGAUGUGCUUCGACCAGGACCAGCAGUGGUGAGCAGACAUCUGGUAGCAAGGUCCCACGAACAUGUAUAUCUUGUAAGAGUCUGGUAGCAGGGGAGCAGGAGCAAGAAUAUUCCGCUCGUCUACGAAUACGUCAUCUGCGAGGCCGAUCUCCUGUUAGAGGCAUAAAGCCAUUCCUGCUAAGGGUUGAGUCGAGGAGACCCGGUCAACGACAGUUGGCGAGACAUGCUCUCCAAUCCGAGAAUCAAGGCACGAAGGCCACGCAACCACCCAUGAUUACAGAAAUAGAGCAUCCACUUUCGAGAGGUGGGUGGAUAACAAGCGUGAAUGGAGGGAGGGUCUGAAUUCAGGAGAAGCCUAUAAAAAGGUAGCUAACGAAGGUAAAAGGGUUAGAAUUUUUGACAUUGAAACUGAGAUAAAAAAAGAGCACUGGCUAAUCAGUACCAAAAGGAAGCCAUAAGAUUAGUGGCCAACAUUCCCAGGAACGAAAAACCUUCAUUUCUGACUUAAGCAUCGGAGGGUUUACGCCGGAAAACAACCGGCGUGCUCUGACCUUUUUCUGUGUACGCAGGAACCUUUAGAGAAAAAGUCAUACGAGGAGAAAUCCUGGUCGUGGUAGAGUUGGUUGAGCAGAGAUCCUGGUCGUGAUCGAGGGGUAACCAGAAUCUCGCAUCAACAGACUCUAUGCUUAAAGUUCUUGGGAUUGAAAAAUUGCAACAAGCUAAAAAUGUGUCAUAAAGAUUUUUUCUUCAAAAAUGUUAUAAGAUUCUUUUACAGUUUUACCCUUUUCACUUAUUCCUCUUUCAAUGUGAAAAAAAAUGCAAAUUAGUUUAAACUUUAGAGAAUUUCAGAUGAAAUCAUUUCCGCAUUCAAUUAGACUGUAUCUGCUUGUUUGUCCAUUAUUAUAAUUUUAAUUUAGUAUCUAAUUGUAAUUAUCCAAGCAGGGCUUGAAGGGGUAAAUAGAAGGGGUGCUAAUAGUCCCACUAUUUCCGUAAUUAUUAUUGUCCUCGAAUAUUUCUCCAACAUUUUAUUUCAUAUUUGACUUCUGCUACUAAUAUUAUAACAAAAGACGCUUUUUGAAUUACAUCAGUUUCUAGUUGCAUUUUAUUGAUAAAUUAGCCGAAUGCGGAUUUUUUAUUUCAUAUUUGACUUUUGCUACUAAUAACAUUGUUUGAUUCAACAUUUUAUUUCAUAUUUGACUUCUGCUACUAUUACUAUAAUUCAAAAGACACUUUUUGAAUUACAUCAUAUUUUUUAUUCAAAACAAACAAAGGGAUUAUAUUUUACAAUUUAGGAAAUAACUAUAUUUAAUAGAGAUAAUUUUGGGAUAUAGCAUUUAUUUUCUAUUGAGACAUUUUCAUAUAUUAGAUAAAAGUUACAAACGUUUACUUAAAAAAAAAAGAAAAAUUAGAGUUCACACGUUUAACAAAUAACCAAUAGGAAUAUGAAUAAGAAUUAUUUAAAAAAAUGAUAAAUAAGGAUAAUUUUAAAAUCAAAUGCAAUUAAUGGAGAAAUGAUGACUGAUAAGAAAAAUUGGGGGGCAAAAAUUAAAAUAUCAACCUACUACUCAUGAUUGAUAGUCAUGACCCACUCAAUUUGAGAAUUAAAAGCACAAAAGCCAUGUGUUGAAAACUAUGGUAUGCAUGGGGAAAUUUCAGGUAUAAGUCUAAAAAGCACUGAAAUUAUCGUGCAGUGCACGGUGCUUGGAUAAUGAGAUGAAAUUGAAAAAUUAUCACGAAACUUCAAGGAAGAGUGCCAAUAGUCUUACUCAUAACGCCGUGUCUAACUCAUAACAUAGAGUAGGAGUUCGACGAAAGUAAUGGAAGAGUGCCAAUAGUCUUAACUCAGAACGCCGUGCCUAUAAUUUCAACUGAAAAAAUCCGUCGAGUCCAAAAAUUAGGUGGGCAUUUCAGUAAGCCUUGAAUAUUCCAUGAAUCAUUGUCCAGGAAGCUUGGAAAAUGAGAUAUCAGGUCAAUAUAUGCUGCAGAGUCACGCUCAUUUUGGCUUAGUAAUUGUUUUCAUCUGAUCACAAUCUCUCUCUAAUCAAUUCAACUGCUUCUGUUGAUUAUGGCUUCUUUUUCUUGAAACAACAAGAAGUAUGAUGUUUCUGUUAGUUUCAGAGGAGAAGACACCCGCGACAACUUUACUAGCCAUCUCUAUUUAGCCCUGUCUCGAAAAAAUAUCCAAACUUUCAUUGAUGACCAACUUAACAGAGGAUAUGAAAUUUCAGAGUCACUUGUGAAAGCGAUUAAAGCAUCAGCCAUUUCAGUUAUCAUUUUCUCUGAAGACUACGCUUCUUCCAGAUGGUGUCUUGAUGAACUUGCGGAGAUCCUCGAGUGCAAGAAACUUUCAUUUGUGUUACCGUUUUUCUAUCGCGUUGAUCCAUCAGACGUGAGAAACCAAACAGGGAGUUUUGGGGAUUUUUCAAAGCUUGAAGAAAGAUUUGAGCAAAAUUCGGAGAAGCCGCAGACAUGGAGGAAGGGAUUGAGAGAAGCGGCUGGUUUGUCUGGAUUUCAUUAUCGUAGCAUCAGGUGAAAAGUUACUGUUAAUUUCUCAUGCUAAUAUUUAGCACUGUAAAUAAAAUUCAUGCAGCACUCUUAUUUAAAUUUCCGGAUGCUAAACUACAAUUUUAAAUUUUUUUAGGUAUCAAAUUCUAGGCUUCUUGACUUCCCCACUUUUGAACCCCGAUAAUUAUGAAAGAAUUUUGACAGAAUUAAUAAUAAAAGCCCGAUAAUUUUACAAUAUAUUUAACAAAAUUAAUGGUGGUCUAUCGUUUUUUAAGCAAUUUCAACCUCACAUACCUCCAUCAGAAAAAACAGAAAAAAGCCACACAUAUUCCUAUAAUUUAAAAGUUAUUAAUUUAUAGGGAGAUUGUAGUGGUAUAUAUUAAUUUCAAUUGGAAAACUAGCAAUCUCCCUUAUUUCAUAUUUGAUGCAAAUCCCUCAUAUUUGAAGUUACUGCUGCUAAUUUUAUGUAUUUGGCAGGCCUGAAUCAGAACUUAUAAACGAAGUUGUUAAUCACAUUUUGAAGAGACUGCUGGAAGAACUGUUUCGGCCGCGUGAUAACAAAAGCCAGCUGGUUGGAGUAGAAUCAAGAGUUGAGGAAAUUGAAUCUCUACUAAGUGUUGAGUCGAAAGAUGUUUACGCUUUAGGGAUUUGGGGCAUUGGUGGUAUAGGCAAAACAACAAUCGCUAGAGCUACUUUUGACAAAAUCUCUAGAUAUUUUGAAGGUUCUUGCUUCCUUGAAAAUGUUAGAGGAGAGUCACAAAGAACGGGAGGAUUAGCUUGCUUGCGACAAAAACUUCUUUCAAAUUUAUUGAGGAUGAAAAUGCGAUUCCUGGUAUUGACCUCAAUUUUAGAAGGCUCAGCCGCAUGAAGGUUCUGAUUGUUUUUGAUGAUGUGACUUGCUUCAGCCAAUUAGAAUCUAUAAUUGGAAGUCUUGAUUGGUUGAUGCCUGUGAGUCGAAUCAUAAUAACCACCAGAAAUAAACAAGUGCUUAGAAUUGGGGAGUGAGGAAAAUAUAUGAGAUGGAGGCAUUAGAAUAUCAUCACGCUCUUGAGCGUUUUAGUCGACAUGCCUUCAAACAAAACCAUCCUGAUGUUGGUUAUGAGGAACUUUCAAGUAAGGCAAUGAAAUAUGCUCAAGGUGUUCCUUUAGCUCUUAAAGUUUUGGGGUGCUUUCUAUAUGAAAGGGAAAAAGAAGUCUGGGAAAGUGCAAUAAAUAAAUUGCAACGAAUCCUCCAUCCAAGUAUUCUAGAGGUAUUAAAAAUAAGUUAUGAUGGUUUGGACAAUAAAGAGAAAAAUAUUUUUCUUGAUGUUGCUUGUUUCUUUCAAGGUGAGGAUGUAAAUCUAGUAAUGAAAUUCCUUAAUGCAAGUGGCUUCUACCCAAAACUAGGAAGAAGUGUUCUCGUUGAUAAGUCUCUUAUUGUCAAAUCAAAUAACAACAAGAUAACUAUGCAUGAUUUGCUACAAGAAUUGGGUAGGGAUAUUGUCAGUAAAGAAUCAAAUAAUCCUGGAAACUGCAGUCUGUUGUGGCAUCACGAGGAUAUCUAGGAAGUUCUUACAUAUAAUAUGGUAAGCAAUUUGCUGUGGAUAAUAACUUUGGAAUAUUCUAGCAUUUACAAACUUGAUAUGGAUAUAUUUAUAUACUCUCGAAUUGAUGAAUCUAGAAUUAAUAGAAGAGUGACAAUGAUUAGAAAAAAAAAUAGUUGUUAUAAAUGCCGUGACAACUUAUAUAAUUCUUUGUAAGGAUAGUUUAUAAUGUCAAUUUUUAUUGUAUCCCACAUGCGUAAAUUUCAUGUUUAGUAUUACUUGUAUUAUUGUGUUCCUUUGAUUCGAGCAAUGAUAAAAAAAAUCCACUCCAAUCCCACCUCAAUUCCACACAAGAGUGAAAAAAAAGGUUGAAUUAAUAACUAAGUUACCCCUUGUUGUGAAUCAAUGCCAAACAUGCCCCAAAAAUUUGUCUUGGUGGGGUUGAGGUGCAAUUCAUUGGUGGGAUAUAAAUAUCAUUUUUCAUUUUUUUUAAUUGAUUAUUAGGGGACUGAAAAAGUUGAGGGCAUCUGUUUGAAUAUGUCCAAAGUGAAAGAGAUCCACCUAUAUCUCAAUACAUUCACAAAGAUGCGGAAAUUGAGAUUUUGAAAAUUCUAUAGCUCAUCAUUCAAUGGAGAGAACAAAUGUAAGGGGUCUUAUUUGCAAGACCCUAGAUUUACUGAAGUGAAGUAUCUCCACUGGCAUGGAUAUCCAUUGAAGUCAUUGCCUUCAAACAUUAGUGCAAAGAAGCUUGUGUUUCUUGAAAUGCCUAAUAGCAGCAUUGAACAACUUUGGGAUGGUAUGAAGGUAUGUGAAACUUAAUAGUUUAUGAGUGCAAUCUUUCAACUUUGGGAUGGUAUGAAGGAUUUCUAAAGCGCCUUGCUUACGUAGAAUCAGAUCACUUACUUUUGGGGUGCUAUUUUUUCAGUGAGGAGGAUUUCAAUGGUUUUUGGAAAUAUAUGUAAGGUGCCUUAUUUGCAAGACCCUAGAUUUACUGAAGUGAAGUAUCUCCACUGGCAUGGAUAUCCAUUGAAGUCAUUGCCUUCAAACAUUAGUGCAGAGAAGCUUGUGUUUCUUGAAAUACCUAAUAGCAGCAUUGAACAACUUUGGGAUGGUAUGAAGGUUUGUGUAACUUAAUAGUUUAUGUGUGCAAUCUUUCAACUUUGGGAUGGUAUGAAGGAUUUUCUGAAGCGCCUUGCUUACUUUUGGGGUGCUAUUUUUUCAAUAAGGAGGAUUUCAUUGGUUUUUGGAAAUAUAAUUGCGUUCCUGAGGCAGUCCGCUUCUUUUUUUUUUUGGUCUUGACCACGAGAUAUUUGUAUAUUGAUUUGUCAUUUUCACUCAACUCAUUUGUGUUGUGAAUCCAUUCGCUUAAACAUGUAUGCAUUUGUAAGGAAAACUGACUUGUAAGGAAACUAAUAUUAGUUUAUGAAGUGAAUAUUGCGCCGAAAUAUAUGGAAAAUACAAACACAUUGUAAUCAAUUAAUUUUGCGCGAGAGAGGCAGAUAGUUAAUUGAGGCAACAAGUGAGGACGCCACUCAUGCAAAACAACAUCAUCAAAAGCAGAGCUAAACCAAGAGCGAAACCUAUGGAUGGCCGAUUUGAUGAUGACGCUUCUUCAUCAUUCCCCAUUAUUUUACUUCUCGCUACGUACGUAGUACUCUAUGCUACCUUUCUUGCUUCCUUCAAGUGUGCAUUUAAUUGAACACAAUCGUAUUAGUAGUAAUUUAUAUUUACAAAACUGACUUGUAAGGAAAGGAUUGAAGAUGCCUGUGAACUUACGUUUCUAUUUAGAUUAUUGUAUCUUUUUCAUGUAUAAAAUUGGAUCUUAUCAUUCUCAUAUCAUUAACAUAAGUGGAGAAUGUUAAUACCUCUACCAGUGUUUCAUCCACAGAUUUCUUAUUUGCAUAGAUGGAUAGUAAAAUGUUCCUCAAUGUUCCCCUGCAGCACCAAUAUAUACACAUCAUAGAGUUUUUUAGGAUAAUGAACGAAGGACUGAAUAGAGAGAAGAGAAAAUACCUUUGUUUCACAUCCUCAAAGAUUGCAUCUGCAAUUGGCCUUUGCUUCAACAAAGGAUCAAUCAAACAAAGCAAUGGAAACAAUAGCUUGACUCUCCAAUCAUCAACAAUGCCUUGUAGUUUAUGCCGCCAGCAUAAUUCAACAGAACAAGCCCUCUAACAAGUAUUUGUAUGUAUGUAUGAUCAUUCAUUCUCAAUCAACCACCAAACUGAUGUCAACAAAGCCAUGAGGAUUGUCUCACAAGUCUUUCAUUUUCCCUCUCUUUUGGCCGGAGACCAGUAAACCAUUUGAAUAUGGAUGUGCAAACCAGUAAAUAAAUCAUGAAGUUACACACUAGUCUGCUUUCGCACUCAUUCGGAACUAUAAUUGAUACUUACUGCAGGUAUGGUGUAUAAAUUAUUCUAAAGUGAAGGCUGGAUCAAUAAGAAAUUCAAAAUGUUUCAUCACAUUUUGGGCUUGAUGAUGCCAAAGAAAGACCAUACCAAUUAUCACGAACGGUAAAAUGUGAACAAGAACAAGCAUACAUUCAAGAAAGCAGAGAAGCAUCAAUAAAAUAAAGCAUUCUUCUCACUAUUCUAUAUUGUUGGAAAAUGGACCAAAAUAAAAAAGAAACCAUAUAUGGAACGUCACAACAAGAAUAUUUGUGCAUUUGGAGAUCAUAGGAUAUUGGGAAGACAUCGGCAGAAAAGUACACCUUUUUUUUUUUUUUGGGGGGGGGGGGGGAAAGGAACAGAGAAGUGCAAAUCAAAAAGGAGAAAAAAAUGAAAACAGAGAGAUGAAAAGGAAUGCAAUCUAAUUAAUCAUCCAAGGAGGCUACUAUGCUACAUUUAGCCAUUGGUUGAAUAGGCAGCUUGUCUUCUAGUACAACUUUAAAUUUACCAAGAUUGAGAAUUUUCCUUCUGAAGAAAAGUAAUUUCUAUAGCAGCUAUUACCAUCUUCAUCCCAACAGUAAGCAGCUCCAUACUAAGGAAAGAGUGAAAUAGGUGUGCUUUACUUAUAGAAGCCCGUUCCUGUCCAGAGUGAUUAGUAAGUUGUUUCACCAUGACCCCCAUUAUGGUGACUGGAAAAAGAAAAAAAGAAAUAUUUGCCCAACACAGAAGUAGCACCCAAAAAGUCCUACUUAAGUGGCUUCAUACCCUGCACAAAUUGGAAAGUUUUUUAAAAUUUUCAUGUUCCAAAUGAAGAUUGUCCAUUAAAAAUUUACACACGUAAUGUAUGUAAAGCAAUUAAAACAGAAAAACAAGGAUAACCCAGAAACAAUCCAACCAUCAAUAACAUAAAACUUUUGUAAUUCUGGUAAAGUGAAUGAGAAGCAGAACAUACAUUUCACGUAAUAAUGAAGAUACAUCUUUUAAUCAGUUUUUGCUCUUGCUUUAUUCUUGUACUUCCUUCCAAUAACAAUUCAUAAUGCAGAUACAUAUUUUAAAAAAUUAUAUCAUACAUUUCUCUUAUCAAUGAAGCAGGUUGCUAUUGAACAUUAUUCAUAAACAAAGAGCCAAAUAUGCUUUAAAGCUACUUGCAAAUAUGCCAUCAGGCAUUGAGACAGAGUGACAGACACUCGACAACAAAAACAGAGUUAUCAGCACUUAACAACACAAAAGUCAAAAAGCAAUUACUCUAAGUAAUUCUUCUUCUUCUUCGAAGAAUUUGAACAACAAUUGUCAUUGGUUCUGUAAUUGCAAGACAAGAACAAGGGCUGAUAAUUCCCACGAUGCUUGUAAGACGGAAAGUUUAUGUUUUUCCUUCCGAGCUGGGAAAUCCGAAGCAGGAAAGUUUACAACGUCAUCAUCAAUUUCAAUUUCGUACCUGGUAAUCAAAGCAAAGCUUCGUACUAGUAACACACUCUUAUGGCAGGCCCAGCCCAAUCAGCCCAAUCCAGCCCAGUCGAGCAAGUGAGCAAUGUUAUUAUUUUAUUAUUUUUUAACUCUCGGUGGCUCUGUUAUAUUUGCAAAAUACUCUUCUUCUAAGGGUGUGUUUCAUUGUUCAUUGGAGGAUUAAAAGUGGGGAUUGGACUUUUUUUAAAAACAAUUUAUCCUAGUCUCAUGUUUGGUGUUGUUAAGACUAUAAGGAUUUAGUUAUUUUGGACCCACAAGCUAAUCUCAAUUUUGUAAAAAAAAAUAUCUCAAAAGGGGCCAUGGGAUUAGUUAGUAUUGGAUUAUAUUGAUAACUCAAUUAAAUAUAAUAAUUUAUAAAUCUUAAAAUUAUCGUAAUAUCUGAUGACUAUAAUAAAAAAUAUUGAUUUUAAUAAUGUAAAUAUUAAAUUAUACUAAAAAUCAUUAUUAAUUUUCAUAUUAAAUUAAAAUUCUAUUUUAAUUUAUUUAAUUAUUAAAUAUUUUUAUAAUUUCAAAUUUACAUAUUAAAUUAAUAUUCAAAAAUAUAAUUUUUUUAAUAAAAUAGUAGAUUAUAGAAUAAAAAUAAUAAAAAUAUCAUAAAUAUAUUUAACAAAAUAAAAAUAUUUCUAUUUCAUUAAUAUCAUUGAGGUUGAUUUGUAUAAUUAAUAAAUCAAAAUUUUAGUUUAUAAUAAUAAUAACUUGUAAAUUGUAAUAUUAUAAUAUAAGUCAUGAUUAUUUAUAGUCCAAUCUAAUAUUGCACUAAACACAACAUAAUAUUAUAUAUAAUCUAAUAUUAUCCAAUUUAAUCCGAUCCAAUCUAAUCUAAUCCAAUCUAGCAUACCAAAUGAGCUCUUAUAAGGGAGAGGGAUAUAUUUUAUGUUAGAAUCUUUUCAAAAUAAAUGGCACUUUAAAAAGGUGUCUGACUAUAAAGAUAUGUUUACUUAAACAAUGUUAUAUAUAAUAAAAACAUAUCCUUUUUAUUUAAAGAUGCAUCCAUUCACAGUUUUAUACUUCAAUUUCAAAUGAUGAUAGUUUAUUUUAGACUAGUGAUGAUCUAGUUCAAAUUUUGAUUUAAUAACCAUGAAUGAAAGAGUAUUAUGAAAGAUAACAAUCGAAAUAAAAGAGCACGUGAUUAUCUAUAAAUAGAAGUCACGACCAUUUUGUGAUCCAUCUAAUCUUCCCACGGUACUCUUUUUUCACUAGGAAAGCGACAUUUAUAAUAUGCCUCUGUCGAUUCUUUUUGUUUUAUUCUUCUUCUCCUCCUUCUCAUUCUUCCCCAUAUUUCAAUUAAAAUAAGAAUGAAGCUAUUGGCACCCCUUCAUUAUUCUUAUAAAACCCUAUUUCAAAAAAAGGAAAUUACAGUUAAAGACAAAAAAAGAAACAAACACAUAGGAUUUUUUUCCCCCAACAAAUUACUUACAUUCAUAAUCAAUCUUUUUUUUUUAAUUUCCUACCUAUUAUUUCUUAUCUAACUAAAAUAAGUUAUAUAAAUUUAGAAUAAUCUAUUUUUCUUUUCCUAUUUCUUAUUGAUUAAAUAUUUUUGUACUUAAGAUUACUUUCAAACUACAAUCUAAAAUAUGUGUUAUUUGAGCUAAUGAUUAGCAUUCAAAAUUUAUCACCUAAAAAACUUUUUAGUUUGUAUGUAGGAUAACAAUAAGAUUGUAAAAGAAAUAAAAAAAAAACAGCUAAUAAAAAAAGAUUAAAUGAAAAACUAAAAGAGUGUCUUUAAAAAUAAAAGGAGAUUUUUGUGAAAUAAAAUAAAUGUAACCGAAAAAGUAGUUUCAUGAGGAGGCUAGAAGAAUGCCAAUAGUCUAGCUCUUAAAAUAAAGGUUUAUCAAUUAUUGCUCCUUUUUUCCACAAUUAUUAUUCCCCACGAAUAUUUCUCCAACAUUUUAUUUCAUAUCUUUACUUCUACUAUACUCUAACAAAAGAUGCCUUUUUGGACUACACCAGUCUUCACCUGCAUUUUAUUAAUAAAUUAAAUAAAGGCCCCAUCCACUGUUCAAUUUCUCUAUUUUUUUAAUAAUUAACCACUUUCUUUUAGCUCUCUAAAAAUUUAUUAAGGAAUUUGUUGUGUAAAUAUAAAAAAAUAUAUUUUACACUUCGAAAUUUAAAAUGACCUUUUAGCAUAAAAAUUUAAAACAAAUACCUCUAACUAAAGAAGAAAUUUUAGAAUACAUCAAAAGUAUUCAAUAAGUGAAUCAUGCUACGACAUAUGUGCACUUAUUUUAAAAAACCAUCAUACAAAUGGUGAUUAUAUUGAAUCUAAAUAUGUACAUAUCAUAUAUGACACAACCCACCUCGACCCUUCUGCUAUAUCUGAAUUGAAUUAUGCAAUCUUAAAUCUAAAACUUGUUACAUAAACUUAAUUCAUGAGAAUAUAACACUCGCCUUUGCCUUUGUUAUAAAUAUCUAAUAACAUAUGUGCCUCAUUGAAAAAUAUAUUCAAAAUUUGCAUAGUUCACAUCUUAUUGUACGUAAUAUACAUAUAAACAUAAACGUGCUCAAAAUGUAAGUCAUGCAGUAAUGCGUGUUAUGGCCCAACCUCAACUGAUCAGAAACUGAACUGCACAAAAUCCUACAGAAACCUUAGAGAAAUGGGGUAAAUAGGAAAAUAGUAAGCUUGUGGCUCAAUGAAUAGACAUAAUUACAUAUAAAAAUAAAUUAGUGCUUUAGUGCUUGUACAUAAUUGUAUGACAUAACUUCACACUGAAUUCAUUACAAAAGCAAACAUAAAGUCAUAUAUACAUACAUGACAAAAUUGCACUAAAUAAUAUCCUGGGAAAAUAACUCUCAAUACUCACUAGGAUCAUCAUCGUACGAAUAAAGUGGGGAAAAAACCUCUCAAUGCUCAGCGGAACUAACUGCAUCACAAGAGCUGAGUGAUCUAACUCUCAAUACGCAUGUGUAGGGUCUAUGGGGAAGGGUACACAUAUGGUGCUUGGCAAUCAAAUCUCAUGACUCAAUCAAUCAUAUAAUGUACGUACAUAUAAUCAUAACAUUAUACUAAAUCAUAUAAUCAAACAUAAAUGCUUUGUAGAAUACAUAAUAGUAGUAAUAAUAAUCCACUCACAGAUCCUAUUUCACUUUGGGGUUUGUUAGGGAUCUUGUGGAUUCCUUAAUUUUUGGAUUUCUCCUAAAAUACAGGGUUUAAAAAUUAACUUUUAGAACUGAUAAAAAAAACAUAUAUGUAUGAUGUAAACUAAAUCAUAAUUGUUCAAAUUUCUUAUAUAUGUUAUUGGGGUUUGGUGGGGAUCUUGUGGAUUCCUUAAUUUUUGGAUUUCUCCUAAAAUACAGGGUUCAAAAAUUAACUUUUAGAAUUGAUGAAGUAGGAGCAGAACCCAGCCUCCGGAGGCGUAGAGUCGAGGAAAUCCCUCCGCCGGCAGACCAACCUAAUGGGGUGCAUCCCCACAGAAGUACUGGUCGGGUUCCAGGAGAACGCGCGGAUGAAGGAAGGGACCAACCUCGCCCCAGACGGGUACUGGAAAUUGAUGGCCGAGGGGGCAAUGUUGAUGAAGGAGAGCUCAGAAAGCGGUUGCAGAAUGCCGAGCAGGAGCGAGAUCAGAUAGUUGCGCGUGAUCCUGACCGUGCUGUAGAAUUGGAAAGAGAUGUGCGCAGAUUAGCGCAGGUGAUGGAGGAGAUAUAGGGCAAGAGGAAGCCCCCGAGCUGGAGGAUAAUGUUAGAUGAAGAAUAUCCGUUAUCAACCGAGAUCAUGGGUACAGUAAUCCCAAGAGAUUUUCGUUUCCUCGACCUCAAAUACUCCGGGCGAAGUGACCCGCUGGUGCACAUUGAGCGUUUCAACGACAUGACGGGUGUGCAGGGGCUGACACCAGCUCAGAGGUGCAGGGUGUUCCCAUUGACACUAGAGGGACGAGCCCGAGAAUGGUACCACAAGCUGCCCUGAGGAAGUAUAAAAGGGUACGAGCAGAUGUGCCAGGAGUUGGCUGAAUAGUUCCGAGGAGCAGUGGCCCCAGAGGACGACAUGAUGGAAUUGAUGGGGAUGAAACAGGAGGAGCAUAAAUCCCUUCGAAAUUUUGUAAAAUGAUAUCACUGAGUCGUGCUGGAUCUAGGAGCUUUUAAUCACUCGCAGGCGUUGAGGGGAUUAAAAGAAGGUGUAAGAAUCGACCGAUUGUGGUAUAACUUAAGAAGCCCCCUAGUGCAGAAUUACUUGGCGGGGUAUGAACAGGCGAGGCGAGAUAUAGAAAUCGGCAAGGAUAAAAAGUGAACAGCUGGAAGAGCUGAGACGAAAGGAACGGAGAGCCUCGAACGGGAGCGGGUCGAGAAAGCGAGCUGGGGAAUCUUCAGUAAUGGGUGGAAUAUUAGCUCUGUCCCGCCCUUACCCCAUGGCUCCGAGAUCACAACAGUUCCAACACAACCGGGCUCAACCUCCGAGCCCCCCGUACCCAGAGCGGCAGCGAGAAUUCAGGCAGAUGGCUACCCACCCUUAUCACAAUACUCCCAGAGUGUUAAAUGCAACUAAUUCCAAGUCUGGACGACCAGAGCAGCUACCGACCAUACCAGCCCGAGGUGACAUCCAUGAUAGCCGAGCAGUUCAAUUGGUUGACCAGAGCGUGGCAUAUAGACAGUACACUCCAUUAAAAAUCUCCAUAGAGGAACUGUAUGAGAGGAUCGAGGGACGAGGCCUGCUGUACCCUCCAGCCCCUAUAACAAAACCUGCUCACCGACGGGAUAAGAGCAAAUUCUGUAAAUUCCACAACACUCAUGGUCACACUAUCAGCCAAUGUCAUGACCUAAAGAUUCAGGUGGAGGAUUUAGUGAGGAACCGAUACUUGGAUGAGUAUGUAGAUGGAGUGUCCCCUGUCAUUGAAUCACAAGACACACGGGAUGAAGGAGUUGAGAGGGAUCUGGAACGUGAACAGCCGGCUAUCCGUGUUAUAGCAGGAGGGCCAACAUUGGCUGGGGAUUCGAACAGGGCACGGAAGAACUAUGGGAGAUACGCCAUGACCAGCAAAGAAGUGCUUUUCAAUUUGCCAGCAGCCAAGAAGGCAAAAGUGCGGCAAAUUCCCAUUAUGUGGACAGAUGACGACGAAGAGGGUAUUUUAUAUCCUUAUGAGGAUGCAUUGGUGAUUAAGGCAAUGGUGGCUGGUACAGAAUUGCGACGAAUACUGGUGGAUACGGGCAGCUCGGUUGACAUCCUGUUUAAGUCGGCCCUAGAUAAUAUGGGAAUUGUAAACUUGAAGUUGGAACGGACAAAUACAUCCUUAAAGGGAUUUGGAGGGGGACGGUUAACUCCCAUGGGGAUCAUCGAACUCCUGAUUACUGUGGGGACAAAGCCGUUUGAAAGAAUGAUGAUGUUGGACUUUGUCGUGGUAGAGGAAAAAAGCCCUUACCAGAUGAUACUGGGGAGACCGUUCAUGAGGAUAAGCCAAUGUGUAAUGUCCACGCAUUAUCUGGCGCUGAAGUACAGAGUAAAUGGAGUUGUUGGUGUAGUAAAAGGCAACCAGAGAAUGGCAAGGAGCUGCUAUGCUACAGCGGCCAAGGAAACGCUGCAGGUUACCUCUCUAGAUAAUCGAGGGGAUUCGAAAAAGGGUCGCCAGGAACCUGUCGAGAUGUUGGAGGGAGUUGUUGUAAGCAAGAGUAACCCGAGCAGAGUAGUUAAGGUCGGGUCAGAAUUGGGCGAAGCAAUAAAAGGCGAGUUGGUAAAGUGUCUACAGUCCCAUGCAGACAUAUUUGCCUGGUCUCAUAAGGAUAUACCAGGAAUUGAUCGAAGGGUAGCCUGCCACAAGUUGGCGAUCAGGAGAGGAGCAAGGCCAGUGAGGCAGAAAAUGAGGUGCUUCAACCAGGAAAGGUACGAGGCUAUAAAUGCUGAGGUGGAAAAGUUGCUGAAAGCAGGAUUUAUAAGGGAAGCCAAGUACCCGGAGUGGAUUUCCAAUGUAGUACUAGUAAAGAAGGUCAAUGGGAAGUGGAGAAUGUGUAUAGACUUCACGGACCUCAAUAAGGCAUGCCCGAAGGACAGCUUUCCCCUACCAAAAAUAGAUCAGUUGGUGGACUCAACAGCGGGUCAUAGUCUGCUCAGUUUCAUGGACGCUUUUUCCGGAUACAACCAGAUACCCAUGGACGAGCAGGAUGAGGAAAGCACCACCUUUAUAACUAACAUGGGUUUGUUUUGUUACAGGGUGAUGCCUUUUGGCCUGAAAAAUACAGGAGCUACCUAUCAAAGAUUAGUGAACAAGGUCUUCAAACCAUUGAUCGGUCACACUAUGGGGGUAUAUGUGGACGAUAUGAUCACAAAGUCAAAGGAACCGAGAGAUCAUGUGAAGCACUUGGAAGAGACCUUCGAAUUGCUGAGAAGGUAUGAAAUGAAGCUGAACCCGGAGAAAUGUGCAUUUGGGGUCAACUCGGGCAAAUUUUUGGGAUACCUGGUGAGCCACCGAGGGAUUGAGGCCAACCCGGAAAAGAUACGGGUGGUGAUAGAAAUGAGGUCCCCAUGAACAGUUAAGGAAGUGCAGAGCCUUACGGGGAAAUUGGCAGCAUUGAACCGAUUCAUUUCGCGAGCCACUGAUAAGUGCCACACUUUCUUCCAAAUCAUAAAGAAAUGGAGGAAGAUGGAAUGGACAUCGAAAUGCGAGGAGGCAUUUGGACAGCUAAAGGAAUACCUAGCCCGCGCCCCGUUACUAUCAACUCCGAGAGAGGGUGACCAGCUGCUUUGGUACUUGGCAAUCUCUAAAUGGGCUACCAGCUCGGUAUUAGUCAGGGAGGAAGAAGGAAGGCAACACCCGGUAUAUUAUACAAGCAAGGCCCUAGUGGAUGCAGAAACCAGGUAUCCACUGAUGGAGAAGUGGGCACUGGCUCUAAUAACGGCAGCACGCAAACUCCGACCAUAUUUCCAAGCCCACCAGAUUAUUGUGAUGACUGACCAGCCCCUUCGGCAAAUGCUUCAAAAACCAUAUGCAUCUGGUCAGUUAGUAAAAUGGUCCGUGGAGUUGAGCGAGUUUGACCUAUCUUAUAAGCCCCGAGGAGCAAUCAAAGCCCAAGCUCUGACCGAUUUUAUGAUUGACCGAGCUGAACCAGGGGAAGAGAUUCGGGAGGAACAAGCAAUCGAGCAGGAGAAACCAGAGGGGGUGUGGCUGGUGAUGGUCGAUGGGUCGCGUAGUGAACAAGGGUCCGGAGCAGGAGUGGUAAUACGGAGCCCAGAAGGGGUCGAGGUAUUCUAUGCAGUAAAAUUUGAGUUUCAGCUUACGAAUAACCAAGCUGAAUAUGAGGCCUUCAUUACUGGGCUCGGGCUUGCACGCGCGCUACGAGCUGAAAGAGUAGAAAUCCGAGCAGAUUCCCAGCUAGUUUGCAAUCAGCUCUGCGACCAAUUCCAAGUAAGGGAAGAGAAGUUGGGGCUUUACUUGAAGAAGGCGAAGCAAAUGGUCGGACUCUUCAAAGAGGUAGAGGUAAAGCAGAUAUCCCGGAAUGAGAAUUACCGAGCCGAUAUGUUGGUUAGGAUGGCUGCAACUGCAGAUGCAAAAUUACCUAAGUCAGAGGUGAGGAUGUCACCAAGUAUAGGGGGAGAAGUAGAGGUGAUGAGAAUAAGCACUGGAGAAUCCUGGAUGGACCCGAUUCGCGCAUAUAUCCGCGAUGGAGUAUUACCAGAGGACAAAAGUCAAGCCAGAAAAUUAAAAUACCGAGCAGCGAGGUACACGCUACUUGACGGAGUGCUGUAUCGCCGGUUCACCUUGCCCCUUUUAAGAUGUUUGGAUGACGAGGAGGCAGAUUAUGUACUGAGGGAGAUUCAUGAAGGGAUAUGUGGCAAUCACUCGGGAGCAAGAACUUUAGCCUUCAAGGCACUCCAGCAAGGAUACUUCUGGCCAACCAUGCACCAGGAUGCGAAAAGGAUGGCAAAGAACUGUAAAACCUGCCAAAGCUUCUCUGUGGUUCCUGCACAACCCCCAGAAAAGCUGACCACUAUGAUGUCCCCAUGGCCUUUUGCUCAAUGGGGAAUCGACCUGAUUGGCUCAUUACCAAAGGGCCGAGGAGCGGCAACACAUACUAUUGUAGCAAUAGAUUACUUCACUAAAUGGGUAGAAGUGGGAGUCCUCAGCCAAAUCACGGAGAGAAAGACAACGGAUUUUAUUUGGAAGAAUAUCAUCUACAGAUACGUAAUCCCCUAUACCAUCAUCACAGACAAUGGGAGGCAAUUCGACAACAACAACUUUAGAGAAUUUUGCCGGAACCUGGGGGUGGACCUGAAGUUCUGCACCCCCGCACACCCACAAGCAAAUGGACAAGUGGAAGCAGCCAACAAAGUAAUAAAGAAACUCCUGAAAACAAGACUGGGAGAGAAGAAGGGAGCUUGGGUCGACGAAUUACCAGGCGCACUGUGGGCUUACUGGACAACUCACAAAACCGCCACCGGGGAAACCCGUUUGCUUUAGCUUUUGGUCAUGAGGCGGUAGUCCCAACAGAAAUUGGAGUAGGAAAGCAUCGGACAGAACAUUUCAAUAAGGAGCAAAAUGAUGAGCAGAUCUGCUUGAGCCUGGACCUAUUGGAGGAGAAAAGGGAAGGGGCCUCGCAGAAAGUGGCCCAGUGUCAGCAGAGGGUCACGCGUUAUUACAACAAGAAAGAACUCGUGAGGCAGUUCCGAGCAGGGGAUUGGGUGAUUAGGAAGGUGAAUCAAAACACUAGGGAUCCUUACCAUGGCGUGCUCGACUCGAAAUGGGAAGGCUCGUACAGGGCGAUUCGAGCGACUGGACCAGGGGCUUACAAGCUAGCGUACCCAAACGGGCGAGACGUGAAGAGGUCGUGGAACGCCGAGCACUUAAAGAAGUAUUUCCAGUAAGCAAAGUGCUCUACUAAGUCUUCAUUUUGACAAGUUAUUUCUAUUAAAUGCAUGAUGAAGUGUUACACAUGCAUAUAUUCCGCAUUUUUGUAAUGCAUUCAACUUUCAAUAAAGACGAAUUCAGCAUGAAAUCCCUCUGUUGACAGUCCCAUUAAAUUUUUACUAAGGCAAAUAUGUGCCUACUCCUGCUCGGUCACCGAAGACCAGCAGGCAAUUGCAAGAAAUUUUACUAAGGCAAGUAAGUGUUUGUUCCUGCUCGGUCAACGAAAGACCAGCAGGCGAUUCCACGAAAUUCAACUAAGGCAAAUAAGUGCAUGCUCCUGCUCGGUCACCGAAGACCAGCAGGCAAUUGCAAGAAAUUUUACUAAGGCAAGUAAGUGCCUGUUUCUGCUCGGUCAACGAAAGACCAGCAGGCGAUUCCACGAAAUUCGACUAAGGCAAAUAAGUGCUUGCUCCUGCUUGGUCACCGAAGACCAGCAAGCAAUUGCAAGAAAUUUUACAAAGGCAAGCAAGUGCCUGUUUCUGCUCAGUCAACGAAAGACCAGCAGGCAAUUUUAUGAAAAUUCUACUAAGGCAAGUUAGUGCCUGCUUCUGCUCGGUCAAUAAAAGACCAGCAGCCAAUUUUACGAAAAUUCUACUGAGGUAAGUUAGUGCCUGCUCCUGUUCGGUCAACGAACGACCAGCAGGCAAUUUUGCAAAAAUUUUACUAAGGCAAGCGUAUGCCUAUUCCUGCUCGGUCCACUAAAGAACCAGCAGGCAAAAUCAGAUAAAUUGUCAAGUUAAUUUGCAGAAACAAUCCAUGAGCAAAAACCAGACAAGAAACCCAAUAGAGAGCAUCUAAAAAUUUAUAAACGUUCAAAUGUUUACAAAACAAAUGAAAAUCUAGAGUCUAUACAAAAAUAGACCUAAAGAUUAGGAGGGUCAACGGCUCCAGCAGGUGAAGGAUCAGCAAUCUCGGGAGGUGGAAGAUCAGCAGUACCGAGAGGAGGAGGCACGGACCCUUGACCCACUUCAAAAGCACGUCCCCCAGCUUCCCCCUCCUGCACCCCAUCUAAAGGAGUCUCCACCUGAUCCUGCUCACCCUACUCCUUAUCUGUCUGGCCGACCUCUGCCAUAUACCGCUGCACUCCAACUUCCAGCUUGCUCAUGUCCAGCUCGGGAUAUUCUUCCUUAAGCACAGACAUGAUGCACUUAUAGGAGAAAGCAACCCCAAAGUCAUACUCGGCAUCCAGCCGAUCGUCCACAUCAGCAGAUUUGCCUUUCUCCUCAGCCAGCUGCUCGCUCAGAGAUUUGAUUUCUCCCUCAAGGGCGGUCCUCAAAGUAUCUCUCUCACUUUGAGUAGCCUGAAGAUCAGACUUCAGGUCACCCAACUCACCCUCAAGUUUGGAGGUGGUGGACUCAGCAACAGCAACUUUCUCCUCCAGAUCCGUGCUCUACUUGUUCAGCUCAGCCAGCUUCUCCUUCAAGCGAUCAGCAGAUUCAGCUUUCUUCUUCAACUCCUGAUUGUUGGCUUGAAGCCUCCUCUCAAGGCGCGUGGACCCAUUCUUGUAACACGAAACCAAGGUGGCCAGCCUGAAGGAGACUCUUUGAACAGAACCAGCUAGCUCGAAGAGGUCCAUACUCUCGAUGUCCUUCACCAUCUUGGGCCCCACCAAUUUUCUGUAAUCCUUCUAAUACGGGCUCAGGUAGUCACCUUGAUCCCGCGAUGGAAGAGGAGAGGAUCGGUCCCCAGACUGGAUGCUGACCUUAGGACUCUUAUCGGAAGUUUUCUCCCCACCACUCUUACGAGGUAGAAGAGGGGGCAGAGCAGGAACAGGAGCCUUGGAAAGACCGACGCUGGUUUUCUUUGGAGGAGGGGGAGGGUUGCUGGAGCUGCUUGAAGCCCGACCACGCUUUCUGCUCAUCGCGCUGAGGAUUUUGUUAUCCAUUCCAGCAGCUAUGUCCACUAGACCCGAACCGACCAGGUUUGUUGGUGACAGGAGGUCUUGGCAGGUAGACGCGUUCACCAGAGCAGUUUCCACCUGAAGCAAAGGUCGGUCUUCAAGCCCCUCGAUCAAACCCCACGACUUUGAAAUAACAAAAAAGGUUAAAGAACCCAAAUAAGUGACAAUUUGAUUAAGAACAUAGGCAAAAAUGAACGACCUGGGGUGACAAAAUGUGUUGGAAGGUAAAUAUCCCCACCAAGCGACCGAACUGCUGGACACCAGUUUCCUCUAGCAAAGAAGAAUUUGUUCUUCUAAUUUUUACAUGAAGAAGGAAACCCAGUGAUCGGUUUCCUCUUUGCAGAACUUGACAUAAAGUAGUACCAGCCCGCUUCCCUCGGGCUACUCCACAGCUGGUACAGAUGCUUCACUUCAACAAGGGAAGACUCCUCCAACCCGCACCUCUCCCACAACACAAACAUUGCCGAGAGAACCCUCCACCCAUUUGGGUGUAGCUGACCUGGGGCUAGGUGCAUACCGCCCAGUAUCUUGGCAAAAUAACGUUGAAGGGGCAGCCGAGCUCCUAGUCUGAAACUCUCCAAGUGCAUCGUCACAUACCCUUUCGGAGGCUGACUAGGAACAUCACCUUUUUCAGGAACUACAAGGAGAACCUCAUUGGGAAUGUUAUAGAGGUUCGUAAGCUUAAAUAGAUCGGUGGGGGUGGUGGCACAAUCUAUGAAAUCAAUAGGGUAAGAAUCCGCCUCCACCCUAUGGCCAAGAUUUCUUUUCUUAGCAGGUCCGCUCGGCUCGGAACUGCUCCCCUCACCAUCACCCACUUCUCCAGGGACCCCAACCCCACCAGAACCGUGGUUCUCACCCGAGCCAGAAGCAGGUCCCCCUCUAUUUCCUACAAGUUCUAAUUCAGGGGAAGGUGAAAUGGUCAGGGGACGUGGGUACUCAAGGGUAUCCCUACCAUGGGAAAGACCUACACUACUAGAGGGAUGUAAAAAAUCAGUGGGUAUGGACAAUUUAAGGUUUGAAUCCCCUGUUUCUUCGUCACUCUCAUUGGUAAUUAACUUCCUUUUCUGAUUUGACAUAUCGAAAUCCCAAAAGAAAACAAAGCAAACUCGAGUAUAUGGAUACAAAAGGGGCAACACAGAACCCAACCAACAACAACCAGAGAAGAAGUUAAAAGUUAUACUUGGAAUAAACUGGCACUUAGAGCGCUGCCGUGACAGAGAGAACACCCAGCAAGUGGAUACUCCGGACGCAUGAAGUGUGAGCAAAGUUUGAAGAGGGGGUUGAUUAACGACGGAGAAACGAAUAACAAAACGAUGACAAUUUCAAUCUAGGGAUUUGAAGCGAAAAGGGGGAAAUGGAAGCAUUUAAGUGAGGGGGGUGCCAGCUCACUCACCGGAUAUCGAGGAAUGGAUAGCCCGUCGUUUCAAAUUUCAAAUACGAAGAGUCUGGAGAUGCCACGUCACUAACCGUUAUAAGAGGCCAGGUUAGAUGUGAGCCCAGAUAUGCAAUGGACAAGCUCAUGAAGGCCCAUGCUCAGGUCGGAGUCCCCCUAGAGGAAAAACGGAACCUCAGGUCCAUCCCAGUAAAAAGAAGACCAGAUGAGAAGUUCCCCGGGCCGGUAAUAUUCUAUUAUCAGUUUCUACUCUCAACUCGUUUCACUCGCAAGACCAGAAACUGGGGGACUAAUGUUAGGUAAAUAAGAGCACCAGCUCGGUCAUGCCAUAGUCCCCACCCCGGGGUGGAUCACCUCAGCCGAACGGUAUAAGCAGAACACUGGAAAUAAGCCUUCUACAAAUAUGAGCCAACCAGAGAUGAGUACCAGCCACAGAAGUACACCGACCAGAAGCAUAUACCGAGCCGAUACCCAUCCCCCAAAGAACGGAAACACGAUUUCACAGAAUCACGAUAGUUGCGCAUUUCCCAGAACCGUCGAGGGAGACGCGAGAUCUCACGAUUGCCCACAAUGUAGCAGUUAAAGUCCCAUGAAGGGCUGCCACUACCUGAAAAAAGAGGGAUGAAGGGUAAACGGAAAUGUGGGGUAGCAGCUAUAAAAGAGGAAGAAAUCAAUGAAGAAAGGGGGACAGAAAAACUGAGAGAAGGGAAAACUCUGCCAAAUUGUAUCCAGACCCUUUUCAAUACCAAUAGUGAGCCAAUUCUAAGCAAUUAUUUGAAUCUUAAUUGCACCGUUUUCCCGUAAACACCUUGUGCUAACUUAGGCAUCGGAGGGUUUACGCCGGCAAAACCACCGGCGUCUCUGAUCCAUUUUUGUGAACGCAGGCUUAGUGAGAAAAAGAAGGAGAAGUCUAACUUCAGUAACUAGAGCGAUCGUUGAAGUAAGGAGAAAUUGACAUCCUCAUUGUUGAUAACACAAACGUUGGUGUAAAGAUCUGGUCAGGCAGAGGACGAGCAGAUUUCAGCAUCAACAUAAUUUAUAGGGAGAUUGUAAAUUUCCUUACUCAAAUCAAUAUAUACCACUUAUUCUGACUAUUUUUACAAUAUUUAAUAACUCUCCUGGUACCAUCACUUUGCAAUAUUAUCCUUCUGAAAAACAAUAAGUAGUAUAUAUUAAUUUCAAUUGGAAAACUAGCAAUCUCCCUUAUUUCAUAUUUCAUGCAAAUUCCUCCUAUUUGAAGUUACUGCUGCUAAUUUUAUGUAUUUGGUAGGCCUGAAUCGGAACUUAUAAACGAAGUUGUUAAUCAUAUUUUAAAGAGACUGCUGGAUCAAGUUUUUCGGCGGAAUGAUAACAAAAACCAGCUGGUUGGAGUAGAAUCAAGAGUUGAGGAAAUUGAAUAUCUACUAGGUGUUCAGUCGAAAGAUGUUUACGCUUUAAGGAUUUGGGGCAUUGGUGGUAUAGGCAAAACAACAAUCGCUAGAGCUACUUUCGACAAAAUCUCUAGCGAUUUUGAAGGUUCUUGCUUCCUUGAAAAUGUUAGAGAAGAGUCACAAAAACCGGGAGGAUUAGGUUGCUUGCGACAAAAACUUCUUUCAAAUUUAUUGAAAGAUAAAAAUGUGAGUCUUGAUAUUGGUCUCAAUUUUAGAAGGCUCAGCCGCAUGAAGGUUCUGAUUGUUUUUGAUGAUGUGACUUGCUUCAGCCAAUUAGAAUCUAUAAUUGGAAGUCUUGAUUGGUUGACGCCUGUGAGUCGAAUCAUAAUAACCACCAGAAAUAAACAAGUGCUUAGAAAUUGGGGGGUGAGUAAAAUAUAUGAGAUCGAGGCAUUAGAAUAUCAUCACGCUCUUGAGCUUUUCAUUCGACAUGCCUUCAAACAAAACCAUCCUUACGUUGGUUACGAGCAAUUUUCAAGGAAGGCAAUGAAAUAUGCUCAAGGUGUUCCUUUAGCUCUUAAAGUUUUGGGUUGCUUUCUAUAUGAAAGAGAAAAGGAAGUCUGGGAAAGUGCAAUAAAUAAAUUGCAAAGAAUCCUCCAUCCAAGUAUCCUAGAGGUAUUAAAAAUAAGUUACGAUAGUUUGGAUGAUAAGGAGAAAAAUAUUUUCCUUGAUGUUGCUUGUUUCUUUCAAGGCGAGGAUGUAAAUCUAGUAAUGAAAUUCCAUAAUGCAAGCGGUUUCUACCCAGAAAUAGGAAUAAGUGUUCUUGUUGAUAAAUCUCUCAUUGCUAUUGGUUCAUACAACCAGAUAAGAAUGCAUGAUUUACUACAAGAGUUGGGUAGGGAAAUUGUUCGACAAGAAUCAAUUAAUCCUGGAAACCGCAGUAGGUUGUGGCAUCAUGAGGAUAUCUAUGAAGUUCUUACAUAUAACACGGUAAGCAGUUUGUUGUGGAUAAUUAUUUUGAAAUAUUCUAGCAUUUACAAACUUGAUAUGAAUAUAUUUAUAUAUGCUCGAACUGAUGAGUGUUAGAAUUAAUAGAAGAGCGACAAUGAUUAGAAAAAACCAUAUCCGUUAGAUGACGUAGCAAUAAAUUAUAAAUGCCAUGACAACUUGCAUAAUCGUCUGCAAGCAUAAUUGAUAUGCCAAUUUGUAUAGUACACAGACGGAAUUUUUAUAUUAAGUAUUACUUGUGUUAUUAUGUUUCUUUGUGCAUUUGCAAUUAAAAGUUUAACUGCCUAGCAAUAACUAAAAACAUGAAUUAUUGAUUUGAGAAAUGAUGAAGAGUCCACUCCAAUCCCACAUAAACUCGACUAAAUAAUAAAUAAAAAGUUGAAUUAUUAACUAAGCUACCUCUAAUUGUGAAUUAGUGAGAAACUUGCCCCAAAAAUUUGACUUGGUGGGGUUGAAGUGCGAUUCAUUGGUGGAAUACACAUAUCUUUCAUUUGAUUUUAACUUUAUUGCUUUUUCAUUUAUUUUUAGGGGACAGAAAAAAUUGAGGGCAUGUGUUUGGAUAUGUCAAAAGUAAAAGAGCUCCAUCCAAAUUCCAAUACUUUCACAAAGAUGCCUAAAUUGAGAUUUUUAAAGUUCUAUAGUUCAUUAUUCAAUGGAGAGAACAAAUGUAAGAUGUCUUAUUUGCAAGACCCUGGAUUUGCUGAAGUGAAAUAUCUUCACUGGCAUGGAUAUCCGUUGAAGUCAUUACCCUCAAACCUCAGUGCAGAGAAGCUUAUGUUACUUGAAGUGCCUGAUAGUGACAUUGAACGACUUGGGAUUGUGUGAAGGUAUGCAUAUCUUAUUAUAUAUGUGCAAUCUUUCAAUAACAACCUUAAAUUAUUAUACGUGGUAACGAUUUUGUCUUGGCCUCAUUUUUGACCGAGCAGCAUUAUAGUAAGUUAAACCAGAUAAUCCAUGCUGCCUGCCAUAAGCUAAUUGCCAAAAUUCCAAAUCCCACGUUGAUGCCACGUCUGAACAAGCUAGUUACGUUGAAUCUAAGAGGUAGCAAAAGCCUGAAAAGUCUUCCAUCUGGAAUAUUUAACUUGGAAUUUCUUACCAAACUUGAUCUAUCGGGCUGCUCAAAACUGAAAAGGCUUCCAGAGAUCUCAUCAGGUAAUAUAAGCUGGUUAUUUUUAAGGGGGAUUGCAAUUGAAGAACUACCCUCAUCAAUUGAGCGUCUACUUAGGCUCGGAUACUUAGACCUUUCAGAUUGUAAAAGGCUUAAGAGUCUCCCAAGCAGCCUCUAUAGAUUGAAAUCUCUUGGAGUUCUUAGUCUCUGUGGUUGCUCAAAUCUUCAGAGAUUGCCCGAAUGUCUUGGCCAAUUAUCCUCGCCAAUAACAUUUAAUCUAGCGAAAACCAAUAUUGAGAGAAUACCAGAAAGCAUUAUCCAACUUUUCGUGUCGGGAUACCUCCUCUUAAGUUAUGGUGAGAGGUUCGAAUUCGUACAAAAGCCUCCAUUCCUUGAACGAGGUUGCUUGGCACUGCAACCAUUUAUAGGUUUGUUCUCUAAGUUAUGAAUCUUACAGGCAAUAUUUUUUGACCGGAGAAAUAAUUUUAAAUUGGAAGGUAAUUCUACUGCAGGAAUUGUUGAAGAUACCCUGAGAAUUCAGCAUACGAACCAUACGCCAGCUGUACGUUGGCAAGAAAUAUGGCAAGAAGUAUGGCUAAAUGUGUGUCUUUAACUCUCUCGACUUACAAUUUCUACAAUCUUUGGUUUUUUUUUUGGGUUUAAAAUUAUGUUUUUUUGGUACAUAGAGGUUUUUCCAUGGGCAAAGGUCAUAUAGUACUACCUGGGAAUGAAAUUCCAAAGUGGUUUGAGUUUCAAAGUGUGGGAUCUUUUAUAGCCUUGGAGAUGCCCCCAGAUUUCUUCAAUAAUAGCAGAGUGCAGGGCAUUGCAUUUAGUGCUAUUUUAGCAUUUUCAGACCGUCAUGUAGAUUGUGGCACAUGGUUUUCAUUUUCUUUUGAGCUCAAAGUGAAAACCACCAAAGAUUGUGGUACGCAUGACACACGAUUAUUUCAGAGCAGAGUUAAUUAUGUAGAAUCAGAUUACUUACAUUUGGGGUACUAUCAGUUCUGUGAAGAGGAUUUUAAUGGUUUUUGGAAAUGCAAUUGCAUUCCUGAGGCAGUCCACUUUAAUGUUUUUCCACCUUUGGAGUGCCAGUGCUGCGGGGUGAAAAAAUGUGGGAUCCAUUUACUUAACACCCCAAAUCCUACGUCAAUGGAAGACCCAAGCACAUGUUUCAACUGUCACGAAGAAGACUGAGAUAGGUGUCAUUUUCACUCAACUCACCUGAGUUGUGAAUCCAUUUGCUUAAACAUGUAUGCACUUUUUCAAGUAUCUCUACCAAUUCCAUAGUUGGAAUGGUGCAUUUGAUUCCAUAGUUGAUGUGGUAUCGUCUUUGGUUAGAAUUUAUAUUUACAAAAAUGACUUGUAAGGAAAGGAUUGAAGAUGCCUGUGAACUUAUAUUUCGAUUUAGAUUAUUGUAUCUUUUUCAUGUAUAAAAUUGGAUCCUAUCAUUCACAUAUCAUUGACAAGAGCAAUAUGGAUUACUAAAUCAUUAUUCUUUAUUAUUGUGCUGAAUUUGAUUUUUUAUUGAAUAAUUUGAUAUAUUUCUUGAAUCAAUUUGGAGCUUCUACAACUUGUCAGAGAUCAGUUUCUCCAACAUUCCCUUCGGCGCCAAAAGAUAACCAAGCGGUUGAAUAAGAAUUGAUAUAUACAACAUAAAUACAAGAGUUGUUUUGUCUUUUUACAAUAGGAAUAAUAUAUAAUGCUCGUUAAAACUUGCUGAUGAGAAAGUAAAUUCCUCAGAAAUUAAAUGUUUCAGCCAACCAAGGAAGCAGCUUUUCAUGGACCAACUCAGGCCUGUCGUCAUGGGGGCAAUGUCCUACUCCAUCCAAUACAAUUAGCUUCACAUUUGAGAGUUUAGAAGGCAGAGAUGAGAAGUAUUUACCAACAGGUCCAUCGAGGGGUGUGAAUGGAUCCUUAUCACCCCAUAAAACUAGUACAGGUAUAGAGAUUGAUGGCAUCAAUUGAACUGGGUUCGGCCCUGGUGGGCCUGUUACAAUCGAAACAAAUGCAUCAAGUGCCCCUUCCUCAUUGGCGGGCUCUCGUAUGAUCUGCAGUUUUGAGGUCGAUUCAUUAAUUAUGAGAAGCCAUUUUUGUAACAGGUUAAAAUGGCAUAUAAGUGGAGAAUAUUAAUACCUCAACCAGUGUUUCAUCCACAGAUUCCUUAUUUGCAUAAAUGGACAGUAAAAUAUUCCUCAGUGUUUCCCUACAGCACCAAGAUAUGCACAUCAUAGAGUUUUUUUUUUUUUUAUUUUGACUCUAGUGUCUUGGGAUAAUGAACAAUGGACUGAAUAGAGAGAAGAGAAAAUACCUUUGUUUCACACGCUCAAAUAUAGCAGAAGCAAUUGGCCUUUGCUUCAACAAAAAAUCAAUGAACCAAAGCAAUGGUAACAAUAGCUUGAUUCUCCAAUCAUCAACAAUUGCCUUGUUGUUCAUGCCACCAGCACAAUUCAACAGAACAAGCCCUUGAACAAGGGUUUGACUAGAUUCUUAUGGUAGAAAAUAUAGCAGGUUUGUCGUAAACCAUAGAUACCAAAAAGGAUAAUUAGGGGCAAGUGUUUCUUUGCAAGCAAGUUGAAGAAUAUCUGAUGUCCAAGGGGAAGUUAAAAUAAAUAUACCUGAGGCAGCAAUAACACAAGCUAGGCUUCCAACAGAGUUACCUAUAAGCACAGUUGGCUUCUUAACAACUUCAUCCAAGAAAUCCAAUAGUAGCUGUAUCAGUGAAUCUCACUCAAGUUAGCAAGGAAAAUAACUAAAGGUCAAGCGAUUGAUGACAAAAGAUCCAACUUCUGGCUAGGGAACAUUGCAUACCUGAGCCCAUCCCUCCAUGGUAUAUGAAUAACCAGCUGGCUUAUCUGAAGCACCAAAUCCAAGAAGGUCAAUUGCAUAAACCGUGUAGCUCUUUGCCAGGGUGCCAAUAUUCCUGAAAUUACCUCAGAGAUGACAAGAAAAAUAUCAAUUCCUCACAUUAUUUAAUAGGAUAAAGGAAUGGUGCACAAGCAAAUUUUCAUUCCCCUUUUCAACGGAGCAGUAAAAUGAAUACUUUUUCACUAGAUUAAGAAUCGGAAAAUGGAAGAAGCCUAUAUCCAUAAAAGGGUAAUACGAAAUGGAACCCUGAAACUCAGAUCACCGGUUUGUCAUCAUCUAGGUGCAAGGAAUAGAACUAGGUGUUAAUGCCAAUGCACCAGGAAAUAACGAAUAGAUUUACCUUCAUUAUUCUUUUGCUUCAUUCAUCUUAAUUAAUUAUUAGAAGUAUAACACAUAUAAAUGCAUCCCUGAACUUCAUAAUACAUAACAGAGUCAGAGGUAUUACAUACAUAGGGGCAUGACAUGCUCCAUACCAAAAAACAAAUAAAGUCGAAAAUGCCCAGAACGUAAUUUGAAUUGAACUCACAAUAAAGGAGCUACGUUUUGUGCACCCAAUAAUUAACCCGCUACACAAUUCACAACAAGAAAGAGCAAUCUUAUCUCGCUAACCUGCGCCAGUGAGGAAUGGAGGCACCAAAGCCAUGGACAAGGAGUAGAGGAGGAGAAUUGGGAUGUGAAUUUGGAGUUGAAGAAACCAAGUAAUUGAUGGAGUACUGACCCUUCCAUUUCCACAUUUUGCAACUCUCCCUUAUCUCAUUAACCUCCAAUUCCAGUGCAGCAGAAGCAGAAUCCCCUCCACUGCUACUGUUAGUAUAACUGAUGGUAACAUUUUGUCUCUUCUUCUUCUCCUUAUUCCUCUGCUGGAACUGCAACUGAAACUGCCAACUCUUAUUGCUCAAUAGGGGCAAGCGUAGGCCUUUUACAUCUCCAUUUCCAUUUCCAAUCCUGAGUGUUGUUAUUGGAAUAAUGAAAGAGGGAGUCCGAGCCCUUACCAUCCACACGCUCAUUCUUUUCUUGCUUUUUCAAUUGAAUAUUUUCUGUGGCCUGGCUUGGUUUUUUGCAAUGAAUUCACAAUAUUUUUUUAAAAAAUACAAAUUAAUAAAAAUUUUGUAUAGUUAAUUAGUUAAAUCCUUCUAUUAAUUUUUUUCUUGGGUUUUUUGACCAUCUUUAAUCAUAAAACUUUAAUACAAGUUUUAUUUUAGUAUUUUAUUAUUAUGAUAUAUAGCGACUAAAUUACCAUAAUAAACAUGAGUUAUUGUAUCUAAUAAUUUAUGUAUCUAGCUUAUAAUCUAAUAUUUUUAAAUAAAAUUUAAUUGUUAUUUUCUUUACUUUUAUGGGUAAAUUACAUAAAAUUGACAUCCCAAUAAUUUACACGAGUAUCAUGCCCUAAAGAUACUAUUUUAGCUUAAUUAAAGAUUAAAACUCAUACUAAUAAAAUAGUAUUAGAAACAAUGAGUUUGGUACAAAAUUAGAAAAAUAUUAAAGUUAAAGUAAAUUCCUAAUAGUAAAUUCCUAAUAUUUUCUUCAUUAUGAGAGCUUUUCGCAGACUACAGAUGCUUUUGCUUUAACGACGACGGAUGUUUUUGCCGCUACUUCGACGUUCGAUAUAAUUAAGAAGCCCACCUCAUGCUUGGCGUAACUCCUUUGCAUCUGUACAAAAUUCACUCAGACGAUCAAUAAACCAAGUCCAUUGGUUUGUUGUUUGGUAGAAAUCCUCCACUUGGUUUUCAUCCAGAUAAUCAUCUAACCGAUACCAUACAUUGUUGAGCUUCACUUGAUUUUGACACAAUUCAUACAGAUGAUCAAUAAACCGAGUGCAGAGGUUUCCAUUCAGAUUAUAAUCAAUAAUAGACCGAGUCCAUCGGUUUGUUGCAUGGUCGCACUUCACCACUUCGUGCCUAUAAACUGGAUGGAAACCACAACACUUCACCUCCAAUCCUGGGCCCGAAUCAGACUGAAAUGACUACACAAAAUCCGGAGAUUUAAAAUUCCAUUUGCGCGAAUAGCCUUCUUUAGGAGACAAAUAAAAAAGCCAAAGAUGGUCUGACCCAGCUUGACCAAACUUUUCCUUAAAAUGAAUAAAACUACUCAUAUAAGAAGCAUUCUUAUGGCAGCUCAACUGAUGUGUGGGGAAUGAGCGCAACCUUUUGAUACCACACGAACCUUUACGGACAUUAAAAACACAGCACAUAGCAUAUCCCACCACCUCAUUUUCACGCAAAAAUAAAGGCAUUGUGACUGCCAUUGCAGAAUCUUCUUUCUGAUACCUGAAACACUUUGAAAUUUCACUUCCUGGAACAACAAUGCUUAAAUGCGGUAUUGGUUUUGACACUUCCUGCAACUUAAAAAAGCACAAAAACAUAAGAAAUAAAGGUCCAUGUCAAUACAUAAUUUUUAGGCAUGAUCUUUGGCACAUCUGGGAGACAGAAUGAGAGACUGACCUCAAGGUUCUCUCUUAGCACUGACAAUGUCGACCCGUUGUUGUCGAGCAAUUUCAUGCAGUCCAUACAAUUAAUUACUACGUAAAUUGACUUGCAUAAUUUCAAUGCAUGUGAUAAUGUUCCCAAAGAAGCACAACCAUUUACCUGAACUUGCUCUAUAUUGGACGGAAGUUGUGGCAGAGAUUGAAGCCUCUGGCAUUCCUCCAAUUCUAUAAUCCAAAGCUUAGAAAGAAGGUUAAUGCUUGCUGGUAGCGAGAAAAACCUGUUUUUACUUAAAUACAACUCUUUUAAUGAGCAUAUGUUGCCAAUAUCACUUGGGAUUGCUCCUUCCCCUAGAUUACAGUCACUGAUAUCCAAUUUCGUUAAAGAGCACAAACCUAAAAGAGAAGGCAACCUCAAAGCUACAGUAUGUGAACUCCUCAUUUUCAUCGAAUUGAUGGGGAAAGGAAAAUACAAUGAUGAUGAUGAUUGUGGUAAUUUGCUUCCAACAAAAGACAGUGCUUGAUAAUUCUGCAUAGAAAAAAUGGACGAAACUGGGGUAAUUUUUGUGAGUUUCUUCACCAUUGAAGCUUAAGAACACAUCAUAUUUCCAAUAAGAGACUUCUUGGAUGCUCAUGAAAGCCAUUACAUUUGUUAGAUUUACGCGCCCAUGAUGGGCUGACUUUAUCCAACUUGAGAGAUAAGAUAUACUUACAGUUUAUCUAAGAUUUUUAUAAGAUAAACUUAGUGAUUUAUCCAAAUCCUAAUCACAUAAGUUGUGGCUUAUUCAAAUAAUUCUAAGAAGUUUAUUUGAAUUAAACUACAUUUAUUGUACUAUAUAAGCAUUACAUGGGUGUUUGCAAAUAUGUACGAUAAUAAUAAUAAGAAUUAGAAUAAUAUCAUAAAGAGAGUGUGAGAAAAGGGAAAAGACAGUGAGUUCUUACUACGUGAAUUGAGGGGAUUUUCCAACCAUGUGAUUGUCCUCUGACCAUCAGUGACAUAAGCUCGUUGCGAUCCGUUACGAUCUGUUCAUGAAGGCUCCAGUAAUCAGUUGUUUUUCAUUGCGAUUUGUUUGUGAAGGUUCUUGGAAAUCCGUUCUCGGAGAUUGGAAGGAAACUAUUAUUUGUUUCUCAGAUUCAUGACGAUUUGUUUUUGCAUCAACCAAAAAGAUAUGAAUUUAGUUGAUCAAAUAAAGUUGCAUCAUAGAUUAAGAAAAUGAACAUUGGUAUCAAAGCCUGUGUAGUUUAUAUCCUGAUCUUAAGUGCAUUAUGUAUGCUGAUAUGCCAUGGUUCAUCCAUUAAUGGUAUAUGAUGAAAUACGUACUGUCAAAACAUGAAAUCCAGACAACACUGUCGCCUGAGCAUGUUCUAGGAAAUUGUUCUACAUGGCUAUUUCUACAAACUUUGAAAGUGUAGCUAUUUUUUUCUCUAUUAAAUAUUGGAAAAUUCUUCACAUGAAAAUCAUUAUCGUUGAGAAUAAUGUGCUUCUUUAGUUAAUUAAAUAGCCUACAACACUGUCGUCUGAGCAUGUUCUAGGAAAUUGUUUAUGAAAUAGAAACAUAAGUAUAGUGAACCUUAGUUACACACACACACACACAUAUAGUAGGCAUUCUCAUUUUUUUCAUGCGGACACACUCUUAGACCGUUUAAGAGAGUUAAUUUUUAACUCUCUUAAACCGCGGAUUAAGAGCGUGUCCGCAUUAACAAAAUUACAGGCGUCGGUGUGUGUAUCAUUAGGGGUAGCAAACCCAUUGCUUGUCCUGUACCUUAAUGACCAAAAUUUAUGGGAAUAAUAAUGAUAUUAAUAAAUAAUGAUAAUAAUAAUAAUAAUAUAAUAAAAAUGGAUUAAUAAUUGUUAUUAUUAUUAUUAUUAUCAUUAUUAUUAUUGUUAUUGCUGUUGUCACUACUAUAAUAAUGAUAAUGAUGAUGAUGAUAAUUUUAACAAUAACAAUAUUUAUUUAACAAUUACAAGAACAAGAACAAUAACAACUACAAUAAUAUACUUAUAUAAUAAUAUUUUAAUUGAAGACAAAAUUAGAAUUAUGAUAUUUGAGAAGGGUAAUUGCGAGUUCAAUGAAUGAGAACUUAAUCCCAACUCUCAUGAAUGUAUGAGCCCCACAUGUUUUAUUCUUAUUCCCUCUUACAUUUUUAAUUAGUAAACACUAUCGACCAUUCUCAUUCCAAAUUUUGAUUUCUGAAUCCCACAAGUAAAGUAGCUGUUAGGAAUAUAAUUUUGAUUUCUGAAUCCCACAAGUAAAGUAGUUGUUAUGAAUAUAAUUACAGCAAAUUGGUGGAAGCUUAUUACUAACAACUAAUUGUAUAUGAUAUAUGAAUGGAGCCUCUCUACUGUUUAUAAUCUUGAUGAUGAUUUUGCCGGAUCAAAGAGGCAUGUAGCCACGAGGUCAAAACAAAGCGUUACCGGCCAUAUUACAGGGGAAUCCAGUGGAAGUAUUGACUGCUGUGAUUAUGAUGAUGAACCACAAGCUAAAAGAUUUAAAGAACUCGAAUCAAAAGGGAAAAACCUAACUAGUUGUUUUCUUAAUAUUUCUACACGUGUGGUUCUAUUUCCUUCUCUUUUUCCGGAAGUAACUCAACAUAUAUAUUGCUUUAAUUUAAAGUGGUAUGCGUUCAUUCAAAAUUCUUGUGCUGAUACGAAUUUGUAGCUGCAGUCUGCAGAUUUGCUAUGAACUUCAGCUGCUACGUUCUUGCUAUGCUUAAUUUCUUGGCUCUUCUGAAGAUAUUUACUUGUAUUGUUGAGUGGUUAUUUGGAGUUGAGUAAUUGAACAACGGGGAAACAUUUAUUUGAAGUUGAGUGAUUGAACAACAGGUAAUUUGAGAACAGUUUCCCAGGUUUGAGAAACUGUAGAUAUAUUGGAAAACCUGAGAAAUUUUGUUCCAUGAACCCCCUAAUAUUUAUGUGCUGCUUAUUUUCUUAUAGAUUCCAUAAUAUCAUGUUACAAGUCAAAAACUUGGACCCGACCUAGCUAAAACAAAAGGUGUUUGAUAUAAAUAUCAAUCUAUUUGACAAAAUGUCCCAACGAAUAAAUAUUUGGCGGGAAAGUUUGUAUUUGAAUUAUCAAGCACAAAAAGCCAUCAAAGGUCUGAGAAUGAAAGCUCUCGAAGUUUCCAGAAUUCAUGGACAAGAUUGAGAAACAAGCAUCAGGGGUCGACAUUGUUGAAUAAAACAAUAGUACACAACAAACCUUUAUCAUCUUUAUAAUCUUUCUACGGAAACUCUUAGCCCUUAGAUUAAUCUUUUCCAGAACAUAAAUUUUUUAGGCAUAAGUCAUAGAACAUUUGAGAGAAACAGAGUGAGAGGCUCACGUUAGUUAAGUGGAAAAGCCAAAUCGUUGUUAACAAUCAAUUUCAAGCACUGUGCACAGCUAUAUAAAUUAGAACAUUGACUGGCAUAAUUUAAAUGCAUCAGAUUGCAGAAGCUAUAUCAAAAAAUUCAAACAGAUUCAGCAAGCUAAUCUAAUUUCUUUAUUAUUCAUUCAUGGCAAUGCAAGUCAUCAACUACGACAUCUGAUUCAAUACAACAAUGGUCAGGGUACGAAAAUGAAAAAGCUGCAAGAUGUUAAGAAUACGAAACAGAGGAUUUGUUUCAAUCCUUUAAUUUUCAACUCAUGAGAAAUCACAAAACUCAAGGCUUCAAAUUCUAUUUUAUAUUUCUUAAACUUUGUUUAUUCCCAGAAACAAAAAAAAAAAAAAAAAAGAUUUUCUGAAAUUUUACUUUCUUUCAAUCUCUUUUUACUCUAGUUCAGUUCUAAUUCCACAUUUUCUCACGUUCCAAACAACAAAAAUGAAAUAAUCAAAACAAAAUUAAAUAAGAAACACUUGCAACAAUCAAAUGAACUGCUUGUUUCUUUAUCAACAGGGCGUAAGCAUUGGAUUAUCUUGAUCAAAAUCCAUGUUCACUGGGAUUUAUUAACAAACCUCAGAGAAAUUCAAGGUGCUAAUCUGAUAGAGCACAAAUGCUAAUUCAAUUCAUGGAAGGCACAUUUCAACAACUUCGAAGCAUUCUUUGCUUUUGAUCCAAGCAGAGCAUUUCUGGUAAUUUAACAUAAAAUAUUUUUGCAUGAGUAGAUAAAAUAAAUGAAUAGAAAGAAUGUAAAUGAAUUACCUAGUGCAAAGAACACAAAGAGAAACUGAAGAUGCAUGCUUUCCAAUAAAUUCAGAGAAUCAUUUGAGUUCUCUAAAUUUUUUAUUUUGAGGUUGUGGUUCCUCGUCAACACAGCCCCAAUCCCACUGUUCAGCCCCAAAUAUUUAAUAAGGCUUCAAUUUGACGUUGUGGCCACAGCCAUCUUUGUUAUUGUUGAGAAUUCAGGUUGUGAAGAACCAGCAUUUGAUCCCAAGGCCCUGCUGGCAUGCCACCUGAGCAACCAUUUCCAAAGAGCAGCUGAUGAGGAAGGUGAGGUGUAUCCUAUGAGCUGGCAAAACUGUUAUGGUGAGGAAUAUCAACAUGUGAACUCUGCAAGCUGGAAAUUUCUAGAAUGUUUUCAAUGAUUGGCUGUGCAGCUGUCACUCUUUGUCUUAUUCAUUUUCAGCUGCACCUUGAGCCAGCAACCGUUGUUUUUAGUUUAUGUAUAAAUAUUUGAAACAAUUGUAUUUCAUUUUCAAGCUUCCUUUAAUAAAAACAAAGGUAUGUUUGUUUCUCUGCUGCUUGCAUAUUCAAGCAAUUCAUCAAGAAUUUAAGUUGGUAUCAGAGCAACUUUAAGCUAUGGAAAGCAGCAGAAAUUCACAAACAAACAUGAAUCAAACACUGGAAAAUCCAGACGACCAAAACUUGAAUCAACCAGAAAAUGUUGAUGACCAGAAUCCAAACAACAACACCAGAAAUAUGACCCUAGUGAAUGCAUCUCCUACCCAACACAUCACCAGCAACACAUAUGUGUUCACCAAUCCUAUCAAGCUAACACAGAACAAUUUUAUGCUCUGGAAAUCACAAGUGAUUUCCAGCAUAAGAGCAAAUGAGCUCGAAGGCUUCAUAAAUGGGAGCCAUAUUUGUCCCCCCAGAUGCUUCACUAAUCCUGGACCUAAUCAAACUACCAUCACCACCACAAAUCCAGAAUACCAAAUCUGGAAGAAACAAGACCACAUUCUUCUGAGCUGGUUGCUCUCAUCACUCAGUGAAGGAGUGCUUGGCACUGUGGUGGAUUGUUCUACUUCAUGUGAAGUAUGGACAACCCUUGCCAAUCAAUAUGGUGCAAGAACAAGAGCUAGAGUUCUAUACCUGAGAACACAGAUUCAAACCACCAAAAAGGGGUCCCUUACAAUUCAUGACUAUUAUUCCAGAAUGAAAACUAUCCUAAACACUCUUAGAGCAGCUGGAAAUAACAUGACUGAUGAGGACUUCAUUAUGUGUGUCUUAGCUGGAGUAGGACCUGAAUAUGAUUCUGUAGUCACUAAUAUUAACUCCAUGCCAGAAACUCCUUCAUUAUCAGAAGUGUAUGGAAUGCUCCUCAGCCAAGAAACUAGAACUGAACAGAACCUCAGCACAGGGUCACUUGAGGCCAACUUCACACAAAUGAGAAAUGGUAGAAGGAACUGGGGGUAUGGUGAAAGAUUUGGUAAUCAACAGCAACCUGGAAUAGUCUUUAGAACCCCUGGUAGUAGCUCUGGAAAUGGUGGAAGUGGUGGUCCUGGUCAGACAAACCAAAAUGCUCAAGACAAAGGGAAAGGCAAGGCUGUUGCUGAAAAUGAGGGCUCUGAGUCAAAGGGUCCAUGCCAGAUUUGCUUCAAAAUGGGUCACACAGCUGCUGAAUGCUGGCAUAGGUUCAAGAAAAAUUAUGUGCCACAACCAAAUAGGAGAAGAGGGGCAUACAUGGCUUCAGCAGAAGGACAGAGCAGCAAUGCCUGGUACCUUGACAGUGGUGCAACAAACCAUGUAACCAAUGCCAUUGGGAACAUGAACUUGAACUCAGAAUACCAAGGUAAUGACAAGCUCACUGUUGGUAAUGGUAAUAAACUUCACAUCUCUCACAUUGGUUACUCUAUGUUACCUACUUACAACCCACACAAGCACAUCAAACUAAACCAUAUUCUCUGUGUACCUGAUAUUGCAAAGAACCUUAUUAGUGUUUCCAAAUUGCUUCUUGAUAAUGAUAUUAAUGUUGAAUUUCAUAAAUCUGUUUGCUUCAUCAAGGACAAGAGCCAAGGGAAAAUUCUGGUGAAAGGAGUGGCUAGAGAUGGACUAUACGAGCUACUAUGCAUGCCUACUCAUUUGAGUGGCAACAAGGUCACAUAUGCUGCUGAGUUAUCUUCCUUUUCAGAGUCUGAGUCAAUAAGCUACAUUAGCAAUCCUAUGUCAAUGAUGUGUUUCAAUUUCAGUGUUGGUAGUAAUGAGUCUGUCAGUACCAGUAUAGCUGAGUCUAGUGAGGCUGAUAAAGCAAGUAGUAGGAACCUUAGAACCAAUGAUAUGGAUCUUUGGCACUAUAGGCUGGGGCAUCCAAAUUUGUCAGUCCUAAGAAACACUCUACUUUCAUGUAAUCAGCUCAAUAUCAAUAAAAACAUUUUUCCUUCAUUUUGCAAUGCCUGUCAGUAUGGAAAGCAAGCUAAACAAAGCUUCAAAAGCAUAGAAACCAAAACCAGCACAACCUUAGAAUUGGUUCACAGUGACCUCUGGGGACCAGCACCUAUCCCAUCAACCCAUGGACAUAAAUAUUACAUAUCCUUUGUGGAUGAUAGAACUAGAUACACAUGGCUGUUUCCUAUAACAGCAAAAUCACAGGCCCUUGACACAUUCAUUGUGUUCAAAAAUCAAAUAGAAAAUCAGUUAAAUCUGAAAAUCAAAGCCUUACAGACAGACAUGGGUGGAGAGUUUAAAACAUUUGAACCAUAUCUAAAAGGAGAAGGAAUAGCUCUAAGACAUUCAUGCCCAUAUUUACAUGAACAAAAUGGAAAGGUGGAAAGAAAACACAGACAUAUUGUGGAAACUGGUCUAGCAUUGUUAGCUCAAGCAAAAAUGCCUUUAAAGUAUUGGCAAGAAGCCUUCAGCCAUGCCACAUAUCUCAUAAACAGACUGACCUCACCUACACUCGAAAACAAAACUCCUUUUGAGCUACUAUAUCUCACCAAACCAGAUUACUCACAAAUCAAAGUUUUUGGUUGUGAAUGCUAUCCAUACUUGAGACCCUACAACAAGCAUAAGUUUGACUUCCAUACAUCCAAAUGCAUAUUGCUGGGUAUUAGUAUCAGUCAUAAAGGCUAUGUUUGCAUGCAUCAUUCAGGAAGAGUCUACAUUUCAGCUAGUGUCAAGUUUAAUGAAAGCUCAUUCCCUUUUCAAAAUGACUCAAAUUUCUGCAAGUACAGGCUCACUGACCAAAAUGUGUCCCCCACAGUCCUUGAAAAGUUUCAAGUUGUGUCUUUUUCCACAAGUGUCCCCUCUGAGUCAGCACAGCAAAAAUCAGCUCAUAGUCAAUCUCAGGCCACUGCUGGAAACUCAGAACAGCUCUCAAAUCCUGUUCAAGAUGAAGCAUGUGAGAAUUUGAACCUCAACAAUAUGUCAGCCAACCAAUCCCCUGCUCAACUCCCAUCAAACUCCACAGAAGAAAACUGCAACCUGCCAGCAAUAACAGAACCAAACACUCAAGCCUCCAACACUCAAAAGGAAUUACCUUUACAUCCUAUGAUCACAAGAUCAAAGGCAGGAAUCUUUAAACCAAAAGUCUACCAAACAUCUACUCAACCUGAAACCUCUUUACCCCAAGACUCAAUUGUGGCAUUGAAGGACCCUAAGUGGAGAAGAGCCAUGGAAGAUGAAUACAAUGCCUUAAUCAAAAACCAAACUUGGACCUUAAUACCACAUGACCAGAACUACAAACUUAUUGGAAACAAGUGGGUGUACAAAGUGAAGGAGAAUCCAGAUGGUACCAUAAAUAGAUACAAAGCCAGACUUGUCGUGAAAGGCUUUCUACAGACACCAGGACUUGAUUUUAAUGAGACUUUCAGCCCUGUGGUCAAAGCUGCAACCAUUAGAAUCAUUCUGACUUUGGCUGUGAAUAAUGAUUGGAUGUUAAGGCAAGUUGAUAUAAAUAAUGCUUUUCUGAAUGGGGAGUUGACAGAAACAGUGUACAUGCCACAACCUGAAGGGUUUGAAGACAAAAGAAAGCCAAAUCACAUUUGCAAACUCAAGAAGGCUCUUUAUGGCUUGAGACAGGCACCUAGAGCUUGGUUUGACAAGUUAAAGAGUGCUCUGUACUCUUGGGGGUUCAACAAUUCAAAGUGUGAUACCUCACUGUUUUUUAGAAAGAACAAUGCUGAGAUGGUCAUUAUACUUGUGUAUGUAGAUGACAUAAUUGUCACUGGAAGUGAUAACAAAGGAAUUGAGGGUGUGAUAGGAAAGCUAAGUGAAGCUUUUGCAUUGAAAGAUCUAGGAAAUCUGAGCUACUUCCUUGGGAUACAGGUCAUAAGAAAUCAGAAUUCUAUUCUGCUUUCUCAAGCUAAAUAUGUCCAAGACCUAUUAACUAAAACUGAGAUGGAGAGCUGCAAAGGAAUAGAGUCUCCAUUCAGCACAUCAGAAAAGCUGAAGAAAGGAGAAGGUGCCAAGCUCGAUAACCCUUCAUUCUACAGAAGUGUUAUUGGAAGCCUGCAGUAUGCUGUUCUAACGAGACCAGAACUUGCCUACUCUGUCAACAAGCUGAGCCAAUACAUGUCUGACCCAAGACAGCCUCACUGGAUAGCCUGCAAACGAGUGUUGAGAUAUCUAAAGAACACUGGUAACAUGUGUUUACAAUUCAAAAAAUCAGAACAUCUUGAUUUAGUAGCCUACACAGAUGCUGACUGGGCAAGUGAUCCAGAUGACAGAAGAUCAAUAAGUGGGUAUUGUGUGUUCCUAGGAGAUAAUUUGGUAGCUUGGAGCUCAAGGAAACAAGGAAUGGUGGCAAGAUCUACAGCAGAGUCAGAGUACAGAGCCAUGGCUCUAUGCACCACUGAAAUCACUUGGAUUAACUCUCUGUUUGAUGAGCUGAAGAUUGAAAUGCAGAGAACUCCAAUGAUUCUGAGUGAUAGCACAAGUGCAGCAGCAAUAGCCACAAAUCCUGUGUAUCACUCAAAAACAAAACACUUUGAAAUAGAUUUACACUUCAUUAGAGAUAAAGUUACUCAAGGAGAGCUGGAUAUAAACUUUGUGGCCAGCAGAGACCAAAUUGCAGAUGUCUUGACCAAACCACUGCCUUACUACAAGUUCAGUCAAUUUCGAAGCAAACUCAAUGUCUUUGACAAGACCUUAAGUUUGAGAGAGGGUGUUGAGAAUUCAGGUUGUGAAGAACCAGCAUUUGAUCCCAAGGCCCUGCUGGCAUGCCACCUGAGCAACCAUUUCCAAAGAGCAGCUGAUGAGGAAGGUGAGGUGUAUCCUAUGAGCUGGCAAAACUGUUAUGGUGAGGAAUAUCAACAUGUGAACUCUGCAAGCUGGAAAUUUCUAGAAUGUUUUCAAUGAUUGGCUGUGCAGCUGUCACUCUUUGUCUUAUUCAUUUUCAGCUGCACCUUGAGCCAGCAACCGUUGUUUUUAGUUUAUGUAUAAAUAUUUGAAACAAUUGUAUUUCAUUUUCAAGCUUCCUUUAAUAAAAACAAAGGUAUGUUUGUUUCUCUGCUGCUUGCAUAUUCAAGCAAUUCAUCAAGAAUUUAAGUGUUACAACAAAAUUGGGAUAAAAUUCAUUAAGAUUAUAAGUGGUGUAGCGAGUCCAUUGGUUUCUUGGUUGGUUGAAGAACUCCACAUUGUGCCUAUAAACGGGAUGGAAGCCACAUCUCUUCACCUCCAAUCCUUGACCCGACACAGGUCGAAAGAACAACUCAAUGAGAUUAUCUCAAAACCCCAAUUGCUAUAACAGCAAUUUUGAAGAGAUAAGUAGAGUAGCCAAAGAUGGUCUGUCUCAGCUUGACUACCUUCCUCUCUAAAAUCAAUAAAAUAACUGGUAGAAGAGCCACUAAAAUGGAAGCUCAACUGAUAUAUGGGAUAUGAACGCCUCAUUUGGAUACCAGGUGAAUGAUUAUGGACAUGAAAAACACAGCAGACAGCAUAUCCCAAUGCCUUAUUCUUACAAUACAAAUUUGAAGGCAUUAUGAAUUUUAUUGAAGAUCCAUCAUUCUGAUGCAUGAACCACUCUGGAAUUUCACUUCCUGGGACAACUAUAUCAAACUUUUGUUUUGGAUUUGACAUUACCUGCAACCAAAAAAAAAGGGGGGGGGGAGGGGAAAUGCCCAUAACAGUGCGUUAUUUUUAUGCAUAAUGUUUGGCACAAAUGAGAAAGGGAGUGCGAAACUGACCUCAAGAUACUCUUUUAGCAUUGAAAAUGCCAAACCAUUGCAACCAAGCAAUUUCAAGUCGUCUAUACAAUUAAUUGAAAUGUAUUCGGAGUUGCACAAUUUUAAUGCACCUGAUAAUGUUUCCAAUGAAGCACAACCAUUUACUCUGACUUCCUCUAUGCUGGGUGGAAGUUGUGGCAUAGAUUGAAGUCUUUUGCAGUCUUCCAACUCUAGUUUUUCAAGAUUAAAGAGACGGUUAAUGCUUGCUGGCAGCGUAAUAAAACUGUUUUUACUCAGAUACAACUCUUUUAAUGAGCAUAAGUUGCCAAUAUCAUUUGGGAUUGCUCCUUCCCCUAGAUUACUGUCACUGAGAUCCAAUUUCCUUAAAGAGCACAAACCUGACAGAGAAGGAAACCCCAAAGCCAUGGGAUCUGAACACCUUCGCAUCAAACUGAUUAGGAAGGGCAGAUACCAUGAUGAUGAUAGUGGUGGUCCUUUGCAUCCGCUUAAAUCUAGUACUUCCAAGCUUUCUACUUUCCCAAAGUUCCCUGGCAUACUUUUAAGUUUGGAGCAGCCAGAGAGAUACAAAUUUCUAAGAGACUUCAGACCAUCUAUAGUACUUGGAAGAGUCUCGAGGUUUUUACAAUCUCUCAAAUUCAACAAAACAAGGCCAGUAAGAUGUUCAAUUGACACAGGCAAUCCUCUUAUGGCCGUUCCUUCCAAAUGAAGCUCCAACAGAUGCUCCAUACUUGUCAUGAUCUCUGAGAACUCUGAAAAUUGAAAAGGCCAGAAAGAUUCAAAGUUGGAUGAUAUUUUGGAGCGCUUAUGUUUUGGUAGUUCUUUAAUAUCAGUUCCAUCCAAAAGAAGUUCUGACAGACACUUCCGACUCCCCACAAUCUCUGGAAAGUUCUUCAAUUUCCGGCAACCAGAAAGUACAAGUAUUUUUAGAGAUUCCAUACAAAUCUUGUCUGGAAGAGUUGUGAGACUUUUACAUUCUUUUAGAUUCAAUAAAAUAAUCUUCUUGUGAAGUAGCAAUGUUGGGUGAAUUUCACGCAAUCUUGUACAUCCUCCAAGAUCCAGCUCUUCUAAAUUUGGCAUGCCUGAGAAGUCUGGUGUUCUGAUCAGAUUUUUUGAAUCGCCAAGUCUCAUGAAUUUCAACUUGCUUAAAUGCUGUUCAAAAACAGAGAUUUCAACAACUUUCAAGGGAUGAAUGAUAACAAUAUGAACAAUUAUUCACAGAAAUGAAAAUUAAAAGAAUCUCACCUUGAUUCCACACCACAUUUGUUCGAUGCGACUAUAACGCAUGUUUAGUUCAACAAUUUUAUCAGGCUGAAAAUUUGAUGGCAAUGAUCUCAAAGGAUAUCCAUGCCAUUCAAGUAACCGUAACUCAUUAGAGAGAUAUUCAAGGCCUUCAGGAAGUUGCAAAUUACGGAUCAAAAGCAUUCUUAGGUUAAUCAUCUUCAAAAAUGAAUUGGAACUUGUGCUGAAAUGCAUUUCUGCUUCUUCGGUGAAGUUUUCAAGCUUUAUCACUUCAACUGUUUUAGUUCCCUGAAAGUUACAAGUAAAGAAUAAGUGAAAAAAAAAGAAUGUGAAGAGGUUAAAAAAAGUACAUGUUUUUGACUUAGUUGCUUACGGUGUUUCUUGUCAACAUGUGAUGUAUAUCUGCUUCCUUCCACAAUCUGCUACGUUUCCCAGGAUCUUCAGGGGAUUGUCUUUUAACAAUUUGUUGACCCAUUUCUUUCAACAAAUCAUGCAUCCAAAAUCUACUGUCGGUUGAAAUUUCUAUGAGAGAUUUAUCAAUAAGAACCCUUAUUCCAAUAACUGGGUCAAAAUCACAGUAAUCAAGAAUUUUUGUUACAUAAUCUCUAUUCUCCCCUUGAUAAAAACAUGCUAUAUCAAGGAAUAUUUUCUUCUCUGUUUCUCGAAGCCCAUCAAAACUUAUUUUAAGUAUGUCCAAAAUUUCAUUUUCUGAUUCCCUUUUCAGUCUCUUUAGUGCACUUUCCCAUUCUUUUGUAGUUUUACCAUACAGAAAAGAUCCCAAAACUUUGAGAGCCAAUGGAAGACCACCUGAAUACUUUGCAACCCAUUUAGACAGCUGCUCAUAUCCUGUACUAGGCUGGUGGCUUUUAAAGGCUUUUUUACAAAAAAGUUGAAGAGCUUUAUCGUCAUGUAAUUCCCUGAGCUUGUAUAUUUCAUCUACUCCAUGCAUCAUCAACAAAUGCUUAUCUCUCGACGUUAUCACAAUCCUGCUGCCAGGACCAAACCAUUCACGCUAUCCAGCUAGACAUUCUAAUUGCUUUAUAUCAACUACGUCAUCAAUAAUUAAAAGAACCUUUUUGUGCUGCAGCCUCCUUCCUAUAAUGUUGAUACCAUCAUAGACAUUCCAUAUGCCAUUAUUUGGAAGCUUUAGUAAUUGGGAAAGGAGUUGAUUUUGUAAAGAGGUCAGACCGCCUUCUUCUGAAAUUUCUCUAACAUUGGCAAGACAACUACUUGCUUCAAAGUUAUGAGAGGUCAAGUCAUAAACAACUCCUGCAAGAGUUGUCUUACCUAUACCUCCCAUACCGCAUAUUCCUAUCAUACAAACAACAUUACACUCUUUGUCCAUGAGAAGCCUCAGAUUCUUCAAGUGUGAAUCUAUUCCUACUAGAUGCUUAAGGAUCCCUGAUUUUAUAGGACUUUUGCUUGAUAUCACCUUAACAACCUCCAAAAUAAAUUCAGACUCAUUCCUGCAGAUUGAAAAAGAUCAAGAAAAGAUUGGUGUUGUUGAAUUGAAUUGCGUGUGGACAUAGUUUCAAAUCGAAUCAUUGAAUAGGAAAUUAUAAAUCUUUGACAAUAAGAAAGAUCACCUGUCCUUCAAUUCCCAGCCUGAUAUAUUAGCCACUUCUCUCAAAGCGUCUCUCCACUUCUGUACCUUUUCUAUAUUCUCACUAAAAACUUCUUCAUAUUGAGCAAAUGCUUCUUGAAAAGUUUCUGUCUGUUUCCUUACAACAGCCGGUUCCACGUCAUAGAAAAUUGGAUAAACCAUUUGUUGAUUAUUUGUGUUUUUGCACUCAAGAAUAUGAACAAGUUCAUCCAAGCACCAAGUCGAAAAAGCAUAGCUUCUGGAGAAAACAACAAUUGAAAUUUUGGAUUCUUCAAUUGCUUUAAAGAGUCCGGGUGAAAUGGAUUCUCCUCUCUCAAGUUCUUUGUCAUCCCUGAAUACAAUGAUUCCCUUUUCAUCCAAGGCAGAAUACAAAUGGUCUGUAAAAUUUUUGCGGGUGUCUUCUCCUCUGAAACUUAAGAAGACAUCAUAUUUCCAAUGAGGGAGAGGAUAAGGGACAUAAGAAGAAACUCCCUGGAUGCUCAUGAUGCAAGAAAUUAAUGCCACAGCAGCCUCACUCUGAGUUCCUAAGAGUUUAAUUUAGAAUUAGAUGCUAUAUCAAUGCUGUGAGAAAUCGGCAAACCCAAAAAGUCAUAUAAACAUAACAUUAAACUGCCGAAGUAGUCCAAAACCUGCACCGCCAACCUUUGUAUCGAUGAAACACAAACUACCAGCAGAGUUGCAACCAGUUUCUAUGCCUUGGCAACAAGAGAACCAAAUUUCCUCUAGAAUUGAUUUUUGAAAUUAUAUGAAAAAUUUAUACAAAAAUAUGUCAGUAAAAAAAAUCUAUUACAUAUUUAUGUCAGACAAGACAUGCAUGUAAAAGUUCAAAGAAUAAGCUGAAAUACAAGAAAUUUGCAAGUAUUUAACCACUGAUAGAUGAAUGUGUACAUUGUUUGAAUGAAAUCAAUUAGAAGAUUUUAUAUGUUCUAACUGAUUUUUGCUCUUUUAGUCCUUUUGUUUGCCAACAAAAGCUUUAUUUAAGUACCUGAGAAUUAAUUAGUAAUAAAAUGUUAUACCUAUGCCAAAAAUAAAAACCUCUUUAAAAAUAAUUCUAAAAACACUGCAUUAAACACAAAAUUCGAUAUGGAACUGGAACCAAAGAAAGCUAAACUAAGAAGCGGAAACCUACACUAGCUACCAGCAAGCUGCAACAAGUUUGAGCCUUGGAAACAAGAGAUCAAAAUUUCCUCUCAAAUUAAAUUAUGUGAAACAUUAAUUACACAAAUACAAGAGACAUGUAAAUAUAAAACUGUUAGAAAACUUACCGCUUAGAGCUUGUUGGAACCACUACUGAAAGAUGAUGAAUUUUAACUGGAAUUACAAAUUAAGUAUGUUUUAAUGAAAUCAAUGAGAGGAACUUUCAUGUGUUCUAAUUAAUGAUUUCAUCUUCUCUUUUGCUUGCCAACUGCAAGUCUAGUCAAGCAUGCCUUUAAUAAUAAUAAUAAUAAUUAGCACUUUAUUUAAUGUGUUUUAAAUAUGGUUGCUUUUUACGAAGAAGAUGAAGAAAAUUUGUUUGAGAACUUCAACCAAAACUAUUUUAAGACUUUGUUAUCGAUAUAGCGCAAUAAAUGUUAAAGUAUAGGCUUUAGAAGUUAGCCUAAAUUAAUUAAAGGCUCUAGAAGUCAACAUUUCCCUUUAACGUGAAAUAAGAAGGAAAUUUCCAUUUCUCUAUUAAAAUAUGGGUAAUUUAUCUUCAGCCCUCAAUUGUUUCGACAUUUAGCACCGGGCACCCACAUCUUUCGACCAUGUGCACUGCGCCCCCAUUUCCGUCAAAAAAUCAGUUAAUUCUAAUGGUUUAGGCUGCUAUUAACCUAACAGACCAUACUACCCCUCUUUUGAAUUGAAUUGAUAUAUAAGUACUAAAAUACCCCCUACAACUUAAAAAUUAACAUCAAGAAAUAAAGAUUUAUUAUAACAAUAUUUAUUUUUAUAAUAAAUAAAUAUAUAUUGUUGAUUUGCCUCCUGCAGAAAAGGGGGUUCCUACCCUUGCUGGAAAAUCAAAAAGUGAGUCCAAAGACAAGGAGAGGAAGCAUAAAAAUGCACAAAGACAAAGAUAAGGAGAAGGAUAGAGAGCAUAAGAAGCACAAGCACCGUCAUAAGGAUCGAAGUAAGGAUAAAGACAAAGACAAGGAUAAGAAGAAGGAUAAAAGCGGGCAUCAUGAUUCAAGUGCCGAUCCGUCAAAGAAACACCACGAAAAGGUUGGGAAACUACUUGGAUUUAGAUCUUACUAAUUACAAUAUUAAACAAAGGGGAAAUACAGAAAAAGUUGGGGCUUUCAAUUAGCCUUGUUACGGUACCAUUUCCAUCAGAGACAUGGAUGAGCAGAUUGUCAACAAGUCAAUUUCAAAACAAUAUUUAUUUUUAUAUUUUUUACAAUUAAAUUGAAACGAUUUUUUUUUAAUUUCAUUAUCAUAACAAAAUUGUAAAACCGGGAAACUUCAAAAUGAGAAACAGAGCAUGAUUCCAAAAGGAAAGAAGAAAAUCAAACACACAAUCAUCAUCAGAUUACAUAAAAAUUCCAAUAAUAAAGAAAACUAAUUUAAUUAUACAAAACACUUGCUGUAAAUUUCAUUGUAAAAGUCUAUUACAAAAACGAAUCCAAGAAUCAAAAAUCCUAAAUCUAAAGAUGUAACGCCACAAAUUCCCAUACAUAUUAAAUUAUGGAAAUUGGGCUUUCAUUGAGAAUUAUGGGUGGCCUAUAACCCUUAUUUAGAAAGGGGUACUAAUUAAAUAGAGGUUAUUUAUGAGAUCAUUUUGGAAAAGGGCUAUUUUUCCUUAUUGAAUAGGGUUUCUUAAGAUCCCCUAUAAAUACAUACUUUUCCCCCUUCCAUAACCCUAAGUUCACAACGUUUAUUAUUCUUCUCUGCUGCUCUUUACGCUCCUACCCAAAUCUUAGGAUUCAAACCUUUGUUUAGGAGAGACUCAAAGCGACGGGUAAGUUCACAACGUUUAUUCUGAACAGCAUGAGUAUCUCGAAUUUUUAAAGCUAUAUUUUCUGAACGAAUUUUCUUAUAAAAUUUAUAUUUCUGGAAACUAGACAUGUAGGGCUUCUUGAUUAAAUUUUAUUUCAUUAAAUUCAACUUCGUUUUCAAUUUUAUACGUAUUUUGGAAAUAGAAACCACUGCACUGGAAAUCCACGAUUCCAGUAUUGUGAUCAGAUUCACAAGACUAUUUGUACCAGCAAAUGAACUCAAAAAAUUCUGAAAGUUUAUAUGUAUGUUAAUAUAUGUGUCUAGGAUUCGCAGUUUUAAUUUCAUAAUUUUCUGAUUAGUAUUUUAUUUUAUAAAAAUCACGGAACCCGUUCUGUUUGGUUUAGAUUAUGUGAAAACAGUUUCGAAUUUGCUGAGAAGUAAAUAGUUUUUAAAAUGUUUUUGAUAUCGGAUUCUCUUGUAAAUUUUACAUGGGGUACUCAUGGAUGUCCAGAAUGGUUCCAUAGGAUUUUAUAUCAUUCUGAGACUUGGAUUAAGAGUUACAAUUCCGAGAAUCAGACCUGUACGGGUAUGAAUUAGAAAAUCAAAUUCUUAGAAUAAGUUAUUGAUUGUCAUAUCUUGUAUUUGUUUAAGGUUUUGAAGGUGUUUGAGGCUCUUAGAAGCUUAGAGGUGUGUUAAUCCAAGUUCAUUUGUCAAGGUAAGUAACUUCAUUCCUAGUAUACUGGAUAUGUAUAAGUAUUUUGAUAUUAUUGUUAUAAGUAUAAAUGUUUUUAUACUACUUAAAGGAUUAAUUGAUUUUGAUAAUAAAAUUAGUUUUAUGUAAAUGUUUUAAAGCUAAAUUCUUUUUAACAAAGUAUUUUAUAAAUGCUUUUGAAUAUGUAAGUUAUUUUGUUACAUGCCUACUUUUAUGAUUUUAUUUAUAAAAUGUUAUGCAAGCCUAAAUUAUUGAUAUGAACUUUUAUGAAACUGAUACGAAUGUUUUGUACCUAUGUUUGAUUUCAAUUAUUGAUGAUUGUAUGAGAUUCUUAAUGUUUUGGCUCAUUGUCCAUAGUUAUUCUGUUCUGAUUCUAAUUCUGAUCGUAAUAUACGAUAUAUCUGUCUGGACCAGUACUGGGUUUCUGUUCUGAAUGUGCACACGAUAUUCUGAUUAUGUUUCUGGCCGGGUCACCGGGACUAUAGGUGACACUAUGUGACAUGAGCUAACCUGUUUGUUUUCUGUAUACGUAUUACAUGAUUUGAUUCGUAAGUAAAUAUGCUUUUGAAUAUUCUGAAUUAUUAAGAAUUUAUCUUAUGUUAUUGUGAUAUAUCGUUUUAUGAAAAUUAUGGAUUAUGAUAUAUGCUUUAAACAAAAGAAGGCUUGCAAUAUUUUUGGUAUCGAUAGGCCUAGUGUGUUAGGAAUGGUUUUACUUACCGAGUUGACGGCUCACCCCUCGUCAUUACUUUUUGCAGAUUAAGUUUCUUUUGAGAGGUGCGCUUAGCUUUGGAGUUAGUAAUUUCCAGUUUCCGUUUGCUAUUGAAUAAGAGGAGGAAUAGACUUGUGUUUCUAUUUAGUUACUUUUAUUAUGAAUGUGUAAUUUGGAGUUUGAGACUUUUGUUAUUAUUUUUAUAUGUCCUCGAGAGAGAUUAUUUAGUAUUUGACGUUUGGAUUUAUGGAUUUAUUUGAAUAAGAAUUGGAGGAAUUUCAGUUUGAAACUUAUGAGUAAAGAUUACGAUUUGUGAGUAACCUCCUUCUUCACGUGCUCCGCACGUGUUAGAUUUGGGGUGUUACAAUUGUGGUAUCAGAGCGGCUCCGCGUGUCCUCUUGAGCGAUGGUGGGGCAAACCUCAGCGAGGACGCUGAGUCCCUAAGGGGGGGUGUAUGUAACACCCUAGGCGAAUCCCACAUCGGCAAAGCACGGGAGAGAUGCUGGGUUUAUAAGGGGUGAUCCACACCUUAAUUGGCAAGACGCGUUUUGGGGUGUAUGGGCGCCCCAAGAACAAAUCCGUGCGGGCCUUGUUAAGGCCCAAAGCGGACAAUAUCUUGCCAGGUCUGGGUUGGGCCAUGAAAUUGUGGUAUCAGAGCAAACUAGGUGAGGAUUCUGUAGACUUUCUUUUACGGUUUAAUUAGAUUGUCUAAUUAAAUCGAUUACAUUUGUUUUGUAGACAUGAAGAAGGACAAUAUGGGUAUGAAAAGUGUCAAGAAUAAGGGAUGGACAGAAAUUGAUAGGACCGAACAAUUUAUCUUAGGAGGAGUUCUUGUCAAAGAUCUUAGGAGACUUCAUAAGCAGCGAAUGGAUGAUAGACUAAGACGGACUAUAGAGGUCUACAUCGAUACUCCUCCAGGACCUGGAGCUUCAAGAAAGAAGCUCAAUGAGGCUAUACGUGGACUACGUGUUUAUGGCAAGGGAGCUAACAAGAAUAAGCUUGUAAUACGUCGCCUAUUUUGGACAGGACCUCGAUUUAAGCCUUACUAUAGCAAAGGAUGGGUAUCUCCAGGUCUAAAUAAACUACCUUAUAGAACUCCUAAGGAAAUCGAGACAGAUGGAGUCACGACUAAGGAAAGGAAAGUAAAGAUAGAUCCUUUUCCUAUCCGGUUGAGUACACCUAUGAACUUUGUGGCUGUAGGACAUGAAACUCUGUAGACUUUAUUGAGGUUAAUAGAGUGAUUAAAUAUUUUAAGGCAAGGAGUAAUCAUUUAUGACUAGUAAUUAUAUUUUGGUCUUUUUGGCUUUCUAUGUUGCUUGUGACUUUGUAAUAACUCUUGUUAUAAGUUCAAGAGAUGUCACGUAGGGGAGGUGCUAGGCAUGCCUUUAGCUCGAGAGGUGUUUUAGGUAUCGCUGACGACGCUGACCCAACCUUGCACGAGAUGGCUAACGAAGGAAAUCCUAUGAUGCGCGCAAUGCUUAGAUUGAUGGAACAACAAAGUAAGUUAAUUCAAGAUAUGGCUAGAGGCAGAGUUGGGGCACAAGAGAAUGUGCCAGUUGAAAGGCAAGGUGGCGCAAGAGAUCAUGGGGCUAUGGUGAACUUAGAACGAUUUAAGAAAUUGGGACCACCUACCUUUCAGGGGACUGCCGAUUCCAUGGUUGCAGAGGCAUGGCUAAAACAGAUGGAGAAGAUAUUUGUGGCUAUGGGUUGUAAUGAUGAUCAAAGGGUAAUAUUAGCCUCAUUUGUCCUUCAGGGUGAGGCAGACCACUGGUGGGAUGCCAAAUCUCGUCUCAUAAGGGCUGGCUUGCAAGAUGCACCCAUUACUUGGGAGUUAUUUUUGGAGGCUUUUCAUGAAAAGUAUUUUCCUGAACGAGUUCGACAUCAGAUGGAGGCUGAUUUCUUGAGGUUGACUCAAGGAACAAAGUCUGUUGCGGAGUAUGAGGAACAAUUUACUGCCCUCUCUCGUUUUGCUCAUACCUUGGUUGCUAAUGAAGGUAGUAAGUGUAGGAAGUUCCUGGAAGGGUUACGUCCUAACAUUAAAGCACGAUUGACCAUCCUUAAGAUUAACAAUUAUGCCGAUUUGGUGGACCUUACCAUGUUUCAAUAGAUUGUUUUGCUAAGGAAAUUAUUUUUCGCCUACCUGGUGAGGAAGAAUUUCAUUUUCAAGGGAAUCAUAAGAGUCAUAAAGCUUUGAUUUCUAUGGUUAAGGCAAUGAAAAUGCUAAAGAAGGGGUGUGAAGGAUUUUUAGCGUAUAUAGUUGCUGACCAUCCCGAUGGGGCGUGCCUUGAAGACAUACCUAUUGUAAGGGAGUUUAUUGAUGUAUUUCCUGACGAUCUUCCGGGACUACCCCCAGAUCGAGAGGUUGAGUUUACUAUAGAAUUAGUUCCUGGUACUACACCUAUAUCCAAGGCGCCAUAUCGGAUGGCACCCAUUGAAUUAAAAGAACUAAAGGUCCAGCUACAAGAAUUACUAGAUAAGGGUUUCAUUCGUCCUAGUGUGUCACCUUGGGGUGCUCCCGUUUUGUUCGUAAAGAAGAAAGAUGGUUCAAUGAGGUUGUGUAUAGACUACCGGCAGUUGAAUAUGGUUACCGUCAAGAAUAAAUACCCUCUUCCCCGAAUUGAUGACCUCUUUGAUCAAUUACGAGGUGCAGCGGUAUUCUCUAAAAUUGAUUUACGAUCUGGCUACCAUCAAUUGAAAAUAAAAAGUGAGGAUGUAUCGAAGACAGCUUUUCGAACUCGUUAUGGACACUAUGAGUUCUUAGUUAUGCCUUUUGGAUUAACUAAUGCUCCUGCAGCGUUCAUGGAUUUGAUGAAUAGGAUCUUCCAACCUUAUCUUGACCAGUUUGUCAUCGUCUUUAUUGAUGACAUAUUAAUUUACUCUAAGAGUAAGAAGGAGCAUGAGACGCACCUGAGGAUUGUAUUAGAAACAUUGCGGAAGAAGAAGUUGUAUGGAAAAUUUAAGAAAUGUGAGUUUUGGCUUGAUCAUGUGAUGUUUUUGGGACAUAUAGUGACGAAGGAUGGUAUUUCAGCAGAUCCAGCCAAAGUGGAGGUAAUUGUGAAUUGGGAAAGGCCUGCUAGUGUGACUGAAGUAAGGAGUUUCUUAGGAUUGGCAGGUUAUUAUAGGCGCUUUGUCAAAGGAUUUUCUAGCAUAGCAGCACCAUUGACUAAUUUGACUAAGAAGAAUGUGAAGUUCAAUUGGGAUGAGGCAUGUGAAAAGAGCUUUCAAGAGCUCAAGAGUCAUUUGGUGACUGCCCCUGUUUUAACUCUCCCUUCUGAAGGUGGAGGUUUUGUGAUUUACAGUGAUGCUUCCAGAAAAGGUUUGGGUUGCGUUUUAAUGCAACAUGGUAAGGUUAUAGCAUAUGCUUCUAGGCAGCUAAAGAAUCAUGAACAAAACUACCCAACACACGAUUUGGAAUUGGCUGCUAUAGUGUUUGCUCUAAAAAUCUGGAGACACUAUUUGUAUGGGGAGACUUGUGAGAUCUUCACCGAUCAUAAGAGUUUGAAGUACUUGUUUACUCAAAAGGAAUUGAAUUUGAGGCAAAGAAGAUGGUUGGAGUUGGUAAAGGAUUUUGAUUGUUCUAUUAAUUACCAUCCAGGUAAGGCAAAUGUGGUAGCGGAUGCCUUGAGUAGGAAAUCAUCUGGGUGCAUGGCUCAUCUUAUCACCAUGCAAUCUCAUUUGGUAAAAGACUUGAGGAGAUGUGGGAUUGAGGUAGUUACUCAUGGGCAAGCAGACGUGUUAGCACAUUUGACAGUCCAACCCACUCUAAUUGAUAGAGUUAAGGUAGCUCAGAAGAACGACAUAGAACUCAAUAAAAUCCGUGAAGAUGUGAGCAAAGGACAUAAGCCCGGAUUUAGACUUGAUAAUGGGGAUGGAUUAUGGUUGGGACAAAGGUUAUGCGUGCCAGCAGACGAAGAGUUGAAGGCGGAGAUCUUAAGAGAAGCUCAUGAAUCAUCUUACAGUAUGCAUCCUGGUAGUACUAAGAUGUAUCGUGAUCUAAAGCAAAGUUUUUGGUGGAGGAAUAUGAAGAGAGAUAUUGCUGCUUUUGUGUCUCGGUGUUUAGUCUGCCAACAAGUAAAGAUUGAGCAUCAAAGACCAGCAGGAACUUUACAAACGCUUCCUAUUCCUCAGUGGAAAUGGGAACACAUAACAAUGGAUUUCGUUUCUGGAUUACCUCGUUCUAGGAGGGGAUGUGAUUGCAUUUGGGUAAUUGUUGAUCGAUUGACGAAAUCAGCUCAUUUCUUGGCAAGGAAGAGUACAGACAAUGUAGGGCAACUAGCUAAGUUGUUCAUUAAGGAGAUAGUGAGGCUUCAUGGGGUUCCAGUGUCAAUAGUGUCUGAUAGAGAUCCACUGUUCACUUCAAGAUUUUGGGCUAGCUUACAUAAAGAGUUGGGGACGAAAUUGAGAUUUAGCACUGCUUUUCAUCCACAGACAGAUGGGCAAUCCGAAAGGACUAUUCAAACCCUUGAGGAUAUGCUUCGAGCUUGCGUCCUAGACUUGAGUGGUGGUUGGGAAGAGCACCUAAUGUUGAUCGAAUUUGCUUAUAACAAUAGCUUCCAUUCGAGUAUUGGCAUGGCACCAUUUGAGGCAUUAUAUGGAAGAAAGUGUAGGUCCCCAAUCUGCUGGGAUGAAGUUGGUGAAAGAAAACUUUUGGGUCCAGAAUUAAUACAGAUUACUGUUGAUAAAAUCAAGUUGAUUAGAGGACGUCUUCAAACAGCUCAGAGCAGACAAAAGAGUUAUGCAGAUCGUCGUAGACGUGAGUUGGAAUUCGAAAAACUAUCAACCGAUUCAGAUAAAUGAAGACAUGUCGUAUGAGGAACAGCCUAUUGAGAUUGUCGAUCGAGACGAACAAGUAUUAAGGAAUAGAGUUAUUCCCCUAGUGAAGGUACGAUGGAUGAAUCAUUCUAUUGAGGAAGCCACUUGGGAGAGAGAAGCAGAAAUGUUGGGUCUGUGUUAAGAAAGUACAUUGCAGACCCUUUACAUGUGCUAGACUAUCAACCGAUUCAGAUAAAUGAAGACAUGUCGUAUGAGGAACAGCCUAUUGAGAUUGUCGAUCGAGACGAACAAGUAUUAAGGAAUAGAGUUAUUCCCCUAGUGAAGGUACGAUGGAUGAAUCAUUCUAUUGAGGAAGCCACUUGGGAGAGAGAAGCAGAAAUGUUGGAGAAGUAUCCUCAACUCUUCCAUGCAUAAGGUAACCUUUUAAUUUCGAGGACGAAAUUUUUGUUAGGAGGGGAGAAAUUGUAACGCCACAAAUUCCCAUACAUAUUAAAUUAUGGAAAUUGGGCUUUCAUUGAGAAUUAUGGGUGGCCUAUAACCCUUAUUUAGAAAGGGGUACUAAUUAAAUAGAGGUUAUUUAUGAGAUCAUUUUGGAAAAGGGCUAUUUUUCCUUAUUGAAUAGGGUUUCUUAAGAUCCCCUAUAAAUACAUACUUUUCCCCCUUCCAUAACCCUAAGUUCACAACGUUUAUUAUUCUUCUCUGCUGCUCUUUACGCUCCUACCCAAAUCUUAGGAUUCAAACCUUUGUUUAGGAGAGACUCAAAGCGACGGGUAAGUUCACAACGUUUAUUCUGAACAGCAUGAGUAUCUCGAAUUUUUAAAGCUAUAUUUUCUGAACGAAUUUUCUUAUAAAAUUUAUAUUUCUGGAAACUAGACAUGUAGGGCUUCUUGAUUAAAUUUUAUUUCAUUAAAUUCAACUUCGUUUUCAAUUUUAUACGUAUUUUGGAAAUAGAAACCACUGCACUGGAAAUCCACGAUUCCAGUAUUGUGAUCAGAUUCAUAAUAUAUGUGUCUAGGAUUCCCAGUUUUAAUUUCAUAAUUUUCUGAUUAGUAUUUUAUUUUAUAAAAAUCACGGAACCCGUUCUGAUUUUCUGAUUAGUAUUUUAUUUUAUAAAAAUCACGGAACCCGUUCUGUUUGGUUUAGAUUAUGUGAAAACAGUUUCGAAUUUGCUGAGAAGUAAAUAGUUUUUAAAAUGUUUUUGAUAUCGGAUUCUCUUGUAAAUUUUACAUGGGGUACUCAUGGAUGUCCAGAAUGGUUCCAUAGGAUUUUAUAUCAUUCUGAGACUUGGAUUAAGAGUUACAAUUCCGAGAAUCAGACCUGUACGGGUAUGAAUUAGAAAAUCAAAUUCUUAGAAUAAGUUAUUGAUUGUCAUAUCUUGUAUUUGUUUAAGGUUUUGAAGGUGUUUGAGGCUCUUAGAAGCUUAGAGGUGUGUUAAUCCAAGUUCAUUUGUCGAGGUAAGUAACUUCAUUCCUAGUAUACUGGAUAUGUAUAAGUAUUUUGAUAUUAUUGUUAUAAGUAUAAAUGUUUUUAUAUUACUUAAAGGAUUAAUUGAUUUUGAUAAUAAAAUUAGUUUUAUGUAAAUGUUUUAAAGCUAAAUUCUUUUUAACAAAGUAUUUUAUAAAUGCUUUUGAAUAUGCAAGUUAUUUUGUUACAUGCCUACUUUUAUGAUUUUAUUUAUAAAAUGUUAUGCAAGCCUAUAUUAUUGAUAUGAACUUUUAUGAAACUGAUACGAAUGUUUUGUACCUAUGUUUGAUUUCAAUUAUUGAUGAUUGUAUGAGAUUCCUAAUGUUUUGGCUCAUUGUCCAUAGUUAUUCUGAUUCUGAUUCUGAUCGUAAUAUACGAUAUAUCUGUCUGGACCAGUACUGGGUUUCUGUUCUGAAUGUGCACACGAUAUUCUGAUUAUGUUUCUGGCCGGGUCACCGGGACUAUAGGUGACACUAUGUGACAUGAGCUAACCUGUUUGUUUUCUGUAUACGUAUUACAUGAUUUGAUUCGUAAGUAAAUAUGCUUUUGAAUAUUCUGAAUUAUUAAGAAUUUAUCUUAUGUUAUUGUGAUAUAUCGUUUUAUGAAAAUUAUGGAUUAUGAUAUAUGCUUUAAACAAAAGAAGGCUUGCAAUAUUUUUGGUAUCGAUAGGCCUAGUGUGUUAGGAAUGGUUUUACUUACCGAGUUGACGGCUCACCCCUCGUCAUUACUUUUUUGCAGAUUAAGUUUCUUUUGAGAGGUGCACUUAGCUUUGGAGUUAAUGAUUUCCAGUUUCCGUUUGCUAUUGAAUAAGAGGAGGAAUAGACUUGUGUUUCUAUUUAGUUACUUUUAUUAUGAACGUGUAAUUUGGAGUUUGAGACUUUUGUUAUUAUUUUUAUAUGUCCUCGAGAGAGAUUAUUUAGUAUUUGACGUUUGGAUUUAUGGAUUUAUUUGAAUAAGAAUUGGAGGAAUUUCAGUUUGAAACUUAUGAGUAAAGAUUAUGAUUUGUGAGUAACCUCCUUCUUCACGUGCUCCGCACGUGUUAGAUUUGGGGUGUUACAAAAGAUUUCAAACCCUAAAUCAAAUUAUAGAGGCGGCGGAGAUGGCGAUGGCUUCAAGUGGUUUGAGAGGGGCCUCCGUGUGCCAAAAAUAGGCCGCGGGCAAACCCACACCCAAAAAUAGCCGCCCGAAGGCCGGGGCGCCAAGUUCGUCCAGCGGAAAAAGGCCACAAAAACGGGUGGGCUAUAGCCUUGGGGGGUGGGGCUGGCCAACUUCGUCCGCCGGACUCGGGAAGGGAAGAAAAAAAGAAAAGAAAAACAAAACAUAGAAAAUAAAAAGCAACGAAGGAUAAAAGAGUUCGCUCUUACAAAAUUAUCAUUUUACCCUUUUUUCUAUUAAGUUAACAGUAGAUAGACAGAAAUGGGUACGUGAUGCACAUGGUCAAAAAAUGUGGGUACGCAGUGCUAAAUGUCGAAACAAUUGGGGGCUGACGAAAAAUUACCCUUAAAAUAUUAAGGGAAACAGUCAUCCACGCCCCAAAGGAUGUUUUAAAAAAAGUCACCCACAGCCCCAAAGGAUGUUUAAAUGAUCACAUAAAUUUCCUUAGGCCAUGUUUGGUUUGAAGAAAAGAGAGGAGAGGAAAAGAGUGGAAUGGAGAGUAAGAGAGAGAGUAGUGAAAUUAGAUUUUUUUUUUUUGUUUGGUUUGAUAUAAAAUUUGAUAAGGAAAUGAAUUGUAAUUUUUUUCUUUAGACAAAUUUAUCAUUUACCUUAAAUAUUAAAAAAUUUAUAUUAGUAAUAACAUAUAUAAUAAUAAUAAAAUGGUAGUCCGGUGGCCGGCGGCGGAGGUCCAUUUAUAAUAUUAAAUCAAUAAAAUAAAAUUAUAAAUAAUAAUUAUUAAUGGCAUUAAACAAGUUAAAAAGUUGAAGGGUAAUUUUGGAAACUUUAGUUUCUAACAUAAGAGGAAUUUAAAUUCUACACUACUUGGUGUGUAAUUCAAAUUCUACAUUAUGAUAGAUAUUAAAUUCUAAUGGAAAUUAAAUUCUUAUAUAUUUUGUCAAGCCAAACAAUGGAAAUAAAAAGAGAAUUUAAAUUACUUUUCUCUCCUCCAUUCUCUCCUCCCAACCAAACAUCACCUUAGUUUUAGAAAUGGAUAUACAAAUCCUCUUUUUAUUAUUAUACCUUUGAACGUAGUCAAAGAUUUUACAAUAAAUUUGAAUACAAUACUUAGACAAGAAUAAUAAAUAAAAUAGCACAUCAGUACAAAUAAAAUAUUGAAAUAAAUAUAAUUAAUAAAAUAACAUAUAUAUGUCAUGCAAAUUAUUUUUAAUAUUAAGUUAUUAUCAACAUAUCACGACAGAUUUUAUUAAUACUUAAAUCCAUUAAUCCAAAACUUAAUUUUAAAAAUUAUGCUAAUAUCGACAUUACAUAAAAAGUAAUAAAAAAAUCUAAAUAAAUAUAUGAUACAGAUUUUAUAAUUUUUUUAAUGUUAAUACAAUUAUUUUAAUAUAAGUAAUUUGUGAAAUAAAUUUUAUUAGCAUUAAGACAUAUGACAUAUUAAUAAUAUUAAAUUAAUUAUUUUAUUCAAUAUAAAUUAUAAUAUUUUAUAUGUUAGAUUAUUUUAAUAAUAUAUUUUGGGUUGUUAUAAUCAAAGAGUAUAAUCGUAAAAAAAAAGGGUCUAUGUGACCAUUUCUCAAACUAAAUAGAUCUCUAUAGCCAUUUAAGUAAAAUCUGAGGGUGUAGAUGACUUUUUUCUAAAAAACAAUAAAAGAAAAUAAAAUAGCACGAAAGUAAACUCUCAUUUCUUAAUAGCAAAAAACUUAAAAGUCUCCGUGAAGUUAUCAAAAUGGCUACGCGUAUGUAUAAGAAAUAAAAUAGACUCCAAAACAAACAAAAGUAAUCAUCAACAAUGGAAAUAUCCAUUCUGAUUAUAAUAUUUGUUCACUUUUUGUAGAAGUCACUUUUUUUUUUCCUCCCUCCGUUAGGAAGUGAACUUUUGUUGGGCUUUGACGGGGUUCCUAUGUUUUGGGCACAUAAGCCGUAAAAAGUAUCUUUGUUAUGAGGGACUCAAGCCCUAUUUAAUAUUGUGAUGGGCGGUUGUUGUUCAAAACAUAUAGUAUUUAAGUAUUUAAUAAAAUAAACUGUUGUGAUUUAGAAGUUAAGUUGAAUUUGUCCCGCUUAUAUAAUGAAAAACUUAUAAUAUUUUUAUUAUUUUUAUCAAAAUUUUAUUUCAAAAUCAAAUUUACCAGACACUGUCAUUUAUUCAUGUGCUCCUCCAUUCUGAAAAUUGCUGACAAGUUGUUGGUUGCAAUAAACAAUUGACAAUAAAAUACCAGGAGUUGGGUUUGGAUACAAGAUUUAUAUAUUUAACACUAUUCAUAUACAAAUAAAUGCAAACUUAAGAGAAGGGCUUAAAAUCUGCUUUCUAGCUAUGAAUAAUGAAAAAUAAAAUAAAAUAAAAAUAAAAAUAAAGAAUUGUUACCUGUCCUUCAGUUCCCAACCAGAAAUUGGCCACCUCUUUCAAAGCUUCUCUCCAAUUUUGCACUUUUUCUAUAUUCUCUCUAAAUGCUUCUUCAUGCUCAUGAUGCAAGUAAUUGAUUCUGCAGCCUUAUUUUUAAGUUCCUGAAAAUUAAUUUGGAAUUAAAUGUUAUAAGUAAAUGGUUCUUAAAUAAUCAUAAUCAGCAAAGUUGCAAUUACAAGAGAACAAAAUCUCCUCUUAAACUGAUUAACUGAAUUAUGAGAAACGUCACACUUAUUACAUAAGCAAACGCUUAAAUACAGGAGACAAGUUAAUAUAAAAUGUAAGAAAUUAACUUACAGAAGAUUAGAUGUUGCUAAGCAAGAAGAAGCGGCCACCUAAGAUGUGAUUAGCUGUUAUUCAACCUAACUUUUCCAUUUGUUGAAGUACUGGUGAAACAAGGGAUAGAAAAUCAGAGCCUGAGUUUACUUACAUAGAUCAGUUCUGAUAUUCAUCGUUGCUGCCCUUAUCAACAUUCUUGCUCCAUGAGUCUGAACCAUUACGUUGAUCAAUACUGAUAGGAAUGCACAUUGAUGAACUGACACAGUUUGCAUGUUACAAAGGAAAUUAGGAAUUUUGUAAAGCGCACAAGCAGAGAGUAUUAUCAAAGUGUUGCUUUUGCUAAAUCUGUUACUGGCUUAACUGCACUCUGUUCCACAGAGUUGAAACCAUUCUGUUUUUUCCGUGGUUCGUAAAAGCCGCUGGCAUCAGGUGGGAAUCGUCUCUUUUGUUUGUUCAAGACAUCAGGUGGGAUGCACGGUUCCUUUCCUUCUUGAGCAUUUUGUCGAACAACUUUUUGGGAUUGGGAAUCAUACCAUAAUUGAAAGCAAAAACAGUAAUCAGAAAACAACGAACACAGAUUUUCGAGGCUAAGCCAGAUGGCCUAGUUCCUGGUGCAGAACAGGCGAACGGAUUUCAUUAAUCAUCAGGAAUUCAAGAACAAGGUCAAAAUUAUGAUGAUCUGAUUACAUGCUGACAAAUUGCAGCUUCUAACGCUAUUUAAUAUAGCCUCGAAAACCUUCUGGGACCUCCCCCACUUGCCAACUUCGUUUCCCGCUAAAACCAACGGCUGUAACAACUAAUCAUUUGACCAGCCUCGGCGCACGUGUCCGGGGAGUGACAAGUUAAGUUUAUCUUUAACAUAUGUCACGCGCAAGACAAGUGCUCUACUAUAAUGUUCGUAACCGACAUUACAUGAUGAUCAUACAUUGAUAUUGAAGGAGAAACCGUUAUCUCGAUCACGUUUAAGACGACAUAACAGUAAGCAAUACAAUCAGAAACCGACAACGUCUUUCGCUAUAGAAGCUUAAAUUUGAGAUCAAUCUUUCACAUAUUGUUUCCGAGCAAGUUAGCGACUUGUCAAAGCUUGGUGGCAGGUUCUGUCGGAAGAAGAAUGUUUUUCGGCGGGAGUCUCAUCUCAGGUUGAGGGGUGGCUGGAGAGUCCCUAAUGGUAAAGUUGGUUACUUAUACAGUGGUCAUUUUGGACCAAAAACACUUUCAAUUUUUUUCCAUUGUAUGUAUAUGAGGUUUCUGCAAGCGUUUUCUCUUGCUUUAUUUACUCAAGCGCAGUUGAUCUCAUACUUGGAAAAAUAGAAUUUGUUGCUGUAAAACUCUGCAUGUAGAAAAGCAACAAUUUCACUUACCUAUUCCCACAGGGUCUCGAAUUGAUUUGAGCUUUGCUCGCUGUCUUAUCUUUAAAAAAUAUAAAAUAUAAUAAAAAAUAAGGCCAUUUCAGUAUAGAGUAUUCUGCCUAAAGCACACGUGUUUUGUUUUUGAAUCCAAAUUGCCAUGGAAGUAGGAUAAAGGUGAACUACGAAUACAAAACUAUAACAAAAUUUUUUUUAAAGUCUCGUUUAAUAUAUAGUGGUUCUGUCACUUUUAAGUUAUACGUUUUGUGACAUGAAAGUUUUAGCUAUUAAAUAAAAGCUGAUAGUAUUCAAUCAUUAUUAUUUUUGAACCUUCUAGGAAGAUUUGUAACAAUUUCAUCUUUUAUGGUGCGUUUACUUUAUGAAAUGGGAAUUGGGUGGAAUGAGAAAGGGCUGGGAAUGUGAAUGGACUGGAAUGAGAAUGAGAUUUCAAUGUUUAUUUGGCAAAAAUAAAUGGGAAUGAGAAUGUGCUGGAAUGUCAUUGAUGUGUUUACUUGGCAAAAUAAAUGGGAAUAAGAAUCAAUUUACCAAAAUACCCAUAGUAUUAAUAAUUAAUAAAAAUAAUUAAUUUAUUAUUAUUAAGAAUAUUAUCAUUAUUGUUGUUAUUAUUACUAUUAUUAUUAUUAUUAUUAUUAUUAAAUUUUAUUAACUUUAUUAUUUUAGUUAUUAUUAAUUAUUUUUAUUAAUACUAUCAUUAUUAACAUUCAUUAUUAAUAAUAAUAAUAUAUUAUUAGUAUUAUAUUUUAUUAACUUUAUUAUUUUAGUUAUUAUUAAUUACUGUUAAUAUUAUUUUUAUUAAUACUAUCAUUAUUAACAUUUAUUAUUAUUAUUAUUAUUAUUAAAUUUAUUAUUUUAGUUACUAUUAAUAUUGUUAUUAUUAUUUUUAUUAAUAUUAUCAUUAUUAACAUUUAUUAUUAUUAUUAUUAUUAAUUAAUUAAUAUCAUUUUUAUAUCUAGAUAAUAAAAUUACAUUGUUAUUAUUAUUAUUAAUAUUAUUAUUAAAAAUAAUAAUAACUAAAAUAAUAAAGUUAAUAAAAUUUAAUAAUAAUAAUAAUAAUAAUAAUAACAACAACAACAAUAAUGAUAAUAUCAUUAAUAAUGAUAAAUUCAUUAUUUUUAUUAAUUAUUUUUUUUAUCAUUAUUUUUAUUGUUAAUAAUGAUAAUAUUAAUAAAAUAAUUAAUAAUAACUAAAAUAAUAAGUUAAUAAAAUUUAAUAAUAAUAACAAUUAUUAUUAUUAUCAUUAUUCCCAAAUUGUGUGGGACCCACACAUUUUAUUCUUGAGUUCUGCUAUUUGAACUCCGCCACGACAAAGGGACGACAGAAAAAUUGGCACGUGAAUGUCUGUUGCUUCAACUGCACUCACCAGCUUUUGUCCAUUACUUUUUUCAUUUAAAAAAUAAAAUAAUCAAAAGAAAGAAAGAAAAGUAACGAAAAGAGAUUACUUUUUUACGGUCAUCUUUAGUCUCUCUCCAUCUCUCACCUCUCAUUUACUCAACGUGAGCUAUAUGCAUUUAGGAAGGAAAAACCAGUUCCGUCUCUGUAUCUCAUCAGUUUCGUCUCUGCAUCUCGCUUAUCACAAGGAAGAAGUUAGACCUAGAUCUACAAACAUAGGCCUUGAUAAAUUUGAUACUGAUUAAUUGGUAAGUUGGUGACUCUCACUACAUUCAAAUAAAAUUUUUAUUGUAUUCUAUAUAUUUAAAUGGUUAGAAUAUUUAAUUUAAAUUGUAAAAAUUUGUAGAUUUUUGCUUUUUAUAUAUUUAAAUUGUUAUGAUUUUUUUUUAAUUUAAAUGGCUGGAAAUAAUGGAAUAGAUUAUAAUAAUUUCUUAAUGUGUUUUAUAUAUGUUAGUAUUUUUUAAAUUUAAAUGGUUGGAAAUAAUGAAAUAAAUUAUAACAAUUUCUGAAUGUGUUUUAUAUAUGUUAGGAUUUUUCUUAAUUUAAAUGGCUGGAAAUAAUGGAAUAAAUUAUAACAAUUUCUAAAUGUGUUUUAUAUAUGUUAGGAUUUUUUUAAUUUAAAUUGCUGAAAAUAAUGGAAUAAAUUAUAACAAUUUCCGGAUGUGUUUUAUAUAUUUAAGUUGUUAGGAUUUUAUAAUUUAAAUUGUUGGAGAUAAUGGAAUAAAUUAUAAAAAUUUGUGGAUGUGUUUUAUAUAUUUAAAUUGUUAGGAAUUUUCGUUAUUGGACAAAAUGUUAUAUAAGUUUCUUAAUACAAAUGUUAAUUAUUUUGUAGAAAUGGAGUAUUUGGAAAAUGAGCAUGCAUUUGAAGAGUUGCAAGAAACAAGAGCUAACGAUGUAAAUGAAAUUAUGGAACCGAACAAAUGUGAGCCAGCUCUUGGAAUGUUAUUUGAUAAUCAUGAAGAAAUGUUUGCAUUUUACAAAGCUUAGGGUAAACAAGAGGGGUUUCCUGUGAAGGUUCGAAGUACUAAGAAGGAGACCGAUGGAAUUGUAAAAUAUGCGACAUUUGCAUGUGGGCGUAGCGGCAAGUCAGAAAGUAAAUCUGCUAAUGCAUUGAAGUCGAAACAGAAUGUGAAAAAUGGUUGUGAUGCAAAAAUUGGAGGUUGUCUAAAUGAAGAUGGAAAAUGGGUUCUUCGAAACUUUAAAUUUUCAACACAACCAUGGAUUGAGUCCAGACAAAGCUAGGUAUUUCCCAUGCAAUCGCAGAAUUAGUGCAAGCCCUAAAAAGCGAAUUGAAAUGAAUGAUUGUGCAAGAAUUAGAAUUGCCCAAAAUUUCAAUUCUAUUGUUGUUGGAGCUGGUGGGUAUGAAAAUGUGUCAUUCUUAGAAAACGAUUGUAGAAAUUUUGUUGACAAAACAAGGCGAUUACAGCUUGAGGAAGGAGAUGCUAUGGCGCUUUUAAAGUACUUCUAGAAAAAGCAAGCAGAAUGUAAUGGAUUUUUUUUUAGCAUUGAUUUGGAUGAAGAGGAUUGAUUAAAGAAUGUGUUUUGGGCAGAUUCGCGGAGUAGGGCAGCUUACAAAUAUUUUGGAGAUGUCAUCACAUUUGAUACUACUUAUCUGACCAACAAGUAUGACAUGCCAUUCGCGCCCUUUGUUGGAGUUAAUCACCAUGGACAAUCUAUUUUGUUGGGAUGCGGAUUGAUUUUACGCGAGGAUACGGAGACAUUUACGUGGUUAUUUGAGGCGUGGCUAUCAUGCAUGUCUGAUUCUCCUCCCUUUGGUAUCAUUACAGAUCAAGACAUGGCAAUGCAAAAGGCAAUUGAAAACGUUUUUCCUACUACUAGGCAUUGAUGGUGUUUAUGGCACAUAAUGAAGAAGGUGCCUGAGAAGUUAGGGGCUUUUAACGAACGUGAAGGUAUUAUAUCUUUCCUGCUUUCUGCUGUUUAUGAUUCACUGAGUUCUGAUGCGUUUGAGGAAGCUUGGCAUUGCAUGAUAACAGAAUAUGAUUUAUGAGAUAAUGAUUGGUUAAAUGGUUUGUACGAGGAGAGGCAUCGUUGGGUCCCAUGCUAUUUAAAAGGCUAUUUUUGGGCAGGAAUAUCAACAACUCAGGGAAGUGAAAGUAUGAAUGCAUUUUUUGAUGGAUUUGUUAACUCAAAAACAAACUUGAAACAGUUUGUAAAACAAUAUGAAAAUGCAUUGAGGAGGAAAGCUGAAUUAGAAUGGCAAGCAGAUACCAAGUGUUUCAGUAAAAGGACACCAUGCGUAUCAAGAUAUGAGAUGGAGAGGCAAGUUGAAGAAGUGUACACCAUUUCCAAGUUUAAAGAAUUUCAAGAAGAAUUGACUGCUCUGAUGUAUUGUGAUAUCUCGGAUUCUGUGGGAUCAAUAAAUCAAAUAAUUGAAUCAUUUGGGCAAGGUCGGAGAGGCUUCUUUGAGGUUGUUUUUGAAGAAGCUGAGUGUGAAGUUAAUUGUAUAUGUUCAAAAUUCCAGUUUAGGGGGAUUCUUUGCAGGCAUGCCCUUGCAGUGCUGAUACGUAACUCAGUUGAAUUACUUCCAGAAAAAUACAUUUUAUCAAGGUGGAGGAAAGAUGUGAGGAGAUGUUAUAGUAAGCUGAAAGUUUGUUAUGGUGUGCAGAAUUUGACCAUCCAGCAAGAAAGAUGAAAAAAUGUGUAACACUUUCAGUGAGGUUGCAGACAUAGCCUCUGAUGAUGAAAAUAACUAUAAAACGGUGUUGGAUUGGAUUGAGAAAGCAAUGAAGGAUCUGCCCAAGUAAAUUCAUUGUGAAAGUGUGGGAAAAACUAAUACUGGUGGAGCAAGUUGUAGCAGCAACAAACAAAUUAACAGUGAGUGUGGAAAGAACUGUUAUUGGCGAAGUAAGUUGUAACAGCAACAGUGUUCAACUUGCACUGAAUGAUCCAGUAGUGACAUGUCGUAAAGGCCGCCCACCUUGCCUAAGGAAAGAAUCUUCGAUUCGUAAGAAAUCCGUUCAAAAGAACAAGUCCGCACAAAGAAAUAAGGUAUGAUUAAAAAAAAAAGAUCUAUUUUCCAAUUAAUUUGGUCUUAGUUUAAUUGUCUUUAAUAAUCUUGUAGGAUUUACAAGAAAAUGCCCCAUCAUCUUAUCAUGUGCCUAAUGAAAUCUCCACACAAGGGAGCAACAUAGCCACGGUAAAUUUUGUGAAAUUUUCUUUUGUUUUGAGGAUAUGUAAUUAAGUAUAAGAUUGCGCAUAUGUAGACGCUACAAGAAGGAAGUGCUAUUUAUGGAAAUCUCAACUAAUGCGGCACUACGGGCUAUUAUAAUGUAAGAAUUAAAUUAUUUAAAUUUUAGUUUUAAGAUUUUUAUAUGAAUUUUACAUAUAUUUUAUUAUUUGAUUAGGUACCUAUGUACCAAUCCCAAUUCAGUGGAAGCAACAUUUAUCAGUCAUUUCCUUAUAAUUGGCACACAAUAAGUUGUUGUUUAUAAGUCGUUAAUGAAUACAUAUAUUUUAAAAUUUCUGUAAUGUAAUAUGAUGUUUAUUUUUAUGUAUUAUAGCAACCAGUCCCACCGUAUACUUCGCAGUUGCAUUAUUCUUCUCCUUCGAUGACUUAUCAAGGAUCUCAAAGUGAGAAUUUCCAACAGUUACUACAGCAGCAGCAGCGUAAUGAAGAUAACAAUGAUGAUACUUGACUUGUAUUUUGGCUUUAAAUUGUAGUGAUGAAAUAAUGUUGUGUUAAAUUGAACUUUAAAUUUUUAAAAUUAUGUUAGAUUUGACUUUAAAUCUUUGAAAUUGUAGUGAUGGAAUAAUGUUUUGUGUUAAAGUGAACUUUAAAUUUUUGAAAUUAUGUUAGAUUUGUUUAACGUUGUCCACUUGCAAUUUGUUUGCUCGCACUGUCAUGAAGUGAUAUUGUAUAGGCACCGAUGGUUUGCAGUCAGUGCAAAUAUUUCCAGCUAUGUGAAAGAUAAUGAUUCUUCCUCUUAAAUUUUGUUUUCAUACUCAUGUCCACGUUUUUAAUUGAACUGUUCUUUCUGCUUUUAUACUUAUGUCCAUGCCUUUCUUCAGGUUCUCAAUUCUGUUUAAGUUAUCAAAUCUAAUCAUCUUCAAUUUAUCACUGUUUCAGAUUCUUGUAUCCUCUUGAAAAUGCAAAGCUAAUGUGUGAUACAAUAUUAAUAUAAAUUGGAGGCUUUGUUUUCACUAGUAGAUAACAGAGGCCCUGUGCAAAGAAUUAAAAUUCACUUAAAGAGCCAUGUUGCACAAAUGUGUGCAAGGACAUAAUUUUACAAAAUUAUUUUUCUUAUGUUACAGAAUUCAUAUCUCAUAUGCAGAGUCUAGAGGAAAACAAUUCAUACACAACAAUCAUUUUAUUUAAAUUAUUUAAAUUUAUACAUAACACGGGGUACAAUUUCAUUUAUGCAAAAUACAUAUAGCAAUGAUUAUCCCUAAAAUACAACAUACAAUGGAUAAUAUAGGCAGAAUAAUACAAUCAUUUCUGCCUUUAUCAGUUUGCACAACUUUGUCGCAUGUAGGCACUUCAGUUUGCACCCUCUUUUCAAGUGUUUCCACAAUAAAUUUUGUAGUUUUUAACAUAUUGGAUGUCUCUGGCAAUUUUUCAUGCCUUUUUAUGUAAUCAUUGUAGGCUAUUUCGGCAUCCAACAAAGAUUUAUAAGAUUAUAAGAAUUCCCUUUGAAUCCAUUUACUUGCAUCUUGCAUUCAGGCCAAGAAUUGUAUAUGCCCGACUUUCGUCCUUUGAAAACAACAUAACAACUUUGAGUAGGCAUUUGAAUUCUACAUUGGAAAAAUUUAGAUAAAAUAUUAUCACAAAUAAAUAUUCUAGACAUUUAUGCUAAGAAACUCCUAAUGAUAAUAUAUAUUGAUAUGCAAUACAGGGAAGUAAGACUUUGAAAUUUUUAUGGACUUUGUUGAUUUCCCUGCCCUGCACUUACAUUGAUCUUAUGGACUUUCAGUCGGCCAUCUCUAUUAUAACCAAAUUUUUAUCUAACAAUGGCUUCAAAUAGUCAAUCAAAAUAAAUGUAAUAAGUCACGUAACUUAGGAUUAAAAUUGAACUGAUUAUUAUGUUCUUCCCAAUGUACUCCAAUAUGAUUUUUUUUUUCCAGAAAAAAGUGACUAGUCUUCAACUCUCAAAAUAUUGUAUAUUAAGAAUAGAAAUUUAUAAUUCGAAUAUAACAAUAGAAAUUUAAGUUGUGCUAUAAUAGAAUUGACCACAAGAAUUCCACAGACAAAAUAAUUUCAAUGAGAGUGAUUUGAAGCAUAUAUUAUGCAAAGCUUGUCAGAAGAAACAAGUCUAUUCGUAGCACGAAAAAGAAAAACCAAAAGUAACAACAAAUGCAAGAAAUACAACUCCCAGAAGUAGAAAAACAAUUUGGGAAAUUAUUUAAGGCAAAAUAAAUUAUAUAUGGAAAUUCUAGUUGCUAAAUUAUUCUUGCAUCAAAUAGUAAUAAAAAGUAACAACAAUUUAAGGGUUAAUUUUAUGGGGACAUGAGAAUAAAGAUUUUCGGGAAUAAUUACCUUUUCAUAGCAAAAAUGAAAAUUAAUUAGAGAUAAUUUUCUUUUAUAUCAAAAGUGCAACUUUUUUUUUUAAUAUAUCAUCAGUGUGACAAAUCGCAGUAAAAGAUUAAUAGAAUUCGGAAAAGAUUAAUUAGAAAAAGGAUUAUCUGUUCAGCACCCAUUACUAGUUGAUACACAAAGAUGAUCUCAAACUGUCAAUCGGUAGCACUGAGAAUUGAAAUGAGCUUGAAUUGAACAUGCUUAUGGAAGAAAUGCUCACACUGUCAAUCUCAAAAUUUCAUCAUCCACAAGAUAAAAAAAAAAAAGAAAUGCUUACAGAUGGGUCACUACAACUGCAACAGCAUGCAACAACUAGAAGUCUCCAAAGCAGCGAUGUCGUAGAUGAAGAAGAGUCGAUCGUGUCUGUUGUAGAUCUGGGCUAGGCGAGAACAAGAAGCGGUCGUUGUCCGGUAACAAGAAGCGGACAUCGUCCGAUAACGAAGCAAGUGGGGCUGGGCGAGAAAAAAAAAAAAGAAGGGGCUCGGCGAGAACAAGAAGCGGCUGUCGUCUAGGGGGAGUCCGGUAACGAAGCAAAUGGAGGGGGAGUAAAAUGAGUGGUGGACGUCGUCUGGUAACGAAGCAAAUGGGGCUGGGCGAGAAGGAAAAAAAAAAAAGAAGGGGCUCGGCGAGAACAAGAAGCGGCUGUCGUCCAGGGGGAGUCCGGUAAUGAAGCAAAUCGAAGCAAAUGGAGAGGGAGUCUGGUAACGAAGCAAAUGGAGGGGGAGUAAAAUGAGUGGAGGGGGAGUAAACUAAGGAAAGGAAAAUGAGUGGUUGGGGAGGUGCGUUUCUUGUGGGUCCACGCAAGACUCAAAGAAGCAGAACUCAACACGUGAAACGGCAAUUCAACGCUGCCUUUCUGUCGUCCUUUUGUCUUCUUUGAGUUCGUAUAUCAUUUUCCUUUAUUCUUAUUCCCAAAUUACAUUUUGCCAAGUAAACAUGGAUUUCACAUUCCUUCAUUCCCAUUCCCCAUUCUAUGAAGUAAACACACCAUUAAUUAAAACAGAAUAAAUGAUUCGCCAAUCAAAACAGAGAUAAUUAGAAUAAGAAACCAAUUUUUUUUUUUUGGUUGGGGUUUGUCCUUUGUGUUUUCUCUUUCUUUAAUUAUCAACUCAUCAGAAUUCAUAAAAUUCAAAUCUUUAAAUUUUCUUUUCUCUUCUUUAACAAUGAACUCAAAAAACGAAAAACGAAAAACGAAAAAGAAAAUAAUAGUAAUAAAUAAAAUAAAAAAUAAAGAAAAUAAGACUCAUCGUACGGCAUUAGCUGCAUUUUUUCCUCACGGGCCAUCCAUUCCUUUUGCUAUUUGAAAUACGACUCAACGGCUUGUUUCUAUCAGCAGGCAUUGGAUUUAACUACGAUUUAUUAACAAACCUUGGAGAAAUUCCAGUAAGGGGCUAAUCUGAUCGAGCGCGAAAGCAACUUUGGAGACAUUCUUUGCUUCUGAUUGAAGCAGAGCAUUUUUUGGUAAUUUAAAAUAAAACUUUGCAUGAGUAGAUAUAACAGACAAAAAGAACAAAACUGAAAUUGAAAUUGCAUACUUACUGAUAAAUUCAGAGACUUUAAACCUAAUAUUAAUGUUAAUUAACUAUACUUAAUAUGCACAAAAUUUCAUGCAUGAACCAGAUGAAGAUCUUGUUUUAAGCAGUGAGGGAUUGAACAACAAUUUGAAGAACAAGAAGCUUGAAGAAGUGCAAAGUACACCAGAUGCAAAGUUGCCUCGAAAGUCUCCAUCAAUACCCGGUUCAGGUUAUUCGGAAAACCAAAGUUAAUGCAAAAUCAGAGAACAAACCAGAGGAAAGCUCUGUACUACAAUCACUCUGCCAAAACUACCACAAUGAUAUGUGGUGAUGAGCAGUAAACCAAGCAAGACUCCUGAUGCAAGCAAUUUAUUGAAGGCUUUUCCUUAAGUUCCUUACUGCAAAAAUGCAUGAAUCAGGCAGUUAUUUUAGCAGCCCAGGAUUAGGAUUGCUUGGUCAUUUUGAGACUACUUUGCAGACUCAUAUUCAUCUGGAGAGUAAACAAUUAAUGUUUCCAGGUUGAAACAAAGACGCCUCUGAUCUGGUGCUAACCCAUAGUAUGAAUGUAUAAUUAUUAUUUUUAAAACAAACAAAAUUUUAAUAUGAUAUUCAUCAUUGAUUUAAUCGAUUUUAUCUAACAAAUUAUAUUAUAAUUAAUUUAUACACCCUACAUUACAUUAUAACCGAUUCCAUAAAAGGUGAGAUCGAUCAUCUGUCAUUUCCCUGCAAAUACACAGUCAUUCCUUUUCUAUUUUUCAUUUGCUCUGAACCCAAAACAACAAGCAGGAAGAUAUUUAUCCAUCAUAUUUUGAAGCUUAAUCGUAAUCUCAAGUUAUGUGUUAAGUUCAUCAAUUUUCCAAAUCUUAAUAUCUGUUAACGGGUAGUAAACAAACAACAGCCACAGCAUCAGAAGGCACUAGUGCAGUUCAAGUAAAAUCUAUGUUCAUUCAGUAAGAAUAUCAACAAGCAAAAACUGUGUCAACUAGAACUCCAGAAGCCAUAGGCAACACAAGAAUAUUCAAUCAGAUUGCAAUCACCUAAUUUGUUUAUUGUUCAUUCAUUGCAAUGCAAUUCAUCGACUAUGAUACAAACCACUUUCAAGUGUACCCAAGAACUUGCCCUUAUCACUUCCUGAUCUGGCAUCUUUUGCUCAAAAGGAAGGGAAUGGAUAUAGUUAAGUCCUCAUCUCAUUUGAGUUCAAAAGCCCCCGAGUCAUUUUCUUUCACUGUACUAAAAUAAAAAAUAAAGUUAUUAAUUAUACAUUGUGUGUGCACACGUGCAUGAAAUAACAAAUACAAAAAUGAGAAAGCUGCAAGAGAUAAUGAUGCAAUGAAACAGUGAUGGUAAGAUCCAAAACAGAGGAUUUAUUUCAGUCCUUUACUUUUGAUCCAAGCAGAGCAUCUUCUGGGAGUUUAACAUGAAAUUGUUUUGCAAGGCUAGAUACAUUAAAUAAAUAAAGAGAAUAUAAAUGAUUUGCCAUAUGCAGCGAACAUAAAUUGGAACUCAGAAUCUGAGAUGCGUACUUGCACAUAAAUUCAGAGAAUAAUCACUAGUUUAUUUCCCUUCAGUCGAGCUGUCUAAAUCUUUUAGCUUGAGAUUCCUCAUCAUCACAGCAGCCACUUCCACUGGCCUCAGCUGUCCCAACAUGUUCUGCAAGGCUUCGCUUUGAUGUUGUGGCUACUUCCAUAUUUGAUCCAACAAGAUUUCGAUGGAAUUCAUUUAGAUUAUAAGAAGUAAAGCGAGUCCAUUGGUUUGUUGUUUGGUUGAACUCCUCCACUUGGUGCACAAAAACUGGAUGGAAACCACACUUUUUCACCUCCAAUCCUGGGCCCCACAAGGGUUGAAAUUCAAAAUGCCAAUUGUGUUCAUAGCAUUCUUGUUCUUGACAAGGUAAAUAGAGUAGCCAAAGAUGGGCUGACCCAUCCUGACCGAACUUUUCCCUAAAAGUAGUACUAUCAACGACUCUAGAACCUUUCAAGCGCCAGGUCAAACACUUUGUGGGAUAUGAACGUAAAGUUCUGAUUCUAGUUGAAUGCUUAUUGACAUGAAACACACAGCAAAUAGCAUAUCCCGCCACCUUAUUCUUAUUAAAUGAAUCGGGAGGCCUGUUGAGUGUUAUUGAAGAACCCUUGUUCUGAUACAUGAACCACUCUGGAAUUUCGCUUCCUGGAACAACAGUGCUUAAACGCUGUCGCGAAUGUGACACAGCCUGCAACCAAAAAAUUAAGAGGAAAAAAUAAAAAAUAAAACCAUACCUCUGCAUAAAUUUACUGCAAUAUGUUUGGCAUGGUAGAGAGACAUGGAGUAAGAGACUGACCUCGAGGUACUCUUUCAGCAUUGAAAAUGCCAAGCCAUUGAAUUUCAAACAGUCCAUACAAUGAAUAUAUGUGCUGUUCGACUUGCAAGAUUUUAACACACAUGAUAUCAUUUCCAAUGAAGUACAACCAUCUACUCUAAUUGACAAAAUACUGGGUGGAGGUCGUGGUAGAGAUUGAAGCCUCUUGCAAUCCUCCAAUACCAUUUUCCGAAGCUUAGGAAGAUGGAUAAUGCUUGCUGGAAGUGAAACAAAAUUGUUUCUACUCAAAUAUAACUCUUUUAAUGAGCACAAGUUGCCAAUAUCGCUUGGGAUUGCUCCUUCCCCUAGAUUACAGUCACUGAUAUCUAAUUUUCUUAAACAACACAAACCUGAUAGAGAUGGGAAUCUCCAAGCCACAGGAUCUGAAUUCCUUCGGAUCAAAGUGAUGGGGAAGUGCAGAAACCAUGAUGUUGAUUGCAACAGUCCUUUGCACCCGCUUAUAUCAAGUACUUCCAAGCUUUCUACUUUCCCCAAGUUCUCUGGCACAUUUUUAAGUUUGGAGCAGCCAGAGAGAUGCAACGUUUUAAGAGAUCUCAAACCAUUUAUAGUUCUUGGAAGACUCUCGAGAUUUUUGCAAUCUUUCAAAUUCAACAAAAUAAGGCCAGAAAGUAAUUCAAUAGACGCUGGCAGUCCUCUUAUAGCAGUUCCUUCCAAAUGAAGCUCCAACAGCUGCUCCAUACUUUCCACGAUCUCCGGGAACUCUCUGAACUUCAAAAGGCCAGAAAGAUUCAAAGUUGAUAGAUAUUUUAGAGCACUUAUGGUACUCGGAAUACGCUCAAGAUUUUUGCAGCCAUACAAAGUCAACCGACCAAGUCCAGAUAGAAGCUCAAUUGAGGGUGGCAGCUCUUUAACAUCAGUUUCAUCCAAAUGAAGUUCCUGCAGACACUCCAUACUUCCCACAAUGUCUGGAAAUUUCUUCAAUUUCAGGCAACCAGAAAGUACAAGUGUUUCAAGAGAUUUCAUAAAGAUCUUGGCUGGAAGAGUUGUAAGACUUGUACAACCUUUCAAAUUCAAAAAAAUCAGCUUCUUGUGAACCAACAAAGAUGGGUGAAUCUCAUGCAACCUCGUACAUCCUUCAAGAAUCAGCUGCUCUAAAUUUGGUGCCCCUGUGAAAUCUGGUGUCCUUAUGAGGUUCUCGGAAUGCUUGAGACUCAUGAUUUUCAACCUGGUCAAAGGCUAUAAGAAACAAAAUGAUACAAAAGAACAUGAUUUUCUCAGAUUAUCACAUAACUUAAAAGAAUGAAAGUAUGAAAUUAUCAAUAAGUAUUCACUGAAAACUAUAAAUAUGUAGUUGAACAAUCUUACUUUGAUUCCGCUCCACAAAUGUUCAAUGCUGCUAUGAGGGAUGUUAAGUUCAAUGAGUUUAUCUAAUCUCGAAUUUGAUGGCAAGGAUCUCAAUGGAUAUCUUUUCCAAUCAAGAAACCGUAACUCGUUGGAGAGGUAUUCAAGGUCUCCCAAAAGUUGAACAUAAAGGAUUUGGAGCACUCUAAGAUUAGUCAUAUUAGAAAAGGCUUUAGCACUGAAAUGCAUCUCUUUGUUGCUAAAGCAAUCAAAUACGAUGACUUCAAUUGCAUCAGUUCCCUAAACAUUUUAACAAAACAUAAGUGGGAAAAAAUUGAAAGAAAGAAAGUCUUGAUAAAACUAUGCAAAGAUUGAAUUAUUUAAAGAUAUGAUCAUGAUCCUAAAAUCACAAGUUUUCAACUUAACUAAUCACUUACUGUAUUUUGUGAUAAUACAUGGCAUACAUCUGCGUCCUCCCACAAUCUACUGCGAUUUCCAGGCUCUUGAGGGGAUUGCCUCCUGACAAUUUGUCGACCCAUUUCUUGUAAUAAAUCAUGCAUCCACAGUCCAUUGAAAUCAUCUACAGUUAAUAGAGAUUUUUCAAUAAGACCUCCAAUUCCAAUAAUUGGGUCAAAAUCACAGUAGUUGAGAAUUUUGGUUACAUAAUCUAUAUACUUCCCUUUAUAGAAGCAUGCAAUAUCGAGAAAUAUCUUCUUCUCUGUUUCUUUUAACCCAUCAAAACUUAUUUGAAGUACAUCAAGAAUUUCAUAAAAAGUGAAAACUAUAUUACCUUUUUUGAUGUACUUCUCUUGAAUUUUUUAUUUCUAAGGAUAAAGUUUAAUUCAUUCCCAAAUAAAAUGAUAAUCUCUAAUUUGCUCUCAAUGCAAACCUCAAUUUAUUCUUCAUUUCCGUCCAAAAGAUGAGGGGCAAAUAAGGAAUGUGUUGAUGGUUUUUUUGUUUAAUCUUUUUAACAAUAAAUGGGGUAACUUGAUAUUUUUAUACUUUAGGUGAUAAAUUAAAGAUUUUCAUUUUAAAUUGGGGGCAAAUUAAAAUCUAUCCUAUUUCUAAAGGCACCACGUGAUUUGGCAAAAUAACUAUAAAGAUAUUUUGUUUUUAGAAAAUGUCACACAUGUCUCUUUUGAGAUACACAGACUCUUUUUUAGCUAAAAGAUUGGGAUUUGUGUGAUUAUUUCUGAACCAAAAGGUUUGUGUUUUAUAAAAAAAAUGAUUAUGUGACUGUUUUGCCUAACUGAGAGGGUCAUUAUUCAAACACCAAUCACAUUUUUGUUUUAAAACACCCUUUCAUUUAUUCUUUAAGCUUCUUUUUUUUUUCCCAAAAAAUGAUGAAUAGAUAUUGAAAAUUUUGUUUUCAUUUUUUUAUUGAAAAAAAUGAAAAACACCAAAUAUUACUGCUUCCUUGUCCAUUCUGUUUUUCGUCCUAUAUUACCUUAAUUUUAUAUCGUUUUCUCUAUUUCUAUUUUUAUAGUCCAAUUCUGAAAACACACUAUUAGACACAUUUUUAAAUUGAAAAACACCAAACAUGGCGCAUCAUUUUCAUUAUAAGCAUUAACACCUGACGUACACAUUCUCCAAAUGGGACUAAAAAUGGUGACUCCUUCAGAAAUGAAGUUGUACAAUUAGUUUGAAUUGAGUCGAUACAGAGACGUCUCCAUUGCGUCAUCUAUUUAACUGUCUUGUGCAACCUUAUUCUGUACAAGUAGGAUUCCACAUUGGCCAAGUAUAUGCAUAGUUGCUGGUUUAUUAACCCCAAAACACCCUCCACUUAAUUCAAGGUCUUAAAGAGAAGUCCAAUCUUACAGGUUCGUUAACAUUUUAAAGGUAAGUUUUAUCUUGUAACAUUCACACAAAAUUUAUAAUCAACUGGGGCGGAAAUUUUGAAAAUACUAUGAUUAGCACAAGCAUUUCAACAAUAAAGGAUGUAAUAAAAGCUCAUUAAGUUUAAACUUGAAAGGAAAAUUAGGGCAAGGUCAUUUCUUUAAAAAGAAUAAGGCAAGCUGAUGCACGGCAUGAAAUACCUGUGACCAAGCCUCAAAAGAUUCAUCCCCAGUAUUUUGCUUGCCGACGGCAUAAGUACACUUGGCUUCCCAAACAAAUAAUUGCUGGAGCUCGGACAAUGCAAGUAUUCAAUUUAACUUCAUAAAUAUCAGCCAGAGCAUAAUUACACUUGGCUCCCUAACGAAUAAUGCUGGAGCUCGGACAAUACGAGUAUUCAAUUUAACUGUACAUAGAUGUGCGGGGUUUUGGUGGUAAGUAAAAAUAUGUGAGGAAAAAUACUAAAGAAACUGAAGCUGACAGAGGGCAGGCAGAAUUAACUACAAAACCACCAGAUUUAUCGUGUUUUUGUCCUGUUAAUUAAUUGUUUUCAAUUAACACGGUAACCCGGCUCGGGUGUUAACUCUGUUUCUGUCAGUGCUCUGUUGAAUAUUUCUACUUAAAAAUCAGCACUCGCAUGUAAGUAGUAUGGCAGCAGCAAAAUAUCAUGUGUAAUAAUUAGGCUAUUAGUUCCGGGUCCAGGAAUCGAGAUAAUCAGAUUAGGUGCAAAAGCUAUAUGUACCAAUUUAUGUAGCCAUGCAUAAUAUAUUCAUUUUUUACUUGCAAAUUCUUCCUUUUCACAACUUUAGGUACAACUUUUCCUUUCCUUUUGAAGGCCCACUCCACUGGCAUAGAGAGUAAAAAGAGUUUCUUAUAAAUAAUUUUAGGAGGAUGCUUCUGCCACGACAAGUAAUACCAUAAACAAAUGAUUUCACCACAUUUCAAGAAAGCAUUUAACUUAUGCCUCAUUUUCAUUCUAGCAAUUUGCUUGCCAUUGGCUGAUUGGAAAAAGUGCAUUUAAGUGAUAGAUUACUGUCAACCUAUAGCACGAAUAGGGGUUAAACAAAGUAAAUCCCUACCUUUCCAUGUCAAAUAAAAGACUUUCAUAAUAUCAAAUAUCAAAACUCAUGUCUAGUAAAGGAUUCCCCAAUGCUGGCUCUCAAAAUUGCUUUUGUUUCAUGGAUGAGAUGAUGGUUUUUGUGGAUAUUCUGCUCAACUUGGAUUAUGACUUGGGUCAGAUCCCAACUUGCUGCAAAGCUCGCCUGACUAAAUCUUAGUUGAUUUGCUUUUCCAAACUAAAUCCAAGCAAGUAAGUACAAGAGAUAAAAGCAAAAGUUCAAGCAUCUCAUUUGAGCCUGUCACUAACAAAUAGUCAAUGAGCAAUGUCUAGCUAUGACUGAGCAACAGAAUCAAUAAACAGAGACAAAAAAUAAUAAUCAAGUCAUCUGUCAAAUGCUAGUCCAUGAAAAUCAUAUAUAUAUAUAUAUAUAUAUAUAUAUAUGUAUGUAUGUAUAUGUAUAUGUAUAUGUAUAUGUAUGUAUGUAUAUGUAUAUGUAUGUAUGUAUAUGUAUGAUCAUUCAUUUCUCAAUCAACCACCAAAUUGAUGUCAACAAAGCCAUGAGGAUUGUCUCACAAGUCUUUCAUUUUCCCUCUCUUUAGGCCAGAGACCAGUAAACCAUUUGAAAUAUGGAUGUGCAAACCAGUAAAUAAAUCAUGAAGUUACACACUAGUCUGCUUUCGCACUCAUUCAGAACUAUCAAUGAUACUUACUGCAGGUACGGUGUAUACAUUAUACUAAAGUGAAGGCUGGAUCAAUAAGAAAUUCAAAAUGUUUCAUCACAUUUGGAGCUUGAUGAUGCCAAAGAAAGACCAUACUAAUUAUGAUGAACAGUAAAAUGUGAACAAGAACAAGCAUACAUUUAAGAAAGCAGAGAAGCAUCAUUAAAAUAAAGUAUUCUUCUUACUAUUCUAUGUUGUUGGAAAAUGGACCAAAAUAAAAAAGAAACCAUAUAUGGUUAACGUCACAACAAGGGUAUUUGUGCAUUUGUACAUCAUAGGAUAUUGGGAAGACAUCAGCAAAGAAGUGCAAAUUUUUUUUUUUGAGGAAAGGAACAGAGAAGUGCAAGUCAAAAAGGAGAAAAAAUGAAAAGAGAGAGAUCAAAAGGAAUGCAAUCUAAUUAAUCGUCUAAGGAGACUACUAUGCUACAUUUAGCCAUUGGUUGAAUAGGCAGCUUGUUUUCUAGUACAACUUUAAAUUUUCCAAGAUUUAGAAUUUUCCUACUGAAGAAAACUAAUUUCUAAAUCUGCUAUUACCAUCUUCAUCCCAACGGUAAGCAGCUCCAUACUAAGGAAAGAGUGAAAUAAGUGUGCUUUACUUAUAGAAGCCCAUUCUUGUCCAGAGUGAAUAGCAAGUUGUUUCACCAUGACCCCCAUUAUGGUGACUGAAAAAAGAAAAAAAAAAUAUUUGCCGUGUAGAGAAUUCAGAUUGUGAAGAUGAGUCAACAGUUGACCCCAAGGCCAUGUUGGCAUGCCACCUGAGCAGCCAUAUCCAGCAGCCAGCUGAUGUAGAAGCUGAGGUGUAUUCAAUGAGCUGGCAGAACAGUUAUGCAGGGGAAUAUCUACACGUGAAUACUGCAACCUGGAGUUUCUAGAAUGUUUUCAAUGAUUGGCUAGUGCAGCUGUUAUCUUUUGUUUUAUUCAUUUCUGUUAUCCUUUGAGCAAGCUACCAUUUUUCUCGUUUAGUAUAAAUAUGUGAAGAAUGUGUAUAACUUAUUAAUUCAUGUUAUCAUAAUAUACAAAAGGGUUGUUUGUUCUCUGCUGCUUGCAUAUUUAAGCAAUUCGUAAGAAUUUCAAGUUGGUAUCAAAGCAACUUUUGAGCUAUGGAAAGCAGCAGAAAUUCACAAACAAACAUGAAUCAAACACUGGAAAAUCCAGAUGAUCAACCAAAUGACUUGAAUCAAAACCAACCUGAAAAUAUCGACAAUCAGAAUCCAAAUAAUAACACCAGAAAUGUGACCAUAAUGAACCCAUCUCCUACCCAACAUAUCACCAGCAACACAUAUGUGUUCACCACUCCCAUCAAGUUAACACAGAACAACUUCAUGCUCUGGAGAUCACAAGUGGUCUCCAGCAUACGAGCCAAUGAGCUUGAAGGCUUCAUAAAUGGAAGUUAUACAUGUCCCCCUAGAUGUUUCACCAGUCCUGGACCUAACCAAAUUGUUGUUACCCACCAAAAUCUGGAAUAUCAAAUCUGGAAGAAACAAGACCAUAUUUUGUUGAGCUGGUUGCUCUCAUCACUCAGUGAGGGUGUCCUAGGCACUGUGGUGGAUUGUUCUACUUCACAUGAAGUCUGGACAACUCUUACCAAUCAGUAUGGUGCAAGAACAAGAGCUAGAAUCCUGUAUUUAAGGACACAGAUUCAAACCACUAAAAAGGGCUCUCUUACAAUUCAUGAAUAUUACUCCAGAAUGAAAACUAUCUUAAAUACACUUAGAGCAGCUGGAAAUAAUAUGAAUGAUGAGGACUUCAUUAUAUGUGUCUUAGCUGGAGUAGGAUCUGAAUAUGACUCUGUUGUCACUAACAUUAAUUCUAUGCCAGAAACUCCCUCAUUAUCAGAGGUCUAUAGCAUGCUCCUCAGCCAAGAAACCAGGACUGAGCAAAAUCUCAGUCCAGGGACACUUAAGGCUAACUUCACACAGAUGAGAAAUGGCAGAAGGAACUGGGGCAAUGGUGAAAUAUUUGGUAAUCAGCAACAACCUGGGAUAGUUUUCAGAAAUCCUAGUGGUGGUUUUGGAAAUGGUGGUAAUGGUGGUCCUGGUCAGGGAAAUCAAAAUGGUCAAGAUAAAGGGAAAGCCAAAGCUGUUGCAAAAAAAUGAAAGCUCUGAAUCAAAGGGUCCAUGCCAAAUCUGCUUCAAAAUGGGACACACAGCUGCUGAAUGCUGGCAUAGGUUCAAGAAAAAUUAUAUGCCACAGCCAAAUAGGAGAAGAGGAGCCUACAUGGCCACAACAGAAGGACAAAGCAGCAAUCCCUGGUACCUUGACAGUGGUGCCACAAAUCAUGUGACCAAUGCCAUUGGAAACAUGAACCGGAACUCAGAGUACCAAGGUAAUGACAAGCUCACUGUCGGUAAUGGUAACAAACUUCACAUCUCUCACAUUGGUUACUCUAUAUUGCCCGCUUACUGUCCACACAAACACAUUAAAUUAAAUCAUGUUUUAUGUGUACCUGAUAUUACCAAAAAUCUCAUUAGUGUUUCCAAAUUGCUUCAUGAUAAUGAUAUUGAUGUUGAGUUCCAAAAAUCUGUUUGCUUCAUCAAGGACAAGAGCCAAGGGAGAAUUCUGGUGAAAGGAGUGGCUAGAGAUGGAUUAAAUGAGCUGCUAUGCAUGCCCACUCAUUUGAGUGGCAACAAGGUCACAUAUGCUGCUGAGUUAUCUUCAUCUUCAAUACCUGAGUCAAUAAGUUGCAUUAGCAAUCCAAUGUCAAUGGCAUGUUUUAAUUUCAGUGUUGAUAGUAAUGAGUCUUUAGGUACCAGUGUUGUUGAGUCCAGUAGAGUUGGCACAAGCAGUAGGAAUUUUAGAACAAAUGAAAUGGAUCUUUGGCACCUUAGGCUGGGGCAUCCAAAUGAGUCAGUUCUGAAAAAUACUCUUUUAUCCUGUAAUCAGCUCAACUUUAAUAAAAAUAUAUUUCCUUCAUUUUGUGAUGCAUGUCAGUAUGGAAAGCAAUCAAAGCUGAACUUUAAAAGCAUUGAAACCAAGACCAGCACAGCCCUAGAACUGAUACACAGUGACCUCUGGGGGCCAGCACCUAUUCCAUCUACCCAUGGGCACAGAUAUUACAUAUCAUUUAUGGAUGACAAAACAAGAUAUACAUGGUUAUUUCCCUUAACAACAAAAUCACAGGCCCUUGACACAUUCAUUGUGUUUAAAAGCCAAGUAGAAAACCAGUUAAAUUUAAGAAUCAAGGCUUUACAGACAGACAUGGGUGGAGAGUUUAAGACCUUCGAACCCUUUCUCAAGAAAGAAGGAAUAGCCUUAAGACACUCAUGCCCCUAUCUGCAUGAACAAAAUGGAAAAGUGGAGAGAAAGCACAGACACAUUGUGGAAACUGGCCUAACAUUACUAGCCCAAGCAAAAAUGCCUUUGAAAUAUUGGCAAGAAGCUUUUAGCUAUGUUAUCUACAUCAUAAACAGACUAACCUCACCCAUUCUUAAAAAUAAAACUCCUUUUGAGCUGCUACAUCUCACCAAACCAGAUUAUUCCCAAAUUAAAGUUUUCGGUUGUGAAUGCUUUCCAUACUUAAGACCCUACAACAAGCAUAAGUUUGAUUUCCACACUUCCAAAUGCAUACUGCUAGGCAUUAGCAACAAUCACAAAGGUUACAUUUGCAUGCAUCAUUCAGGGAGAAUUUACAUUUCAGCCAGUGUCAAAUUUAAUGAACAUUUAUUCCCUUUUCAAAAUGACUCAAACUUCUGCAAACACAGGCUCACUGACCAAAAUGAUUCCCUCACAGUUCUUGAAAAAUUUCAAGUUGUAUCCUUCAACACCAGUGUUCCCCCUGAGUCAGCACAACAAAACGCAGCUCAUAGUCAAUCUCAGGCCACUAUUGGAAACUCAGAACAACUCCCAAGCUUUGGUCAAGAAGAAGCCUGUCAGAAUUUGAACCUCAACACUGUAUCAGACAACCACACACCUACUCAACUCCCACCAAACUCCUCAGCAGAAAACUGCAUCUUGCCUCCUAUAACAGAACCAAACACUCAAGCCUCUUUACAUCCCAUGAUCACAAGGUCCAAAGCAGGGAUUUUCAAACCUAAAGUUUAUCAAAUAUCUACUCAAUCUCAAACUUCCUUACCCCCUGACUCAACUGUGGCACUAAAAAGAUCCUAAAUGGAGAAGAGCAAUGGAGGAUGAAUACAAUGCUCUUGUCAAAAACCAAACCUGGAUCUUAAUACCACAUGACCAGAACUACAAACUCAUUGGCAACAAAUGGGUGUACAAAGUAAAGGAGAAUCCAGAUGGCACCAUAAAUAGAUACAAAGCUAGACUUGUGGUAAAAGGGUUUCUGCAGACACCAGGACUUGACUUUAAUGAAACCUUCAGCCCUGUGGUCAAAGCUGCAACAAUCAGAAUCAUUUUAACUUUGGCUGUAAACAAUGAUUGGCUGUUGAGGCAGGUUGACAUAAAUAAUGUGUUUCUGAAUGGAGACUUGACAGAAACAGUGUACAUGCCACAACCUGAGGGAUUUGAAGAUAAGAGAAGACCAAACCACAUAUGCAAGCUCCAGAAAGCUCUUUAUGGACUGAGGCAAGCACCCAGAGCAUGGUUUGACAAAUUAAAGAAUGCUCUGUGCUCUUGGGGAUUCAACAAUUCCAAAUGUGAUACCUCUCUAUUCUUCAAGAGAAGCAGUGCUGAAAUAAUCAUUGUGCUUGUGUAUGUAGAUGACAAAAUUAUAACUGGCAGUGACAACAAAGGUAUUGAGGAAGUGAUAGGAAAGCUAAGUGGAGCUUUUGCACUGAAAGAUCUUGGAAAUUUGAGCUACUUCAUUGGGAUACAGGUCAUAAGAAAUCAGCACUCAAUUAUGCUCUCUCAAGCUAAAUAUGUUCAAGACCUAUUAGCUAAAACUGAGAUGGAAAAUUGCAAGGGAAUAGAGUCACCAUUCAGCACAACAGAGAAACUAAAGAAGGGUGAAGGCACCAAACUUGACAAUCCCUCAUUUUACAGAAGUGUUGUAGGGAGUCUACAGUAUGCUGUCCUAACAAGACCAGAGCUUGCAUAUUCUGUUAACAAGCUUAGCCAAUACAUGUCUGACCCAAGACAAUCUCACUGGACAGCUUGCAAACGAGUGUUGAGGUACCUAAAGAGCACUGGUAACAUGUGCUUAAAAUUCCAGAAGUUAGAACACUUAGAUUUAAUAGCCUAUACAGAUGCUGACUGGGCUAGUGAUCAGGAUGACAGAAGAUCGAUAAGUGGAUAUUGUGUGUUUUUGGGAGAUAAUUUAGUAGCUUGGAGCUCAAGAAAGCAGGGCAUGGUAGCAAGAUCUAUAGCUGAGUCCGAGUACAGGGCCAUAGCUCUGUGUACCACUGAAAUCACUUGGAUCAGUUCUCUGUUUGGUGAACUGGAAAUCGAGAUGCAAAGAGUUCCAAUGAUUUUAAGUGAUAGCACAAGUGCAGCAGCAAUAGCCACAAAUCCUGUGUAUCACUCAAAAACAAAGCAUUUUGAGAUAGAUCUUCAUUUCAUUAGAGACAAAGUCACUCAAGGAGAGCUGGAAAUCAGUUUUGUAGCCAGCAGAGAUCAAGUCGCAGACAUACUAACCAAACCAUUGCCUUACUACAAGUUCAGUCAAUUUAGAAGCAAACUUAAUGUUUUCGACAAGACCUUAAGUUUGAGAGAGGGUGUUGAGAAUUCAGAUUGUGAAGAUGAGUCAACAGUUGACCCCAAGGCCAUGUUGGCAUGCCACCUGAGCAGCCAUAUCCAGCAGCCAGCUGAUGUAGAAGCUGAGGUGUAUUCAAUGAGCUGGCAGAACAGUUAUGCAGGGGAAUAUCUACACGUGAAUACUGCAACCUGGAGUUUCUAGAAUGUUUUCAAUGAUUGGCUAGUGCAGCUGUAAUCUUUUGUUUUAUUCAUUUCUGUUAUCCUUUGAGCAAGCUACCAUUUUUCUCGUUUAGUAUAAAUAUGUGAAGAAUGUGUAUAACUUAUUAAUUCAUGUUAUCAUAAUAUACAAAAGGGUUGUUUGUUCUCUGUUGCUUGCAUAUUUAAGCAAUUCGUAAGAAUUUCAAGUUGCCGAACACAAUAGUAGCACCCAAGAAGUCCUACUUAAGAGGCUUCAUACCCUGCACAAAUCGGAGUUUUUUUUAAAAUUUUCAUGUUUCAAAUGAAGAUUGUCCAUUAAAAACAAGGAUAACCCAGAAACAAUCCAACCAUCAAUAACAUAAAACUUUUGUAAUUCUGGUAAAGUGAAUGAGAAGCAGAACAUACAUUUCACGUAAUAAUGAAGAUACAUCUUUUAAUAAGUCUUUGCUCUUAAUUUAUUAUCGUACUUCCUUCCAAUAACAAUUCAUAAUGCAGGUUGGUAUCUUGAAAAAUUAUAUCAUACAUUUCUCUUAUCAAUGGGGCAGGUUGCUAUUGAACAUUAUUCAUAAACAAAGAGCCAAAUAUGCUUUAAAGCUACUUAAAAAUAUGCCAUCGGGCACUGACGCAGACACUCAACAACAAAAAACAGACUUAUUAUAUUUGUUGCACAAAAGUAAAAAAGAAAAUACUCUUACUCAAGUAUUAUAUUUGUUGCGCAAAUAAGAAAGAAGAUAACAAUUUUAAAUUAAUCAACAGGUUGAAUCUUAUCGUAAUACACACUAUCAGCUAUGAAUUAGCAUACCUUAGAAGUCCUGAACUCAUUCACCGCCAUUCGAAGAGAAUCAUCCGAUAGAAUCAACCGUGACAAUGCUCCAGUGCUUAACCUGCCACAUUUAUAAGAGAUCACCAUAUGAGAAAAAUUUUAAAUUAAAAAAAUAUUGGAAACCUAAACGCCAAUCAAACACAUUACAUAUAGCAAUUUCUCCUUUUAAAGUUCAAUUAUCACUUGAUAGAGUAUUAAGCUUAAUGCAAUACCCCAAGAAUUUUGUUGCUUCUGAUACAGAUCCCUCGACUGCGAAAAUUAGAUCAAGCAGAGCUUGCAUUCCCUGUAGUUAACCAAAAAAAAAAAAAAAAUCAUUACUAUGACUUAAAUUUUAAUAGAAAACAAAAAACGAAGCAAGAGUGAAUAGAGUAAUACCAAAGCAAAUUUAGGAUUGUUAGGUCCAAAUUGUGGACCAACUUCUGAACUUCUAAUAGUAGACUUAGGAGGAAGGAUUUGAAGAAGCUGUGGCGGCGGCGAAUACGUAUCAAGAUUCACACUGCCCCCCACUUUGAGGGCCAAAAGAGUGCGGAGGCGCGACAAAGCUGACGCGCGAUUCUUGUGCUGCGAUCGGUCUUCGGCCACAUGCGCUAUGAUGCCGGUCGGUACGUGCUUGAGACGUACGGCGGAUUCGUGCUUGUUGCGGUGCUGACCGCCUGGUCCAGACGAUUUGUACGUGUCCAUUUCGCAUUCGCGAAGCAACUCAUCGUCCGUCAAUUCUAAGUAAUUCUUCUUCUUCGAAGAAGAAGAUGAAGAACAAUUGUCAUUGGUGCUGAAUUGCAAGACAAGAACAAUGGCUUAUAAUUCCCGCGAUGCUUGUACAACGGAAAGUUUAUAUUUUUCCUUCCGAGUUGGGGAAUCCGAAGCAGGAAUUGAGCGGCCAACGCCAUCAUAAAUUUCAAUUUCCCUCUAUGUGUAUGUGAUAAUCAAAGCAAAGCUUCAUACUGGUAACACAUUCUUAUAGCAGGCCCAGCCCAAUCCAGCCGAGUCUGGCAAGUGAGCUUUAAAUAGGUGUUCGAUUGUAAAGAUAUGUCUAAUUAAAUAGUGUCAAAUAUAAUAAAAAUAUAUCAUUUUAUUUAAAGAUGCAUCCAUCCAUGGUUUUAUACUUCAAUUUGAAAUGGUGAUGGUUUAUUUUGGACCAGUGAUGAUCUUAUUCAAAAUUUGAUUUAAUAACCAUAAAUGAAAGGGUAUCAUGAAAAGUGACAAUCCAAAUAAAAGAGUACAUAAUUAUCUAUAAAUAGAAGUCAAGACCUUUCUGUGAUCUAUCUAAUCUUCCUAUCGUACUCUUUUUUUCACUAGAAAAACUACAUUUGUAAUGUGUCUCGAAGCACCAUCAAUUCUUACCUAUAUUUCAAUUAAAAUAAGAGUGAAACUAUUGGCACCCCUUCAUUAUUCUUAUAAAACCCUAUUUCAAAUAAAAUUACAAUUAAGAGCAAAGAAGAAAUAAACACAUGUAGGAUUUUUUUCCCCAACAAAUUACUUUCAUUAAUAAUCAAUCUUUUUUUAUUUCCUACCUAUUAUUUCUUAUCUAAGAUAAAUUGUAUAAAUUUAGAAUAAUCUAUUUUUCUUUUCCUAUUUCUUAUCGAUUAAAUAUUUUUGUACUCAAGAUUACUUUCAAACUACAAUCUAAAAUAUGUGUUAUUUAAGCUAAUGAUUAGCAUUCAAACUUUAUCACCUAAAAAACUUUUUAAUUUGUAUGUAGGAUAACAAUACGAUUGCAAAAGAGAUGAAAAAAAACACAAUACUACUUUGAGUUUUAACAAUAAAAGAAGAUUAAAUGAAAAACUAAAAGAGUGUCUUUGAAAAUAAAAGGAAAUUUUUGGAAAUAAAAUAAAUAUAACUAAAAAAGGGUUUGAUGAGGAGACUAGAGGGGUGCCAAUAGUCCAACUUUUAAAAUAAAGUUUUAUCAAUUAUUUCUCCCUUUUUCUGCAAUUAUUAUUCCCCACAGAUAUUUCUUCAACAUUUUAUUUCAUAUAUUUACUCCCAUUACACUAUAACAAAGGACGCCUUUUGGACUACAUCAGUUUGUAGAUGCAUUUUAUUAAUAAAUUAAAUAAAGGCACCAUCUAUUGUUCAAUUUCUCUAAAUAACCACUUUCUGUCAGCUCUAUUAAAAUUUAUUAAGGAAUCUAUGUUGAAGACCAUUUCAUCCUUAGUAUUGUGUAAAUGUAUAAAAAUACAUUUUACACUUUGAAAUUUAAAAUGACCUUCUUUUAGCAUAAAAUUUUAAAACAAAUGCCGCUAACUAAGGGACAAAUUUUAGAAUACAUGAUCAGUACCAUGUUAGCCAUAUAAAAAGUAAAUCAUACUAUGAUAUAUGUGCACUUAUUUUGAAAAACUAUCAUGUAAAUGAUGGUUAUAUUGAAUCUAAGUAAGUGCAUAUCAUACAUGACACAACCUGACCCAACCUCUUUGCCAAAUUCGAGGUGAAUCAUGUGAUCUUAUAUCUAAAGCUUGUGACAUAAAUUUAAUUUAUGAAUACAUAACACUAGCCUCGGCCUUUGUUAUAAACAAAUAAUAACAUAUGUACCUCAUUCAAAAAUAUAUUCAAAACUUACACAGUUCACAUCUUACUGUACAUACAUACACUUUAGAUAUAUACAUAUAAACAUAAACGUGCUUAAAAUAUAAGUCAUGCAGUAAUGCAUGUUGUGGCCCAACCUCAACUGAUUAGAAACUGAAUUGCACAAAAUCCUACGAAAAUCUUAAAGAAAUGGGGUAAAUAGGAAAAUAAUAUACUUGUGGCUAAAUGAAUGGAUAUAAUUGUGUGUUUGUGUGUUUGUAUCUAUAUAUAUAUAUAUAUAUAUAUAUAUAUAUAUAUAAAUAAAUUAGUGCUCUGGUGCUUGUACAUAAUUGUAUGACAUAACUUCACACUGAACACAUUACACAAGCAAAUAUGAAAUCAUAUAUAUAUGAUAAAACUGCACCAAAUAAUAUGUAGGAGAAAUAACUCUCAAUAUUUACUGGAAUCAUCAUUGCACAAGUAAAGUGGGAGAAAAACCUCUCAAUACUCAGCGAAAUUAACUACAUCACAAGGGUCGAGUAAUCUAACUCUCACUACACAUGCAUAGAGCCUAUGGGGAAGGGUACACAUAUGGUAUCUGGCAAUCACAUCUCAUGAUUCAAUCAAUCAUAUAAUAUGCGUACAUAUAAUCAUAACAUGAUACUAAAUCAUACUAUCAAACAUAAAUACUUUGUAGAAUACAUAUAAAUAAUAAUAAUAGUAAUCCACUCACAAAACAUGUUUCACUUCGGGGUUCGUUGGAGCUCCGAUAGAUUCCUUAAUUCUUGGGUUUCUCCUAAAAUAUAGGAUUCAAAAAUUAAUUGUUAGAACUGAUAUAAAAACUUAUACAUAUGACAUAAACUAAAUCAUAAUUGUUCAAAUUUCUUAAAUACGUUACCUACUGACUUACUGGAUAUAGAUAUAACUAUCCAAUUCUCUUUCCGAUAAUAUUUCCUCUCAAUUCCUCUUUUCAAAAUCAUUUCUCACUCUCAGUUUUUCUUUUCUUUAUUUUUUCUUCUUCAUCUUUUGUUCUUCUGUUCUUUUCCUCUUCUUUCUUCAUCUUUUCUUCUUUUCCUCUUCUCUUUUCCUUUUGUUUUCUUCCCUUCUCAGCUUUUCCUUUCUUUUUCUUCUCUUUGAAUUACAUUGUUUUAGUUUGAUUCAUGAAAAUGGUGACAGCUGCUUCAAUUCUUUACUUUAUAUAUAUCUAUUGCCUCCAAUCACGCAUGACAAACACAUAGGUGAAGCAUGCAUGUGCUUUGCUUUAAGCUGACAGCUUGCUAAUUAGCCACAUGUACUCCCUUUUAGCUUGCAUGUGCGUCACAAUACGUGCAUUAAUUGAUUGUAUUAUUUUUAAUAUAUUAUAUAAUUUCUUUUAGUGAAGGAUGUAGCCAACAAUUUUAUCCAGCUAAACAUGUUCUUUGACAUAUAAUACAGUUUAUGGUCCAACAACUCAUAAGUAGUUGAAAUUAAAUUAUUUUUUAAUAUCAAUUUUCCUUUUCUCUCAAUUUGAAAAUACUUUAAAAGAUUUUCAAACAUAAGAUACAAUGGUAUACAAUUGAAGCCUAAUCCAACAUAGAAAGAUUAAAUAAAAUUAAUUUUCAUCACUAUGCAAGAGACUUGAAAAGAUAUUAAGGUAGCGUUUAUUUUUAAUUUAAAGUCUGAAUAGGUUAGAAUUUGAUUAAAAUUUGAAUGGUUUUGAAUAUAAAUGUUUCAAAAACAUGUUUAUUUUUUUAAUAUCUAAAAAUUAAGUGGCAUCUUGUUUGUUUUUAUAAAGAAAACACAUUAAAUGUAGUUAUUUAACAUUUAUGUCCUUAUAAGUCAAAACGAAUAAAAGGGAUUAGGUUUUGUAGUUUAUGAAAUAACUAUAUUGAAUUGAAAUAUUUUUAGGAUAUAGUAUUUAUUUUCCAUUCAAACAUUUUUUCAUUUCGGCAAAGGUCAUAAAAAUUUUCUUUUUUAAUUCAAAUGUAAAUAUCUAAAAAUCAAACAUAUGUUACCAAAAAAAACUAAUUUUCUUAAAAAAAGUUAAACUUCAUAUGUUUAAAAUAAACGCUAAGGAACAUGAAUAAGAGCUAUUAAAACAAAAAAAGAAUAAUUUUGAAACUAAAUACAAUUAAUUGAGAGAUGAGGACCGAUAAGAUAAAUUCAUAGAUAAAAAUUAAAAUAUCAACCCUACUUAUUGCUGGCAGUUAUGAGCAUUAAAGAAUAGAAGCCGUGUCUUGAUAAGUAUGGUGUUCGUGCGGAAUUCUCAAUUUUAAGAUAACUUUUUUUUUAAAAAAAGCUAGACUUCAUAUGUUUAAAAUCAACGCUAAGGAACAUGAAUAAGAGCUAUUAAAACAAAACAAAAAAGAAUAAUUUUGAAACUAAAUACAAUUAAUUGAGAGAUGAGGACGGAUAAGAUAAAUUCAGGGAUAAAAAGUAACAUAUCACCCUACUUAUUGCUGGUGGUUAUGCACAUUAAGGGUGCGUUUGGGAUUGAGGUGCUGUAGCUUUUAAGCUACAGCUGCUGUGAAAAAAAAGCUGUAAUUAUGAAACAAAAGUUAAUAAUAUAUAGUAAAUAUAAAUUUUAAAUAAUAAUUUUGAUAAAUUUAUUAAAGAUAUAAUAAAUUUUAUAUUAUACAAGUGAAAAAUCAUAUCAACAUAGCUUAAAAGCUACAGCAGCUAGUGUUUACCAAACACUUUAGUGCUGUAGCUUUUAAGCUACAGCUGCCCAACCUCAAUCCCAAACGCACCCUAAAACACAGAAGCCGUGCGUUGAAAAGUAUGGUGUUCUUGUGGACUUUUCAGCUAAAAGUCUACAAAGCAGUUGAAUUAAUCAAUCAUCGUGGAGUGCACGGUGCUUGGACAAUGAGAUGAAAUUGAAAAAUUAUCACGGAACUUGAAGGAAGCUUCAUGGCAUCGAUUUAUUCUACAGAGUCGCUCACAUUUGGUUCAAUAAUUGUUUUCAUCCGAAUCAAAAUCUUUUUCUAAUCAAUUCAACUGAUUUUGUUGAUUAUGGCUUCUUCUUCUCAAAACAACAAGAAGUAUGAUGUUUUUGUUAGUUUCAGAGGAGAGGACACCCGUGACAACUUUACUAGCCAUCUCUGUUCUGCUCUGUGUCGACAAAAUAUCCAAACUUUCAUUGAUGACCAACUUAACAGAGGAGACGAAAUUUCGGAGUCACUUGUGAAUGCAAUUGAAGCAUCAGCCAUUUCAGUUAUUGUCUUCUCAGAAGGGUAUGCAUCUUCCAGAUGGUGUCUCGAUGAACUUGUAAAGAUCCUCGAGUGCAAGAAAGAGUAUUCACAGAUUGUGAUUCCGGUUUUCUAUCGGGUUGAUCCAUUAGACGCGAGAAACCAAACAGGACCUUUUGGGAUUUCAUUUUCGAAGCUUGAAGAAAGAUUUAAGGAGAAUUUAGAGAAGCUGCAGACUUGGAGGAAAGCUUUGAAGGAAGCAGCCAGUUUGUCUGGCUUUCAUUCUCAUAACAUCAGGUGAAAUUGAAAAGUUACCUUUAAUUUCUCAUACUAAUAUUUAACAAUAAAUAAAAUUCACGCAGCACUCUUAGUUAAAUUUCCAGAUGCUAAACUUCAAUUUUAAAUAUUUUUAAGCAUCAAAUUCUAGACUUCUUGACUUCCUCACUUUUGUGCUCUAUAAUUACAAAAUAAUUUUGAUAGAAAAAGCAUGAGAAUUUUACAAUAUAUAUCUAACAAAAUUAGUGGUGAUCUGUUGUUUUUUAAGCAAUGUCAACCUGUCACUCAUACAGCACCAUUAAAAAAAAAAAACUCACGCAUAUUCGUGUAAUUUAAGAGUUAUCAAUUCAUUGGAAGAUUGAAGACUUGUAUGGUAUGUAUUAAUUUCAGUAGGAAAACUGACAAUCUCUCUUAUUUCUUAUUUAAUGCAAAUUCCUCCUAUUAAUUUGAAGUUACUGCUGCUAAUUUUAUGUAUUUGCUAGGCAUGAGUCGGAACUUACAAAUGAAGUUGUUAAUCACAUUUUGAAGAGAUUGGAUGAAGUGUUUCAGCCGCGUGAUAACAAAAACCAGCUGGUUGGAGUGGAAUCAACAGUUGAUGAAAUUGAAUCUCUAUUAGGUGUUGAGUCGAAAGGUGUUUACGCUUUAGGGAUUUGGGGCAUUGGUGGUAUAGGCAAAACAGCAAUCGCUAGAGCUAUUUUCGACAAAAUCUCAGGUGAUUUUGAAUGUUCUUGCUUCCUCGAAAAUGUUAGAGAAGAGUCACAAAGACCAGGAGGAUUAGCUUGCUUACGACAAAAACUUCUUUCAAAUAUAUUGAAGGAUAAAAAUGUGAUGCCUUAUAUUGACCUCAAUUUUAGAAGGCUCAGUCGCAUGAAGGUUGUGAUUGUUUUUGAUGAUGUGACUUGCUUCAGCCAAUUGGAAUCUUUAAUGGGAAGCCUUGAUUGGUUGACGCCAGUGAGUCGAAUCAUAUUAACCACCAGAAAUAAACAAGUGCUUAGAAAUUGGGGGGUGAGUAAAAUAUAUAAGAUGGAGGCAUUAGAAUAUCAUCAUGCUCUUGAGCUUUUUAGUCGAUAUGCCUUCAAACGAAACCAUCCUGAUGUUGGUUACGAGAAACUUUCAAGCAACGUAACGAAAUAUGCUCAAGGUAUUCCUUUAGCUCUUAAAGUUUUGAGUUGCUUUCUACAUAAAAGGGAAAAAGAAGUUUGGGAAAGCGCAAUAGAUAAAUUGCAAAGAAUCCUCCAUCCAAGUAUUCUAGAGGUAUUACAAAUAAGUUAUGAUGAUUUGGACGAUAAAGAGAAAAGUAUUUUCCUUGAUGUUGCUUGUUUCUUUCGAGGUGAGCAUGUAAAUCCUAUAAUGAAAUUCUUUAAUGCAAGCGGCUUCUACCCAUAAAUAGGAAUAAGUGUUCUUGUUGAUAAGUCUCUCAUCGCUAUUGAUUCACACAAAAAGAUAACAAUGCAUGAUUUACUACAAGAAUUGGGUAGGGAAAUUGUUCGACAAGAAUCAAUUAAUCCUGAAAACCGCAGUAGAUUGUGGUAUCAUGAGGAUAUUUAUGAAGUUUUUACAUAUAAUAUGGUAAGCAGUUUGUUGUGGAUUAUUAUUUUGGAAUAAUGUAGUGUUUAAAAACUUGAUGUGAAUAUAUUUACAUACGCUCGAACGGGAUGAGUCUUAGAAUUAAUAGAAGAGUGGCAAUGAUUAGAAAAAACAAUAGUGGUUAGAUGACGUAGCAAUAAAUUAUAAAUGCGAUGACAACUUGCAUAACCGUUUGUAAGCAUAAUUGAUAUGUAAAUUUGUGUAGUACACGUACAGAAUUUUUAUUUUUAUGUUAUUAUGUUUCUUUGUGCAUUUGCAAUUAAGUGUUUGAUAUGAGUAAUUAAAGAGAGCCCCUCUCCAAUCCCACAUAAACUCCAUACAAGAAUAAAUAAAAAUUGAAUUAAUAACUAAGCUACCUCUAAUUGUGAAUUAGGGACAAAAUUGCCCCAAAAAUUUGUCUUGGUGGGGUUGAAGUGCGAUUCAUUAGUGGAAUAUACAUAUCUUUCAUUUGAUUUUAACUUUAAUUUUUUUUAUUCAUUUUUAGGGGACAGAAAAAAUCGAGGGCAUCUGUUUAGAUAUGUCAAAAGUAAAAGAGAUCCGUCUAAAUCCCAAUACUUUCACUAAGAUGCCUAAAUUGAAAUUUCCUAAAGUUCUACGGUUCAUCAUUCAAUGGAGAGAACAAAUGUAAGGUGUCCUUAUUGCCAAACAAAUGUAAGGUGUCUUAUUUGCAAGACUCUGGAUUUGCUGAAGUGAAAUAUCUUCACUGGCAUGGAUAUCCGCUGAAGUCAUUGCCUUCAAACCUUAGUGCAGAGAAGCUUGUGUUACUUGAAGUGCCUGAUAAUGACAUUGAACAACUUUGGGAUUGUGUGAAGGUAUGCAUAUCUUAUUAUAUAUGUGCAAUCUUUCAAUAACAAUAUUAAAUUAUUAUACGUGGUAACGAUUUUGUCUUGGCCUCUUUUUUGACCGAGCAGCAUUAGAGUAAGUUAAACCAGAUAAUCCAUGCUGCCUACAAUAAGAUAAUUGCCAAAGCACCAAAUCCCACGUUGAUGCCACGUCUGAACAAGCUAGUUAUCUUGAAUCUAAGAGGUAGCAAAAGCCUGAAAAGUCUUCCAUCUGGAAUAUUUAACUUGGAAUUUCUUACCAAACUUGAUCUUUCGGGCUGCCCAAAACUGAAGAGGCUUCCAGAGAUCUCAUCAGGUAAUAUAAGCUGGUUAUUUUUAAGGGGGACUGCAAUUGAAGAACUGCCCUCAUCAAUUGAGCGUCUACUUAGGCUUGGGUUCUUGGUCCUUUCAAAUUGUAAAAGGCUUAAGAGUCUCCCAAGCAGCCUAUGGAAGUUGAAAUCUCUUGGAAUUCUUGAUCUCCGGGGUUGCUCCAAGCUUCAGAGAUUGCCCGAAUGUCUUGGCCAAUUAUCCUACCCAAUAAUAUUGAAUCUAGCGAAAACCAAUAUUGAGAGAAUACCAGAAAGCAUUAUCCAACAUUUCAUGUUGCGAUACCUCCUCUUAAGUUAUAGUGAGAGGCGUCAAUCCUUACCAAAGCCUCCAUUCCUUGCACGAGAUUGCCUAGCACCGCAACCAUUCUUAGGUUUGUUCUCUAAGUUAUGAAUCUUAUAGGCAGUGUUUUUUGACCGGAGCAAUAAUUUUAAAUUGGAAGGUAAUUAUACUGCAGGAAUUGUUGAAGAUACCCAGAGAAUUCCGCAUAUGGACCAUAUGCUAGCUUUCCGUUGGUAAGAAAUACAGGAAAAUGUGUGUCUUUAACUCUCUCUGUUUACAAUUUCUACAAUUUUUUUUUUGGGUUUAAAAUUAUGAUUUUUUGGUACAAAGAGGUUUUUCCAUGGGCUGAUACGCCGCGGAGGUCGUCAAGGAUUCCAAAGCCUAGCAACAAGUAUGCUGGGUACAUUUGAAUUAUGCAUGGAUGCUUGGAAGUCGAACGGUCACAUGGCUCAAGACUUAUGCAUACGUUACAUGCAACAUGCAGUACGUUGGAAGAAUGGUCGUUGGAGCAGUCUACAUGGAUCAUGGGGGGGAUUCGGUCAACAUGGGAUCACUUGCUGAUUUAAUGGAGAUUUAUCAUUUGGUUUAAUUCAUUUUCGGUUGUUUAGUUAAGCUAAAAGAAUAAGUCAAGUUGUUAGCUUAGGACCUGCCUACAAUCUCGAGUGAUAGUUAGAUUGUUUGGCUAAGUUGUUUUAAGUAUAAAUAAGCUCCAACGGACUUGAAUAAAGGGCAUUGACUAUUAUCUAAAAAUCAAAUAUCUUGUGGUCUUAUUUCUCACCCUAAGUAGAAAUAUAUUCAAUCACUUACGCUUUGACUGGGACCUCUAUCAGUGGUAUCAGAGCGAGGUUACUAUGUCAACCAACAAGGAACGCAUAGAGCGUGUGGAAGACGAGAUCGGAAGCUUGCAAGAUGGAAUGAAGCGUAUGGAACUAGGGCUUACUGACAGAUUACACCGUCUAGAAGAAACAAUGAGCAAACUGGUAGAUUCACUUUCAACUUCAAAAGGGACGCCAAGUCACAACAAUUCUGAUCACGUUGGAUCCUCACAGCCUAGCCGUGGAGAUAGUGAAGGGAGCCGCCAUCAGCUAGCAUCAAGACUUACCAAACUGGAGUGUCCACGAUAUUCCGGCGACGACCCAACGGAGUGGUAUAAUAGGAUCAUGCAAUUUUUCGAGUACUAGGAAGCAACCAACGAACAGAAAGUCUCCUUAGCUUCUUUUCACCUCGAAGGAGAGGCCAACCAAUGGUGGCAGUGGAUGCGACGAACUUAUCAAGAAGAGGAAAAAACAGUAACGUGGGAAAUUUUUGUGGAGGAGCUUUGGGCACGGUUUGGCCCUACUGAGUGCGAAGAUUAUGAUGAGGCGUUGUCCAGGGUUAAGCAGACAGGGUCACUACGUGAUUAUCAUAGGGAAUUCGAAAGGCUUGGGAACCGGGUACGAGGCUGGACGCAAAAGGCCUUGGUCGGGACCUUUAUGGGAGGAUUGAAGCCGGAAAUCUCAGGGGAAGCUAUAAGCCUCGCACGUAUGAAGGAUGAUCAAUUGACGCGACAAAGGAAGUUGCUACGACCACAGUACCUCAACCGUACACCACCAGCACCAACAAACAAUACCCGUGCCCAACCAACGAGACCCAUCAAACGGCUGACUUGGGACGAAAUGCAGCGGCGUCGAGCAAUGGGACUUUGCUUCAAUUGCAAUGAUCGGUUUACAGCAGGUCAUAAGUGCACCCAACCUCAGUUAUUGCUCCUUGAAAGUGAGACAAUGAAUGAUGAAACUACAUAUGAGGGAAUUCCUGAAGUCUUAUGCACAGAACCUGACACUAAAGAGCCAACCGAUCCAAAAAUCACUUUCUAUGCCCUCACUGGAUGGGCAGCCCCAAGAACCAUGCGGGUCACGACAAAGGUAGGACCAUAUGAGAUUAUGGUUUUGAUCGAUAGCGGUUCAACUCACAAUUUCAUCAGCUCCCGAAUGGCCAACAUGUUACGGCUGCCAAUCAUUCCCACAGCAGGAUUUUUGGUGCGAGUGGCAAACGGAGAAACGCUAUCGUGCAGGGGAAAAUUCAAACGGGUUCAGGUAUUAUUACAAGAAGUUCCAUUCACUUUGACUCUUUAUUCACUUCCAAUUACAUGGUUGGAUAUGGUGCUUGGAGUCCAGUGGCUUGAGAUGCUAGGCUCAGUGGUUUGCAACUGGAAACAACUUACCAUGGAUUUCACUUGGGACAACAAAAGUUGCCGGUUACAAGGCAUCGGGCCUCAAUCAAUCCAAACAGCAUCCUUGACCGAAAUUACCAAAGAGCUGAGACAAGGGCAGUCCGGUUUUGCUAUUUGUUUCCAUGUGAAUGUAGAAGACUCUCUCAACACAACAACUCCAGAUAUGCAAGAUUUGUUAAAGGAAUACAACACUUUAUUUCAAGAGCCAACAAAACUGCCACCUAGACGAGAAAUCGACUAUAACAUCACAUUGAAAGAGGGAACUGAGCCAGUCAACGUACGGCCAUACCGCUACGCCUAUUUCCAGAAAGCCGAAAUUGAAAAACAAGUCCAGGAGAUGCUGAAUUCGGGACUCAUUCGGCCUAGUACCAACCCUUUUUCAUCACCAGUACUACUUGUCAAAAAAAAAGAUGGAAGUUGGCGAUUUUGCACCGACUAUCGGUCUCUCAAUAACACCACUGUUAAAGACCGAUUUCCAAUCCCUACAGUCGAUGACAUGCUGGACGAGUUACAUGGAGCAGCGUACUUCAUUAAAUUGGACCUAAGGGCCGGAUACCAUCAGGUACGUGUAAACCCAGCCGAUAUCCACAAAACGGCUUUUCGUACACACAACGGACAUUACGAAUACUUAGUAAUGCCGUUUGGCUUAUGCAAUGCACCAUUGACAUUCCAGGCCAUCAUGAACUCUAUCUUCCGUCCCUAUCUCAGGAAAUUUAUCCUUGUUUUCUUUGACGAUAUACUGAUAUACAGUCCCUCUUGGCGUAGCCACCUUACUCAUGUUAAGAAGGCAAUGGAGGUUCUUAAACAACAUCAAUUUUUCCUUAAAGCAAGCAAGUGCACUUUUGGCCAACAAGAACUCGAGUACCUUGGCCACAUAAUUACCAGCCAUGGGGUAAAAGUAGAUGAGACAAAAAUUGCGGCCAUGGUCUCCUGGCCUCAACCGAAGAACAUCUCAGAGCUACGGGGAUUCCUUGGCCUUACAGGUUACUAUAGAAAGUUCGUCCAAGGAUAUGGAGUUUUAGCUCGGCCACUCACGAAUCUUCUAAAAAAAUGACAGUUUGAAUGGAAUACAGAAGCGGACAAAACGUUUAUCAAUUUAAAAAAGGCAAUGACAAGUACACCCACAUUAGCCAUGCCUAAUUUUAAUGAAACUUUUGUUAUUGUGACAGAUGCAUCCGGUGACGGCAUCGGCGCAAUACUCCAGCAACAAGGGCAUCCCAUCGCAUUUAUGAGUCGUGCCUUGGGAGUCACAAAAAAAUCUUGGUCCACAUACGCAAAAGAGAUGUUGGCGAUUAUAGAAGCUAUCCGUGUGUGGCGACCUUAUCUGCUAGGACGAAAGUUUAUCAUCCAAACCGAUCAACGCAGCCUUAAGUACCUUUUGGAACAAAAAAUUACGACACCCGAACAGCAACAGUGGCUGGCCAAAUUGAUGGGGUUUGAAUAUGAAAUCCAAUAUAGGCCCGCCCGUGAGAAUGUUGCCGCCGACGCCCUUUCACGACGACCUGACAGUUCUGCUCUUAACAGGUUAUUUGUGGCGCAGGUAUCUAUUUGGAACGAAAUAAAAACGGCUGCCCAAGAUGAUGAUUACAUGCAGCAAAUUACACAUCAGGCUCUGACUCAACCUACUGGCCCUUAUUUCAUGCGUAAUGGGCUGAUUUUCUUCAAGGGUCGAGUUGUAUUUCCUCUUCGACUCCGUCAAUCUUUAAUUUUUGAAGCCCAUGACACUAAGAUGGGAGGUCAUUCAGGAGUUCUACGUACUUACAAACAUUUGAAACAACAAUUCUUUUGGCCUUCAAUGUUUCAAACGGUUCAUGACUAUGUAGGUAAAUGCGAGAUUUGUCAAAAAACGAAAGCAUCAACCCUUAAGCCUGCGGGUCUCCUCCAGCCCUUGCCAAUUCCUUGCCAAGUGUGGGAUGAUAUCACGCUUGACUUCGUUGAAGGGCUGCCAAACUCACACGGUAAAAAUUCUAUUCUAGUGGUGGUGGAUCGGCUCAGCAAGAGUGCACACUUUAUGGCCUUGACUCACCCAUUCACAGCAAAAACAGUGGCUGAGAAGUUUAUUGAUGGAGUGGUAAAAUUACAUGGCAUGCCGAAAUCAAUAAUCAGUGGUCGAGACCCUAUUUUUAUUAGCAAGUUUUGGCAGGAGUUUUUUCAUAUGUCCGGUACACAACUCAAGAUGAGUUCUGCGUACCAUCUGCAAACCGACGGUCAAACGGAAGUUAUUAAUAGAUGUCUUGAACAAUACCUGCGAAGCUUUGUUCACCAAUGGCGGAAGCAAUGGAACUCUUACCUACCUUGGGCAGAAUACUGGUACAACACAACGUACCAUGAGUCCACAGGCAUGACUCCUUUUUCGGCUUUGUAUGGGCGACAUCCACCGGUAGUACCAAUGUAUCAUGUGGAAUCUUCUCCAGUGCACGAGGUAGAUCAAGCUUUGUUGUCUAGGGAUGAGCUGCUGCGACAAUUAAAACAGAAUUUGAAAAUGGCAACCAAUCGCAUGAAACAAUUUGCGGAUACAAAAAGGCGCGAUGUGGAGUUUAAGGAGGGUGACAUGGUAUUCCUAAGACUUCCACCGUAUAGGCAGACUACUGUAUUCCGUCGUGCUCAUCAGAAGUUGGCCAGUAAAUACUUUGGGCCAUAUCCAAUUCUGCGAAGAGUGGGACAAGUGGCUUAUGAGCUUAAACUACCGACGGGAUCUCGAGUGCAUCCGGUAUUUCAUGUGUCCUUACUCAAAAAAUACGUUGGUGAGAUGCCUCAAUUCAGUGCAGAUCUUCCAUAUGUCAAUGACAACGGAGUACUCGUUUUAGAACCGGACAAAAUUAUUGAUGUUCGUUGGCUUAAAAGAGGUGGCAAGUUGGUGGAACAAAGUCUUGUCCGUUGGAAACGCCUUCCACAUGAGGACGCAACAUGGGAAGAUUCAGAGUUCCUGGCAAAGCAAUUCCCUCACCUGACCCUUGAGGACAAGGGUCCUCUUCGUGGAGGCGGUAUUGAUACGCCGCGGAGGUCGUCAAGGAUUCCAAAGCCUAGCAACAAGUAUGCUGGGUACAUUUGAAUUAUGCAUGGAUGCUCGGAAGUCGAACGGUCACAUGGCUCAAGACUUAUGCAUACGUUACAUGCAACAUGCAGUACGUUGGAAGAAUGGUCGUUGGAGCAGUCUACAUGGAUCAUGGGGGGGAUUCGGUCAACAUGGGAUCACUUGCUGAUUUAAUGGAGAUUUAUCAUUUGGUUUAAUUCAUUUUCGGUUGUUUAGAUAAGCUAAAAGAAUAAGUCAAGUUGUUAGCUUAGGACCUGCCUACAAUCUCGAGUGAUAGUUAGAUUGUUUGGCUAAGUUGUUUUAAGUAUAAAUAAGCUCCAACGGACUUGAAUAAAGGGCAUUGACUAUUAUCUAAAAAUCAAAUAUCUUGUGGUCUUAUUUCUCACCCUAAGUAGAAAUAUAUUCAAUCACUUACGCUUUGACUGGGACCCCUAUCAUGGGCAAACUUCAUAUCGUACUGUCUGGGAAUGAAAUUCCAAAGUGGUUUAAGCUUCAAAGUGUGGGAUCUUUUAUAACCUUGGAGAUGCCACCAGAUUUCUUCCGUAAUAACAUAGUGCAGGGCAUUGCAUUUUGUGCUAUUUUAGCAUUUUCAGACAGUCAUGUAGAUUGUGGCAGAUGGUUUUCAUUUUCUUGUGAGCUCAAAGUGAAAACCACUAAAGAUUGUGGUCCCCAUGGCACAGUUAUUUCAGAGCAGAGUUAAUUAUGUAGAAUCAGAUCACUUAAAUUUGGGAUACUACCUGUUCUGUGAAGAGGAUUUUAAUGGUUUUUGGAAAUGCAAUUGCAUUCCUGAGGCAGUCGACUUUAAUGUUUUUCCACCUCUGGAGUGCCAGUGCUGCGGGGUGAAAAAUGUGGGAUCCAUUUACUUCACACCCAAGAUUCUACGAAUUCAAUAGAAAAUCCAAGCAUGUGUUUCAACUGUAACGAAGAAGACUGAGAUUUUCAUGAAUGUAUUUUCACUGUUUUCCUUUUUCUAAUGACAAUUAAUAACUUUCGAAGAAGACUGAGAAAAUGCCAAAAUCAGUUCUUAGAACAAGACAUCCAUGUAAUAACAUUCGAGGAAUCUGGUGCAUUUAACACAAAUUCACACUAGAGAACUUUACGUUAUUAGGCGAAGAGUAUAAUGUAUGAAAAGCACAUGAUGUAUAUUGUAAAAUUAAAAUUAUCGGCUUUCUUUUUCUUACUUUGUGCACACAACACAUCACGAUUUUGUUAUUGAGCCUUACAACUCAAAACAAUCCACGUAGUUAGGAGAGCACGUAACUUAUAAACCAGUAAUAAAACUCACAAGCUAGGCGAUAUCGGAUAUUACAGGACGCACAACAAUUCUUAUUGGCGAAGCUAUGUUGUGGGCCCAUCUCUCUAUCAAUGAAAACUUGCCACUCACCGCAUUGCGCACCAUAUCAACUCUCAUCUAUAUAAUGCAAUCACAUUUGAAAAUUUUCUACUUUCUUAAGUCUAAAUUUUUGUAUAUGGGAAAGUUUCAUCAUGUGGAAACAAAGCCAUAAACAUGUGUGCACUUUUUCAAGUAUAUGUACCAAUUCCAUAUUUGGAAUGGUGCAUUUGAUUCCACAGUUGACGUGGUAUCGUCUAUCGCUGGAAUUUAUAUUUAUAAAACUGACUUGUAAGGAAAGGAUUGAAGAUGCCUGUGAACUUAUAUUUCGAUUUAGAUUAUUGUAUGUUUUCCAUGUAUAAAAUUGGAUCCUAUCAUUCACAUAUCGUUAACAUGAGCAAUUUAGAUUACUAAAUAAUUCUUCUUUAUUAUUAUGCUGAAUUUGACUUUUUAUUGAAUAAUUUGAUAUAUGCCUUGAAUCAAUUUGGAGCUUCUACAACUUGUCAGGGAUCAGUUUCUCCUACAUUCUUUUCGGCGCCAAAAGAUAUUCAAGCGGUUGAAUAAGAUUUGAUAUAUACAAUAUAAAUACAAGAGCUGUUUGUCUUUUUACAAUAGGAAUAAUAUAUAAUGCUCAUCAAAACUUGCUGAUGAGAAAGUAAAUUCCUCAGAAAUUAAAUGUUUCAGCCAACCAAGGAAGCAGCUUUUCGUGGACCAACUCGGGUCUGUCGUCAUGGGGACAAUGUCCUACUCCUUCCAACACAAUUAACUUCACAUAUGAAAGUUGAGAAGGCAGAGAUUAGAAGUAUCUACCAACAGGUCCAUCGAGGGGGGUGAAUGGAUCCUCAUCACCCUAUAAAACUAGUACAGGUAUAGAGAUUGAUGGCAUCAAUUGCACGGGGUUCGGCCCUGGUGGGCCUGUCACAAUCGAAACAAAUGCAUCAAGUGCCCCUUCAUCAUUGGCGGGUUCUCGAAUGAUCUGCAAUUUUUAGGUCAAUUCAUGAAUUCUGAGUAGCCAUUUUUGUAAGAGGUUAAAAUGGCACAUAAGUGGAGAAUAUUAAUACCUCUACCAGUGUUUCAUCCACAGAUUUCUUAUUUGCAUAGAUGGACAGUAAAAUGUUCCUCAGUGUUUCCCUACAGCACCAAUAUAUACACAUCAUAGAAUUUUUUUAAUUUUUGACUGUACUGUUUUAGGAUAACGAAAAAUGGACUGAAUAGAGAGAAGAGAAAAUACCUUCGUUUCACAUCUUCAAAGAUUGCAUCUGCAAUUGGCCUUUGCUUAAACAAGAAAUCAAUGAACCAAAGCACUUCCNNNNNNNNNNNNNNNNNNNNNNNNNNNNNNNNNNNNNNNNNNNNNNNNNNNNNNNNNNNNNNNNNNNNNNNNNNNNNNNNNNNNNNNNNNNNNNNNNNNNNNNNNNNNNNNNNNNNNNNNNNNNNNNNNNNNNNNNNNNNNNNNNNNNNNNNNNNNNNNNNNNNNNNNNNNNNNNNNNNNNNNNNNNNNNNNNNNNNNNNNNNNNNNNNNNNNNNNNNNNNNNNNNNNNNNNNNNNNNNNNNNNNNNNNNNNNNNNNNNNNNNNNNNNNNNNNNNNNNNNNNNNNNNNNNNNNNNNNNNNNNNNNNNNNNNNNNNNNNNNNNNNNNNNNNNNNNNNNNNNNNNNNNNNNNNNNNNNNNNNNNNNNNNNNNNNNNNNNNNNNNNNNNNNNNNNNNNNNNNNNNNNNNNNNNNNNNNNNNNNNNNNNNNNNNNNNNNNNNNNNNNNNNNNNNNNNNNNNNNNNNNNNNNNNNNNNNNNNNNNNNNNNNNNNNNNNNNNNNNNNNNNNNNNNNNNNNNNNNNNNNNNNNNNNNNNNNNNNNNNNNNNNNNNNNNNNNNNNNNNNNNNNNNNNNGUUGAAUUAAUAUACCUGAGGCAGCAAAAACACAAGGUAGGCUUCGAACAGAAUUACGUACAAGCACUAUUGGCUUCUGAGCAGCUUCAUCCAAGAAAUCCAAUAGUAGCUGUAUCGGUGAGUCUCACUCAAGUUAGCAAGGAAAAUAACUACAAAUUAAAUAUGUGUUCAUUGUCCACAAUUUACAAAUUAAAUAUGUGUUCAUUGUCCACAAUUCAAUCUGUCAAAUGUAUGUUGAAACUUAUGGAAGUCGUUUUUUUUGUUGUCAAUAAUUUUGAAUUUUCAGGCACAUUUGGCACCACAAAGCCAUACCCAAUUUAACUUCCAAAAAUACAUCAAUAGGUCACUGGAAGAGGAUUUCAAGGUGGUUGUGGGAAUCAGGUCAGUACAUUUAGUUGUAAACCUUCUUAUUUAUUUAGUAGUGAUGCACAUCUUAAUUGCAAAUUCCACGUUAUAAACGAACUUAACCCUUUUUAUUGCUUUAAUUUCAAUUUCAGUCCAUUAAUCUGGUUCUUCGCAGUGGUGUUUCUGCUUUUCAACACUCAUGGUGAGUAAAUUAUAUUUUCAAAUAAUACUCAUUUAUGUUCCAUGUGUUUUAUUUUUAUAUCCAAUACUAACCGAACAAACUGACUAAUAUUUCAUCUUACAAUUCUUUCUGUACAGGCUGGUAUGCUUAUCUAUGGCUACCCUUUAUCCCAUUAAUUGUAAGCACAUAUAAUUAAGUUAAUUAUCUUUCCAAACUUUUAUACAUCCUUAAUCAGCCUACCCUUUUUAUUAGUUAACAGCGGGAUUAUUAAUCAACGGCUGAUGAUAAAUUUGCAGGUGAUCUUGCUGGUGGGAACCAAGCUGCAAGUGAUCAUAACCAAAAUGGGAAUUAGAAUUCAAGAAAGAGGAGAAGUUCUAAAGGGAGUUCCAGUAGUUCAGCUUGGUGAUGACCUGUUUUGGUUCAGUCAGCCUCGCCUCAUUCUUUAUCUCAUCAACUUUGUUCUCUUUCAGGUACCUAUUUAACUUGUAAAUUGAUGAUAUAAAUACAGGAGUUGUGAAAUAACUUUAAAGGAAAAUAAUUGCUUAUCCUUAACAUUUGUGGAUGCCUACAAUUAUAUGUUCACAGAAGUAAAUAGAAUAAAAAAAAAUAGUACAUUAUCAAUAAGAAAAGUUUACUACAAGAUGAAAAUUAUUUUUUGUCAUUUGUGCCUUGUGUACUAAAUUUUGUGUUAUUUUAUUACAUAUAAUAUUAUUCUACGGAAUGCGGGAAGAAAAAAUGUGGGGUCGAUUUAUUGUAAGCCCCAAAUUCAACCGAAGAUCCAAGCGCAAGUUUCAAACUAAACCAACCCAAAGUUUGGGCAACAGUCCAACGCAACCCAACUAAAAUCAUUUUAAUUUGAUUUUAGUUUGGGUUGACUUAGGCUUUGAUAAAUUCACAUGUUGUAUACCAUAAUUAAAAAAAGUAUCAUUUGUCAUACAUUUUAUACAUUAAACACAUAAACGUCCUCUCUGGAAUCUUUGUGGGCAACGCAUACGUGGUAUCUUCACUAAUAAGUGUUGAAUCUUUAGCUUCAAAGGAAAGAAACUAAAAAGGUUUGUAAAUUUACCCCACUUCUAGAAAAUAAUUAUAAUGAAUUCACAAUAGUUUUUAAAAAUUCAAAUUAAUAAAAAUUUUGUAUAGUUAAUCAAUUAAAUCCUUCUAUUAUUUUUUUUAUUAGAUUUCUUUGAGUGUAUUUGAUCAUAAACUUGAUAUAAAUUUUACUUUACUAUUUUAGUAUUAUGAUAUAAAAUGGCCAAAUUGUACAAUAAACACGGGUUAUUGUAUCCAAUAAUUUAGGUAUUUAAUUAUGUGAACUAAUAUUUUUAAAUGAAAUUUAACUAUUAUUUUCACUAUCUUACCUGUAAAUGAUGUAAAUUUGACAAGCUAAUAAUUUAUAUGAGUAUUGUGCCAUAAAGGCAUUAUGUUUGUUUAAUUAAUGUUUUACAAUCAUACUAAUAAAAUAGUAUUAAAAAUAAUGAAUUUGGUAUAAAAUUAGAAAAUAUUGAAGUUAAAGAAUUAGUUUUACCUUAUAAGGAUAAAAUAAUCAAUUUAGACUUAUGUCAAAUCAAUCUUUAUGAUCAAAUAUAAUAAAAAAAUUUAAGUCACAAAAAGUAAAUUAAAAUAGAUUUGUUAAUUUGUUCUCCAAAGUUCAAAAUGAGUAAAAGGGAUUAGGCUUCGUAGUUUAGGAAAUAAAUUUACUGAAUAGAAAUAUUUUUAGUAUAUAUUAUUUAUUUUUCAUUCAAACAUUUUCUCAUUUCAGCAAAGGUCACAAAAAUUUACUUAUUUAAUUUAAAUGUAAAUGUCUAAAAAUUAGAUAUAAAUUAUUAAAAAAAAUUAAUUUUUUAAAAAAAGUUAGACUUCCUAUGUUUAACAAUCAACCCUAAGGAUAAUGAAAAAGAGCUAUUAAAACAAAAAAAAAAAAUUUUGAAACUAAAUACAAUUAAUUGAGAGAUGAGGACGGAUAAGAUAAAUUCAGAGAUAAAAAUUAAAAUAUCACCCUACUUAUUGCUGGCAGUUAUGAGCAUUAAAGCACAGAAGCACGUGUGUUGAAAAGUAUGGUGUUCGUGUGGAAUUUUCAGCUAAAAGUCUACAAGGCAGUUGAAUUAAUCAAUCAUCGUGGAGUGCACGGUGGUUGGACAAUGAGAUGAAAUUGAAAAACUAUCACGGAACUUGAAGGAAGGUUCAUGGCAUCGAUUUAUUCUACAGAGUCACGCACAUUUGGUUCAAUAAUUGUUUUCAUCCGAAUCAAAAUCUCUCUCUCAUCAAUUCAACUGUUUCUGUUGAUUAUGGCUUCUUCUUCUCGAAACAACAAGAAGUAUGAUGUUUUUGUUAGUUUCAGAGGAGAGGACACCCGCGACAACUUUACUAGCCAUCUCUAUUCUGCUCUGAGCCGACAAAAUAUCCAAACUUUCAUUGAUGACCAACUUAACAGAGGAGAUGAAAUUUCGGAGUCACUUGUGAAUGCAAUUGAAGCAUCAGCCAUUUUAGUUAUUGUCUUCUCAGAAGGGUAUGCAUCUUCCAAAUGGUGUCUCGAUGAACUUGUCAAGAUCCUCAAGUGCAAGAAAGAGUAUGCACAGAUUGUGAUUCCGGUUUUCUAUCGGGUUGAUCCAUCAGACGCGAGAAACCAAACAGGGCCUUUUGGGAUUUCAUUUUCGAAGCUUGAAGAAAGAUUUAAGGAGAAUUCAGAGAAGCUGCAGACUUGGAGGAAAGCUUUGAAGGAAGCAGCCAGUUUGUCUGGCUUUCAUUCUCUUAACAUCAGGUGAAAUUGAAAAGUCACCUUUAAUUUCUCAUACUAAUAUUUAACAAUAAAUAAAAUUCACGCAACACUCUUAGUUAAAUUUCCAGAUGCUAAACUACAAUUUUAAAUAUUUUUAAGCAUCAAAUUCUAGACUUCUUGACUUCCCCACUUUUGUGCUCUAUAAUUAUAAAAUAAUUUUGACAGAAUUAAUAAUAGAAGCGCGAGAAUUUUACAAUUUUUACAUAGCAAAAUUAGUGGUAAAAAAAAAAUCACACAUAUUCCUGUAACUUAAGAGUUAUCAAUUUAUUGUGAGAUUGUAGACUUAUAGUGAUAUAUAUUAAUUUCAAUAGGAAAACUAACAAUCUACCUUAUUUCAUAUUUAAUACAAAUUCCUAGCUCCUAUUAAUUAAUUUGAAGUUACCUCGGCUAAUUUUAUGUAUUUGCUAGGCGUGAGUCAGAACUUAUAAAUGAAGUUGUUAAUCACAUUUUGAAGAGAUUGGAUGAUGUGUUUCGGCCGGGUGAUAACAACAACCAGCUGGUUGGACUAGAAUCAACAGUUGAGAAAAUUGAAUCUCUAUUAGGUGUUGAGUCGAAAGAUGUUUGGGCUUUAGGGAUUUGGGGCAUUGGUGGUAUAGGCAAAACAACAAUCGCUAGAGCUACUUUCGACAAAAUCUCUAGAUAUUUUGAAGGUUCUUGCUUCCUUGAAAAUGUCAGAGGAGAAGUACAAAGACCGGGAGGAUUAGCUUGCCUGCGACAAAAACUUCUUUCAAAUUUAUUGAAGGAUAAAAAUGUGAUUCUUGAUAUUGGCCUCAAUUUUCGAAGGCUCAGCCGCAUGAAGGUUCUGAUUGUUUUUGAUGAUGUGACUUGCUUCAGCCAAUUGGAAUCUUUAAUUGGAAGUCUUGAUUGGUUGACGCCUGUGAGUCGAAUCAUAAUAACCACCAGAAAUAAACAAGUGCUUAGAAAUUUGGGGGUGGGGAAAGUAUAUGAGAUGGGGCCAUUAGAGUAUCAUCACGCUCUUGAGCUUUUUAGUCGACAUGCCUUCAAACGAAACCAUCCUGAUGUUGGUUACGAGAAACUUUCAAGCAACGUAAUGAAAUAUGCUCAAGGUGUUCCUUUAGCUAUUAAAGUUUUGGGUUGCUUUCUAUAUAUAAGGGAAAAAGAAGUCUGGGAAAGUGCAAUAAAUAAAUUGCAAAGUAUCCUCCACCCAAGUAUCCUAGAGGUAUUAAAAAUAAGUUACGAUGGUUUGGACGAUAAGGAGAAAAAUAUUUUCCUUGAUGUUGCUUGUUUCUUUCAAGGCGAGGGUGUAAAUCUGGUAAUGAAAUUCUUUAAUGCAAGCGGUUUCUAUCCAGAAAUAGGAAUAAGUGUUCUCAUCGAUAAAUCUCUCAUUGUUAUUGAUUCAUACAGCAAGAUAACAAUGCAUGAUUUACUACAAAAAUUGGGUCGGGAAGUUGUUCGACAAGAAUCAAUUAAUCCUGAAAACCGCAGUAGGCUGUGGCAUCAUGAGGAUACCUAUGAAGUUCUUACACAUAAUACGGUAAUCAUUUUGUUGUGGAUCAUUAUUUUGGAAUAUUAUAGCAUUUACAAACUUGAUAUAUAUAUAUAUAUAUCGAACCGAUGAGCCUUGGAAUUAAUAGCAGUGUGACAAUGAUUAGGAAAAAAAAAACAAUAAUGGUUAAAUGAUGUAACGUGUGAUCGUUUGUAAGCCUAAUUUAAAUAUCAACUUGUAUACUAUACAUACAUAAUUUUUAUGUUAAAUAUUAUGUGUGAUAUUAUGUUUCUUUGUGCAUUUGCAAUUAAGAGUUUAGCUGCCGAGCAAUAACCUUAAACAUGGAUUAUUGAAAUUUGAUUCCUGUAAUGGCAGAGAGCCCCACUCCUAUCCCACCUCAACCCUACUCAAGAAUAAAUAAACGUUGAAUUAAAAACUAAGCUACCUCUAAUCGUGAAUUAAUGACAAACUUGCCCCAAAAAUUUGUCUUCGUUGGGUUGAGGUGCGAUUCAUUGGUGGAAUAUACAUAUCAUUUUUCAUUUAAUUUUAACUUUAUUCUUUUUUUUUUAAAUUAAAUUUUAGGGGACAGAAAAAAUUGAGGGCAUUUGUUUGGAUAUGUCAAAAGUAAAAGAUAUCCAUCUAAAUCCCAGUACUUUCACAAAGAUGCGUAAGUUGAGAUUUUUAAAAUUCUAUAGCUCAUCAUUCAAUGGAGAGAACAAAUGUAAGUUGUCUUAUUUGCAAGACCCCGGAUUUGCUGAAGUGAAGUAUUUUUACUGGCAUGGAUACCCGUUGAAGUCAUUGCCUUCAAACCUUAAUGCAGAGAAGCUUUUGUUUCUUGAACUGCCUGAUAGCGACAUUGAACAACUUUGCGAUGGUGUGAAGGUAUGUAUAUCUUGAUAUAUAUGUGCAAUCUUUCAAUAAUAACGUUAAAUUAUCAUACAUGGUAAUGAUUUUGUGUUGGCUUCUUUUUGAUCGAGCAGCGUCAUGGUAAGUUAAACCAGAUAAUCCAUGCUGCCUGCAAGAAGCUAAUUGCCAAAAUUCCAAGCCCCACGUUGAUUCCACAUCCGAACAAGCUAGUUGCCUUGAAUCUAAGAGGUAGCAAAAGCCUGAAAAGUCUUCCAGCUAGAAUAUUUAAUUUGGAAUUUCUUAUCGAACUUGAUCUUUCGGGUUGUUCAAAACUGAAGAGGCUUCCAGACAUCUCAUCUGGUAACAUAAGCCGGCUAUAUUUAAGUGGAACUGCAAUUGAAGAACUGCCCUCAUCAUUUCAGCUUCUACUUAGGCUUUCGUGGCUGGACCUUUCAGAUUGUAAAAUGCUUAAGAGUCUCCCCAGCAGCCUAUGUAAGUUGAAAUCUCUUGGAGUUCUUGAUCUCCAUGGUUGCUCAAAUCUUCAGAGAUUGCCUGAACGUCUUGGCCAGUUAUCGUCGCCAAUAGUAUUGAAUCUAGUGAAAACCAAUAUUGAGAAGAUACCAGAAAGCAUUAUCCAACUUUUUGUGUUGGGAUGCCUCCUUUUAAAUUAUUGUGAGGUGCAUCACGAAUCCUUACCAAAGCCUCCAUUCCUUGUACGAUGGUUAGGUGCCGAUCAUUGCCCGAUACUACAAUCAUUAAUAGGUUUAUUCUCUAAGUUCUGAAUCUUAUAAGCAGUGAUUUUUGACCAAAGCAAUAAUUUUUAAUUGGAAGGUAAUUCUACUGCAGGAAUUAUUGAAGAUUCUCAGAGAAGUGAGCAUAUGGGCCAUGUGGUAGCUGCCCGUUGGAAAGAAGUACGGGAAAAGGUGUGUCUUAACUCUCUCUCCUUACUUUAUACAACAUUUGUUUUGUUUAAAAUUAUGAUUUUUUGGUGCAGAGAGGUAUUCCCAUGGAAAAAAGUCAUUUUGUACUAGUUGGGAAUGAAAUUCCAAGGUGGUUUAAUUUUCAAAGUGUGGGAUCUUUUAUAACCUUGGAGAUGCCCCCAGAUUUCUUCAAUAACAACAGAGUACUGGGCUUUGCAUUUAGUGCAAUUUUAGCAUUUUCAGACCGUCAUGUAGAUUGUGGCAGAUGGUUUUCAUUUUCUUGUGAGCUCAAAGUGAAAACCAACAAAGAUUGUGAUCUGCAUGACAAACGGUUAUUUCAGAGCAGAGUUAAUUAUAUAGAAUCAGAUCACUUACAUUUUGGGUACUAUCUGUUCUGUGAAGAGGAUUUUAAUGGUUUUUGGAAAAGCAAUUCCAUUCCUGAGGCCGUCCACUUUAAUGUUUUUCCGCCUUUGAAGUGUGAGUGCUGCGGGGUGAAAAAAUAUGGGAUCCAUUUAGUUUGCCUCCCAGAUUCUACGAAUUCAAUGGACGAUCCAAGCACAUGUUUCAACGAUAACGAAGAAGACUAAGAUUUUCAUGAAUAUAUUUUUUUUUUGCUUUCCUUUUUCUAAUCACUAUUAAUAAUAGGAAAAAAUGUCAAAAUCAGUUCUUGGAACAAAACAUUCAUGUAAUAACUUUCGAGGGAUCUGGUGCAUGUGACACAGAUUCACACUAGAGCAUUGAACUUUACCUUAUUAGAUGAAGAGUAUGUUGUAUGAAAAGCACAUGAUGUAUUAUAAAAUUAAAAUUAUUGGCCUAUUUCCUGCUUUGCACACGCAACCCAUGACGAUUUUGUUAUUGAGCUUUGUAACCCAAAACACAUCUACUUAGUUAGGAGAGUACAUGACUUAUAAACAAGUAAAAAAAACUCACUUGCUAGUGAUGUGAGAUAUUUCAUGACGUGCAGCAAGUUCUUAUUGGCAGAGCUAUGUUGUGGGCCCAUAUCUCUAUCAAUGAAAACAUGUCACUCACCCCGUUGGCGCACUAUAUCAACUCUCAUGUAUAUAACACAAUCACAUUUGACAAUUUUCUAUUUCUUAAAUCUAAAUUGUUGUAUAUGGGAAGUUUCAUCAUUGGGAAGCAAAAGCCAUAAAGAGGGAACAGUCAAAACACCAUCAAAUCUAAUAUAUUUUAAAAAAUAUAUUUGUAUACUGAUUAAAAAAAGAAGAAAGAACAGGAUAGGUGUCAUUUUGACUCAACUCAUUUGUGUUGUGAAUCCAUUUGCUUAAACAUGUAUGCACUUUUUCAAGUAUCUAUACCAAUUCCAUAAUCGGAAUGGUGCAUUUGAUUCCAUAGUUGACAUGGUAUCGUCAUAUGGCUAGAAUUUAAUUACCGUUAAAAAACUGACCUGUAAGGAAAGGAUUAAAGAUGCCCGUGAACUUAUAUUUCUAUUUAGAUUAUUUUAUUUUUUCCAUGUGUAAAGUUGAAUCCUAUUAACAUGAGCGAUAUAAAUUACUAAAUCGUUGUUCUCUAUUCUUUAGAUUGCUGUAUCUUUUUCAUGUAAAAAAUCGAAGCCUUUCAUUAACAUAUCAUUAACAUGAGCAAUAUAGAUGACUAAAUCAUUGUUCUUUACUAUUGUGCUGAAUUUGACUUUUUGAAGCGAGUUAGACUUUUCAUUGAAUUAUUUGGUACAUUUCUUGAAUCAAUUUGGAGCUUCUGCAACACGUCAGGGAUUAGUAUCUCCUACAUUCCUUUCAGUGCCAAAAGAUAUUCAAGCAGUUGAAUAAGAAUUGAUAUAUACAAUGUAAAUACUAGAAUUGUUUGUCAUUUUACAAAUGAUCAACAAUUGCCUUGUUGUUCAUGCUGCCACCAGCACAAUUCAACAAAACAAGCCCUCGAACAAGUGUUUGACUGGAUUCUUAUGGUAGAAAAUAUAGCAGGUUUAUCGCAAACCAUAGUUACCGAAAAGGCUAAUUAAGUGCGGGUGUUUUUUUGCAAGCAAGAUGACUAAUAUCUGAUGCCCAAGAGGAAGUUAAAUUAAUAUACCUGAGGCAGCAAUAACACAAGUAGAGAUGGUCAAUGCAAGGCCCAUGCGUGCUUGUGCCCGUGCAGUGCCCAUUAUAUGUUUCGUGCCGUGCCAUAAUUUUUUUUGCUUAGGACAGGGCCGGCACACGUGUCAUGUCUAUUAGUGCCGUGCCGACACAUGCCUUGCCAUGGGCUGUACCGUGCCGUGCCAUGCCUAAGAAAAAAAGCCCAAUAAACUUUUUUCUUUUUUUUAAAUUUUUUUAAGAGCACAUGCUAAACUGUUGGUGUACUUUUUUCAAGUAUAUGUAUUCUUUCUUGGGUCUAUGUCUUUAUUCAAAUUUAAUAGAAUCGAAAAAAUUCAAAAUUCAAGUUCAUAUUUAAUAAUAAUAAACUAAUAAUAGUAAGAAAAUAUAAUAUUAAUUAUUAAGUUUGACCUUAUAGUAUUAGAAUUUUCUUAAUACUUAACAACAACAAUAAUAAUAAAUUUUUUUUAAAGGUUAACUUAAUUGUUAACUUGUGCUUACAUAGAGUUAUAAAUCAUAGUUCAUAAUAAUAUUAAUGCAUAUUUAUAAAAUCAUGAUAUUUAUAAUUUUAUUCAUUAAAAUCAUGAUAUCAAUUAUUUAUUUAAUAAAUUAUAAAUAUAAAUCAAUUAUAGUAUUUUUUAAACUAAGAAUUUAAUGAAUUUAAAAAUUCAAUUUCAAGUUAUUUGUAAAAUCAUAAAAUUUUAAGUUUACCUUCAUUAAAAAAUAAAACGUGCUUAUUGCAGCCUUUUUUAUCGUGUCGUGCUUAGCUCAUCUCUAAUCGUACCGUGUUUUUAAGGCAUGUGUGCGUAAAAUUCUAAGUUCGGCCUGGCAGAUGUGUGUGCCGUGCCCCGCGCCCUACCGAAAUGUGCUCGUGUAUUGCCGUGCCACGUGCCGUCCGACCCAUUGGCCAUCUCUAAACACAAGUUAGGCUUCGAACCGAAUUACGUAUAAGCACAGCUGGCUUCUAAGCAACUUCAUCCAAGAAAUCCAACAUUAGCUGUAUCGAUGAGUCUCACUCAAGUUAGCAAGGAAAAUAACCUAAGGUCGAGCGAUUGAUGAUAUAAGUAUAGGAGCUGUCAUAUUUGACCCCCUUAUUAUAUUUUAUUAGCCCCAUUAAUCACUUUUAUAUAAAUAGUUUUUACUCUUUAUCUUUAUAUGAAAUAACUUGAAAGGAAAAUAAGUAAUGAUCCUUAGCGUUUGUGGAUGCCAACUAUAUGUACACAACAGUAAAUAGUAUAAAAACUAGUACAUUAUAAAAAAAAUCACUACAAAAUAAAAAUUAUUUUUGUCAUUUGUGCCUGUGUUAUUUUUAUUACAUGUAAUAUUAUUGCACGGAUGCGGGAAGAAAAAAUUUGGGGUCAAUUUGUUGUAAGCCCCAAAUGCAACCGAAGAUCCAAGCGCAAGUUUCAAACCAAACCAACGCAAAGUUUGCGCGGCAAUCCAACUCAACCCAACUAAAAUCAUUUUAAUUUGAUUAUAGUUUGGGUUGACUUAAGCUUUGAUAAAUUCGCAUGUUAUAUAACACAAUUAAAAUAAAAUAUCAUUUGUCAUACAUUUUAUUCAUUAAAAACAUAGUAAAAAAAAUUUCAAAAAUUCAGUGGCGCCCAACGUCCUUUCUGGUAUCUUUGUGGGCAACACGUACGUGGUGUCUUCACUAAGUGUUGAAUCUUUAGCUUCAAAGGAAAGAAACAAAAAAAAAAGGUAGGGAUAUUUCCACCCCAUUAUUUUUGUAAAUUCACACCACUUUUAUAAAAUAAUUAUAAUGAAUUCACAAUAUUUUUAAAAAAUACAAAUUAAUCAAAAUUGUGUAUAGUUAAUCAAUUAAAUCAUUCUAUUAUCUUACUUCUUAGAUUUCUUUGACUCUAUUUGAUCAUGAACUCUGAUAUAAAUUUUAUUUUUCUAUUUUAUUAUUAUGAUAUAAAACAAAAAAAUUGCCUAACUAACAUGAGUUAUUGUAUCUAAUAAUUUAUGUAUUUAAUUAUGUGAACUAAUAUUUUAAAUGAAAUCUAAUUAUUAUUUUCACUACCUUACAAAUAAAUGAUAUAAAUUUGACAAGCUAAUAAUUUACAUGAGUAUUGUGCCAUAAAGACAUUAUGUUUGUUUAAUUAAUGUUUUAUAAUCAUACUAAUAAAGUAGUAUUAGAAAUAAUGAAUUUGGUAUAAAAUUAGAAAAUAUUGAAGUUAAAGAAUUAGUUUUACCUUAUAAGGAUAAAAUAAUCAAUUUAGACUUAUGUCAAAGCAAUCUUUAUGAUCAAAUAUAAUAAAAAAUAUUUAAGUCACAAAAAGUAAAUUAAGAUAGAUUUGUUAAUUUGUUCUCCAAAGUUCUUUUUUAUUUAAUUUUUUUAAAAAAUAAUGUGUACUUUUUGUAAUUAUUUUUUAAAAAUGGAGUGGAUUUGGAGAUAUCAUUAGCCAACAAAAAAUUUAGUAAGGAUUAAUUUGAUAAUUGCCCAUAAAAAGAAGGCAUAUGUGCAUGUGGUGGUAGGGAAGCGUUUUUCCAUUCUACAAUUACAUGUAAGAAUCUAUUAUAAAAAAUUUAUCAGUUCUUCACUCCACUAAAAUUUAUCAGAGAAUGAGGUGAAAAAUAUGGGCCAAAUAAAACUAUUAACAUAUAAAAAAAUUUAAAUUAUUAAAAAUAAUAACUAAAAAAUACAUAUUUGUUAAGAAUUUUGGAAUUAUUUUUCUUUGAGUAAUGAUACUAUAAUUCAAAAGACGCUUUUUGAAUUACAUCAGAUUUUUUAUUCAAAACGAACAAAGGGAUUAUAUUUUACCAUUUAGGAAAUAACUAUAUUUAGUAGAGAUAAUUUUGGGAUAUAUCAUUUACUUUCUAUUGAGACAUUUUCAUAUAUUAGAUAAAAGUUACAAAAGUUUACAUUAAAAAAAAAGAAAAAUUAGACUUCACACGUUUAACAAAUAACCCGAAGGAGUAUGAAUAAGAAUUAUUAAAAUAAAAAUGAUAAAUAAGGAUAAUUUUAAAAUUAAAUGCAAUUAAUGGAGAGAUGAUGACUGAUAAGAAAACUUGGGGGGCAAAAAUUAAAAUAUCAACCUACUACUCAUGGUUGAUAGUCAUGACCCACUCAAUUUGAGAAUUAAAAGCACAAAAGCCAUGUGUUGAAAACUUUGGUGUUCAUGGGGAAAUUUCAGCAAAAAGUCUAAAAAGCAGUGAAAUUAUCUUGCAGUGCACGGUGCCGGGACAAUGAGAUGAAGUUGAAAAAUUAUCACGAAAAAUUCCAAGGAAGAGUGCCAAUAGUCUUACUCAUAACGCCGUGUCUAACUCAAAACACAGAGUAGGAGUUCUAUGAAAGUAACGGAAGAGUGCCAAUAGUCUUAACUCAUAAUUUCAACUGAAAAAAUCUGCCAAGUCGAAAAAUUAGGUGGGCAUUCCAAUAACCCUUGAAUAUUCCACGAAUCAUUGUCCAGGAAGCUUGGAAAAUGAGCUAUCAGGUCAAUAUAUGCUGCAGAGUCACGCUCAUUUUGGCUUUGUAAUUGUUUUCAUCUUAUCACAAUCUCUCUCUAAUCAAUUCAACUGCUUCUGUUGAUUAUGGCUUCUUUUUCUGGAAACAACAAGAAGUAUGAUGUUUUUGUUAGUUGCAGCGGAGAAGACACCUGCGACAGCUUUACUAGCCAUCUCUAUUCAGCCCUGUCUCGACAAAAUAUCCAAACUUUCAUUGAUGACCAACUUAACAGAGGAAAUGAAAUUUCAGAGUCACUUGCGAUUAAAGCAUCAGCCAUUUCGGUUAUCAUUUUCUCUGAAGACUACGCUUCUUCCAGAUGGUGUCUUGAUGAACUUGUGGAGAUCCUCGAGUGCAAGAAAUGUUGUGCGCGGAAUGCAGAAUCAAGCGAACCAAAUAAUUAUAGAAAAAUAAAUGACACAAGAAUUACGUGGUUCGGUAAUUAAACCUACAUUCACGGAGGCAAGAAAGAAUAAUUGUUUAUUUAACAAUUAAUAGAGUACAAAUAUUUGAGUAACGAAUCUCACUUCCUAGAAACCCAAAUAUACCCAGUACUCUCACACUCUGCAGGAAAGAUAAAUUCCUCAGACACACUUCUCUCAAAAGCUUAGAAACUUAUAAGCUUAACAAUUUUGGGAUGAAAUGGAAUGAAGAAAUGCUCUCUAUUUAUAGGCUUAAAGCUAGUACUAUUCCACCUAACCCAUGCAAAUAUGUCAAUAGUGUCCAUUUGGCAAACUUGACAAAUUUGCCAACUUUUCAUUUUUUCUUCAAAUGUUUGGUAGCUCUUUGAAAAAUUGCAUGCUUUCUUGAAUUUCAUGCCACGUGCAUGAUUUUUCAACAAUUCUCCACUCGGCGAAAAUUUGUCCAAAUUUGAGCCGACUACCAACGAACCAUCAUCCCCAAAGUGGCUGCAUCUCUGUGACUGUCUACGUACCCAAAAUUUGGGAUCAAGCCAACCGUAGUUCAAAAUUCCCGAAGGACAUAUCUUAACACAAGCGAAGGAUUUGAAUUAGUUUCAAGCAAUGUUGAAACUUAACUCCAGAAACUACCCUCGUCAACAUAUCUGAUGGAUUAUCUUUGGUAUCGAUCUUUCUCAACAAUACAACACCGCUCUCGAUAAUCUCUCUCACAUAAUGAUAUUUCACAUCUAUGUGCUUCGUUCGAGCGUGAUAUGUUUGAUUCUUCGCAAGGAAUAUCGCACUUUGAUUAUCAUAGAAGACCGCAAUGUUCUCUUGGAUUACUCCCAAAUCACCUAACAAGCCUUUCAACCAGAUAACUUCUUUUACAGCUGCAGUUGCUGCCAUAUACUCUGCUUCCGUAGUGGACAGAGCAAUUGUCGAUGGCAAAAUCGACCUCCAACUAACUGGAUCUCCACCCAAUGUGAAUACGUAGCCUGUUGUUGAUCUUCACUUGUCAAGGUCUCCAGUGAAAUCAAAAUCACAAUACCCAACACAUUGUUGACCACAAUCCUUCUUGAACAAUAACCCAACAUCAACUGUCCCAUACAGAUAUCGGAGAAUCCACUUUACCUCAAGCCAUUGAUUUUUACCUGGAUUGUGCAUGUAUCUACUUACCAUGCUCACUGCUUGAGAUAUAUCGGGCCUUGUGCAUACCAUAGCAUACAUAAGACUACCCACGGCACUAGCAUAUGGAACACAAGCCAUGUAAUCGCGCUCUUCUUGAGAUCUAGGACAUGAAGAAGAGCUUAAUUUGAAAUGAGGAGCUAGAGGUGUACAUACCGGUUUAGUUUUGUCAUCCAUACUGAAUCUUUCUAGCACUUUCUUCAAAUAAUACUUUUGAGUCAACCAUACGCUCCCAUUCUUCUUGUCUCUACGAAUCUCCAUCCCAAGUAUUCUCUGUGCAUCACCCAAGUCUUUCAUCUCGAACUCAGAAGCCAGCUGCUUCUGUAAUCUUUCGAUCUCAUCUCUAUUCUUCGAAGCUAUAAGCAUAUCAUCGACAUAGAGUAACAAAUAGAUGAAACCUCCAUCUGGUAGUCUUCUAAAGUAAACACAAUGAUCGUGUUCACUUCUGGUGAAUUUCUACCCUUGUAUAAAUUGAUCAAAUCUUUUGUACCACUGCCUUGGCGAUUGCUUCAGUCCGUACAAAGAUUUAAUCAACCUACACACAUGAUUCUCCUUUCAGCAACUCUGAAACCACAAGGUUGAAUCAUAUAAAUUUCCUCCUCCAAAUCUCCAUGUAAGAACGUCGUCUUAACAUCCAACUGAGCCAACUCUAACUCAUUUUCUGCAACUAAAGCAAGUAGGAUACGAAUGGAAGUAUGUUUUACAACUGGAGAGAAAACUUAAUUGUAGUCAAUACCUUUCUUUUGAGCAAAACCUUUUGCCACGAGCCUUGCCUUGUAUCGAGGAGUUGAUUGAGUCAGAGAUGCUUGCUUUUUGGUGUAGACCCAUUUAUUGCCAAUAGCCCUUUUCUCCUUUGGUAAUUUUACAAGUUCCCAAGUCUGGUUUUGAUGGAGAGAUUUCAUCUCUUCCUCCAUGGCUAACUUCCACUGAUCACUUUCGCUACUAUGUAAUGCUUCACCGAAAGUGUUGGGGAUGUCAUCAUCAAUAACUGGAAGUGCAUAGGCUACCACCAGAGCUUUAGUAAGUCAUCCGGGUUUCUUUAUCUCUCUUCUUGGCCUCCUUGUUGCUAUAAAAUCAUCAUUAUCUACAUCAUCAAUUGUUUCUUCAUUUUGUGGGACAUCAGAAGAAACAACCUCUUCUUCAACUCUAGGUGUCACCUCCAUAGUUGAACCAUUCUUUGAUGUAGAACUAACUGGUACAUAUAGAGUUGCAUCAAACUCCACCCGCUGCAAUACCUCUUUGGUCUUGUUCUCCACCUGCUGAGAACUUGAAGCUUUCAUUAUUGAAGCUUCAUCAAAUGUGACAUCUCUACUACACACAAACUUUUUAUCUUCGAGAUCCCAAAGCUUAAAGCCCUUUACUCCACGUUUGAAUCCCACAAAGAUAGCUUUUUUAGCACGAGGAUCCAGUUUACCAUCUUUAAUAUGAUAAUAAGCUGGACAUCCGAAUAUACGAAGGGAAUCAUAGUCUUGUGCAUGCUUUCCAGACCACAUUUCUAUAGGAGUUUUACCUCCAAUUGCAGUAGAAGGCAACCGGUUUACCAAGUGACUUGCGUAGCCCACAGCUUCAGCCCAAAACUUUUUAUCUAAACUAGCAUUAGAUAACAUACACCGUACCUUCUCCAGUAAAGUAUGAUUCAUACGCUUAGCCACACUGUUCUGUUGUGGAGUAUGUCUCAUCGUGAAAUGUCUUUUAAUAUCCUCAUUCUGGCAUAAUUGCAAGAAUGGAUCAGAAGUAUAUUUACCCCCAUUAUCAGAUCGUAAUACUUUGAUCUUUCUGCCAGUUUGAGUCUCCACCAAUUUCUUCCAUUUCACGAAAAUCUCUAGAACCUCAUCCUUUGCUCGCAUGGUGUACACCCACACACGUCUAGAGAAAUCAUCAACAAAUGUAACAAAAUAAUGGCUUCCACCAAUUGAUGCAGUCUUGGUUGGUCCCCAUACAUCACUAUGAACAUAUUCAAGGAUCUCACGAGUAUCGUGAUUAGCUGUACCAAACUUGACCCUUGUUUUCUUGCCUACUACACAAUGCUCACAGAAAUUUAAUUUACAAGUUUUGGUACCUUUUAAGAAUCCAUGCCUCAUCAGAUUUUGCAAAAACUUCUCUCCAGCAUGUCCUAGUCGUACAUGCUAUAACUUGGUGGUGUCACUGUGCGCCUCAACAACAUUUGCUUCAUCAGUUGUGCCUUCCUUCAAAUAGUACAGAUUGUGACACCGAACCCCUUGUAGAAUCACCAUAGCCCCAUGUGUAAACUUCAUUAUACCAUUUUCAAUGGUAACCUUGUAGCCUCUUGUAGCCUUUAGCUUCCAAAGCACCCAUAGAAAUUAGAUUUUUCUUUAAAGCUGGAACAAAUCUAACCUCUUUGAGUUCUCUGACCAUUCCAUCAAACAUUUUGAGCCGAAUUAUUCAUAUCCCCCUUGUGCGACAAGGUUGAUCAUUCCCCAUCACAACUGCACCGGAUUCCAGAUUACGAAAAUCUGUAAACCAUUCCUUAAUAGGACACAAAUGAUAGGUUGCUCCAGUAUCAAGUAUCCACUCGCUCGAACUAGCCACGUAUACUACAGGAGUAAUACUUAGUGAAUAAUCAGAGUCUUCAUCUUUCCGUGCCAUGUUUGCUACUGCUAGUUUUUUCCCAUCUCUCUUUUGAGCCUUUGGACAAUCUUUCCUCCAAUGGCCCUUUUCAUGACAAAAGGCACACUCGUCUCGAGCUAUAUUUCUGCUUCUCGAUUUGGAUCGAGAAUUCUUUCCACCACGCUUUUUCUUUUUCUCCAUCUCCCAAUCUCUGCUCACCAAAGCUUCAGACGAUGCUCGUUCAGAAUUUUUAUUAUUAUUCUAAAUCUCCAAGUUAGUCAAUGUUGUACAAACAUCUUUGAAGAUGAUCACGCUUUUUCUAUAUAUUAAGGUAGUCACAAAAUGCCUAUAUUGCUCUGGUAGUGAGUGUAACAAAAUCAUAGCCUUGACUUCAUCCUUAAUACCUUCAUCAAGAUUCUUCAAAUCAGCAAGUAACUUUUCAAAUCUUAAGACAUGAUCGUGCAUUGACACCCCAGGCUUCAUUCGAAAACCAUAUACUUGGCUCAUUGCAUGAAGGCCAUUUUCAGGACUUUUCACCAGGUACUUCUCCUCCAAUGUACGCCACAAAGUCACCGCACACUCCUCAUCUUUCACCAAGUAUUUCACCUCCUUGGUCAAACAAAAUCUGAUCUGACCACAAGGUUUCUCGUUCAUACGAUCCCAAAUUUCUUCAUCAUACAAGUGUCUUUUAUUUUUCAAAACAACAUCAAGAUCGAUUUAAAUAAGGGCAUCCAUAGCUUCGCGCCUCCACAUGCCGAAGUUGAUUUUCCCAUCAAACUUUUCAACAUCGAUUUUCUGGCCUCCUAUAACAGGUGCUGAAUAGCGAUUUGACAAAUCUCGCCUCCACCUGAAGUGUCUCCUGAAAUAGUCUCAGUAGAUCUCUCCCCAAUUCUGGAAGUUUCACCUUCUACCAUUUUCUCAAUGAACUAUUUCCACUUGAAAAACAGUCUCUAUGAUGUUAAUUUCUCAUGAAUAAAUGCACCAGGAAAGUUUCCAGGAGACUGGACGGGAACUCGGUCCCAAUUAAAAGCCAGAAUCCUUAGACUCUUAUCGUCUUUGUUGACAGAACUUUCCUAGACAUGCAAAAAUAUACACUACUUACAAUAGAUUGUCUCCCAAGUACAAAUGGCCGUCUCCACCGUAUUCGUGAACAGUACCGUAUGUGAACAGUACCGUAUACGGGAAUAGUACCGUAUAUGUGAACAGUACCGUUUCCCCCCAAUUACGAACCGUCGGCUCUGAUACCACUUGUUAUGCGCGGAAUGCGGAAUCAAGCGCACCAAAUAAUUAUAGAAAAAUAAAGGACACAAGAAUUACGUGGUUCGGUAAUUAAACUUGCAUCCACGGAGGCAAGAAAGAAUAAUUGUUUAUUUAACAAUUAAUAGAGUACAAAUAUUUGAGUAACGAAUCUCACUUCCCAGAAACCCAAAUAUACCCAGUACUCUCAUACUCUGCAGGAAAGAUAAAUUCCCCAGACACACUUCUCUCAAAAGCUUAGAAACUUAUAAGCUUAACAAUUUUGGGAUUAUAUGGAAUGAAGAAAUGCUCUCUAUUGAUAGGCUUGAAGCUAGUACUAUUCCACCUAACCCAAGUACUAUUCCACCUAACCCAAGCACUAUUCCACCUAACCCAUGCAAAUAUGUCAAUGGUGUCCAUUUGGCAAAUUUGCCAACUUUUCAUUUUGUCUUCAAAUGUUUGGUAGCUCUUUGAAAAAUUGCAUGCUUUCUUGAAUUUCAUGCCACGUGCAUGAUUUUUCAACAAGAAAGAGCAUGCACAGAUUGUGUUACCGGUUUUCUAUCGCGUUGAUCCAUCAUACGUGAGAAACCAAACAGGGAGUUUUGGGGAUUCAUUUUCAAAGCUUCAAGAAAGAUUUAAGCAAAAUUUGGAGAAGCUGCAGACAUGGAGGAAGGGAUUGAGAGAAGCGGUCGGUUUGUCUGGAUUUCAUUAUCGUAGCAUCAGGUGAAAAGUUACUUUUAAUUUCUCAUGCUAAUUCAUGCAGCACUCUUAGUUAAAUUUCCGGAUGCUAAACUACAAUUUUAAAUUUUUUUUAGGUAUCAAAUUCUAGGCUUCUUGACUUCCCCACUUUUGAACCCCGAUAAUUAUGAAAGAACUUUGACAGAAUUAAUAAUAAAAGACCAAUAAUUUUACAAUAUAUUUAACAAAAUUAAUGGUGGUCUGUCGUUGUUUAAGCAAUUUCAACCUCACAUACCUCCAUCAGGAAAAAAAAAAGAAGUCACACAUACUCCUAUAAUUUAAGAGUUAUUAAUUUAUAGGGAGAUUGUAGUGGUAUAUAUUAAUUUCAAUUGGAAAACGAGCAAGCUCCCUUAUUUCAUAUUUCAUGCAAAUCCCUCCUAUUUGAAGUUACUGCUGCUAAUUUUAUGUAUUUGGUAGGCCUGAAUCAGAACUUAUAAACGAAGUUGUUAAUCACAUUUUGAAGAGACUGCUGGAAGAAGUGUUUCGGCCGCGUGAUAACAAAAGCCAGCUGGUUGAAGUGGAAUCAAGAGUUGAGGAAAUUGAAUCUCUACUAAGUGUUGAGUCGAAAGAUGUUUACGCUUUAGGGAUUUGGGGCAUUGGUGGUAUAGGCAAAACAACAAUCGCUAGAGCUACUUUCGACAAAAUCUCUAGAUAGUUUGAAGGUUCUUGCUUCCUUGAAAAUGUUAGAGGAGAGUCACAAAGAACGGGAGGAUUAGCUUGCUUGCGACAAAAACUUAUUUCAAAUUUAUUGAAGGAUGAAAAUGCGAUUCCUAGUAUUGACCUCAAUUUUAGAAGGCUCAGCCGGAUGAAGGUUCUGAUUGUUUUUUAUGAUGUGACUUGCUUCAGCCAAUUGGAAUCUUUAAUGGGAAGCCUUGAUUGGUUGACGCCAGUGAGUCGAAUCAUAUUAACCACUAGAAAUAAACAAGUGCUUAGAAAUUGGGGGGUGAGUAAAAUAUAUGAGAUGGAGGCAUUAGAAUAUCAUCAUGCUCUUGAGCUUUUUAGUCGACAUGCCUUCAAACGAAACCAUCCUGAUGUUGGUUAUGAGAAACUUUCAAGCAACGUAAUGAAAUAUGUUCAAGGAGUUCCUUUGGCUCUUAAAGUUUUAGGUUGCUUUCUAUAGAAAAGGGAAAAAGAAGUCUGGGAAAGUGCAAUAAAUAAAUUGCAAAGAAUCCUCUAUCCAAGUAUUCUAGAGGUAUUAAAAAUAAGUUAUGAUGGUUUGGACAAUAAAGAGAAAAAUAUUUUCCUUGGUGUUGCUUGUUUCUUUCAAGUGAGGAUGUAAAUCUAGUAAUGAAAUUCCUUAUUGCAAGCGGCUUCAACCUAGAAAUAGGAAUAAGUGUUCUAGUUGAUAAGUCUCUUAUUGUCAUAUCAAAUAACAACAAGAUAACUAUGCAUGAUUUGCUACAAGAAUUGGGUAGGGAUAUUGUCAGUCAAGAAUCAAAUGAUCCUGGAAACCACAAUUGGUUGUGGCAUCACGAGGAUAUCUAUGAAGUUCUUACAUAUAAUACGGCAAGCAAUUUGCUGUGGAUUAUUACUUUGGAAUAUUCUAGCAUUUACAAACUUGAUAUGGACAUAUCAAGUUUGCUCAAACUCUCGAAUUGAUGAAUCUAGAAUUAAUAGAAGAGUGAAAAUGAUUAGAAAAAAACAAUAGUGGUUAUAAAUGCCGUGACAACUUGUAUAAUUCUUUGUAAGGAUAAUUUAUAAUGUCAAUUUGUUUUGUAUCCCACAUGCGUAAAUUUCAUGUUCAGUAUUACUUGUAUUAUUAUGUUCCUUCGUUCGUUUGCAAUUAAGAGUUUCAGUGCCUAGCAAUAACUAUAUAAACAUGAAUUACUGAAAUUUGAUUAGAGCAAUGAUAAAAAUUUUGCUGCUUCUGAUACAGAUCCCUUGACUGCGAAAAUUAGAUCAAGCUGAGCUUGCAUUCCCCAUAGUUAACCCAAAAAAAAAAAAUAAUCAUUACUAUGACUUAAAUUUUAAUAGAAAACAAAAAACGAAGCAAGAGUGAAUAGAGUAAUACCAGAGCAAAUUUAGGAUUGUUAGGUCGAAUUUGUGGACCAACUUCAGAACAUCUAAUAGUAAACUUAGGAGGAAGGAUUUGAAGAAGCUGCGGCGGCGGCGAAUACGCAUCAAGAUUCACACUGCUCCUCACUUUGAGGCCAAAAGAGUGCGGAGGCGCGACAAAGCUGACGCGCGAUUCUUGUGCUGCGAUCGGUCUUCGGCGGCCUGCGCUAUGACGCCGUCGGUACGUGCUUGAGACGUACGGCGGAUUCGCGCUUGUUGCGGUGCUGACCGCCUGGUCCCGACGAUUUGUACGUGUCCAUUUCGCAUUCGCGAAAUAGCUCAUCGUCGGUCAAUUCGAAGUAAUUCUUCUUCGAAGAACAAUUGUCAUUGUAAUUGCAAGACAAGAACAAUGGCUGAUAAUUCCUGCGAUGCCUGUACGACGAAAAGUUUAUAUUUUUCCUUCCGAGUUGGGGAAUUCAAAGGCUGAAUUGAGCGGCCAACGUCAUCAUCAAUUUCAAUUUCGUAUGUGAUAAUCAAAGCAAAGCUUCGUACUAGUAAUAUUUGAACAAUCUUCAUUUGGCAGGCCCAGCCCAAUCCAGCCCAGUCCAGCAAGUGAGCAAUGUUAUCAUUUUUGAACUCGUGGCGGUUCUGUAUUAUUUGCAAAUUAUUUGCAAAAUACUCUUUUUAAGGGAGAGGGAUAUAUUUGAUGCUAGAAUAUUUUUAAAAUAAAUGGUGCUUUUAAAAGGUGUACGACUGUAAAGAUAUGUCUAAUUAAACAGUGUCAUAUUUAAUAAAAACAUAUUCUUUUAUUUAAAGAUGCAUCCAUUCACGGUUUCUUGUUUUAGUUUGAAAUGACAAUAGUUUAUUUUGGACCAAUGAUGAUCUAAUUCAAAAUUUGAUUUAAUAACCAUGAAUGAAACAACCACUUUCUGGUAGUUCUCUUAAACUUUAUUAAGGAAUCUAUGUUGAAGGCUGUUUCAUUCUUUAGUGUUGUUAAAAAUACAUUUUACACUCUGAAAUUUAAAAUGACCUUUUUUUAAAUAAAAUUUAAAAACAAAUGCCUUUAACUAAGGAAGAAAUUUUAGAAUGCAUCAGAAAUACCAUGUCAGUCAUACAACAAGUGAAUCAUGCUCGACAUAUGUGCACUUAUUUUAAAAAAUUAUCAUGCAAAUGAUGGUUACAUUAAAUCUAAAUAUGUAUAUAUCAUAGAUGACACAACCUGCCUCAACCCUUUUGCUGGAUCUGAGGUGAAUCAUGCAAUUUUAUAUCUAAAGUUCAUGACAUAAACUUAAUUCAUGAAUAUAUAACACCAGCCUUGGCCUUUCUUAUAAACAUAUAAUAAUCUAUGUGCCUCAUUAAAAAAAAUAUAUUCAAAACUUGCAUAGUUCACAUCUCACUGUACAUACAUACACUUCAGAUACAGACAUAUAAACAUAAACGUGGUCAAAAUGUAAGUCAUGCAGUAAUGCGUGCGUGGCCCAACCUCAAUUGAUUAAAAACUGAACUGCACAAAAUCCUAUAGAAACCUUAGAGAAAUGGGGUAAAUAGGAAAAUAACAAGCUUGCAGCUCAAUGAAUGAAUAUAAUUCUAUAUAAAAAUAAAUUAGUGCUUUAGUGCUUGUACAUAAUUGUAUGACAUAACUUCAUACUGAACGCUUUACAAAAGCAAACAUGAACUCAUAUAUACAUACAUGAAAAAAUUGUACCAAAUAAUAUAUGGAGAAAUAACUCUCAAUACUCACUAGGAUCAUCGUCGCACGAGUAAAGUGGGGGAAAAAACCUCUCACUACUCAGCGAAAUUAACUACAUCAUAAGGGUUGAGUAAUUUAACUCUCAAUACUCAUGCGUAUAGCCUAUGGGGAAGGGUACACAUAUGGUGCUUGGCAAUCACAUCUCAUGACUCAAUCAAUUAUAUAAUGUACGUACAUAUAAUCACAACAUUAUACUAAAUCAUACUAUCAAAUAUAAAUGCUUUGUAGAAUACAUAAUAUGAAUAAUAAUAAUCCACUCAUAUAUCCUAUUUCACUCCGGGGUUUGUGAAGCGUGCACGUUCUUUACUUUAAGCUAACAGCUUGCUAUUGCUUUGACAAAUAACCACAUGUGCCUCCUUUUAGCUUGCACGUGCAUCACAAUACAUGCAUUAGAAUUGUUUGUAUUAUCAUAGGUCAAGCAUGAAUGUGCUUUGCUUUAAGCUAACAGCUUGCUAUUACUUUGACAAUUAGCCACAUGUGACCCAUUUUAGCUUACACGUGUGUUACAGCAAAUGCAUUAAAAUUGGUUGUAUUAUCUUUAAUAUGUUAUAAUUUUUUUUAAUCAUAAAAGGGCUCUUAAAAGAGCUAAGGCAAUACUAAACGGGAGUGUGCAACCCCACAAACAUCAUUAUGUAAUAUGCUAAACAUAUAUGAAGGAAUAGACUAAAAGCAAUAUAAACCCAAAGGAAAAGAAAAACUGUAAGAAGCAAGGAAAUCUGCUGCUACAUUGGCUUCUUGGUAGAUAUGGUCCACUUUGAUCAACCAAUCACGACAAAGGAGAUCAUGGAUGGCCCGAAUGAGAGUAAAAGGUUCAUUGAUAGGAGGCUUUGGGCUAGAGACUAACUGCAUAGCACACUUACUGUCAAUUUUCACUUGAACCCUAGGAAAACCAUAUUGCCAAGCAAUAGAUAGCCCGUGAAAUAAACCCUAGAGCUCAGCUGAAGUCAUUGAGCAAGUACCUAAAUUAGCACUGUAACCUGCCUGCCAAACACUCUGUAAUCACGGAUUAGCCCACCAGCUCCUGCAAUGCCUGAAGAUUUCUUGGCACCGUCUGUAUUUAAUUUAACCCAAGGCCAAACAGGAGUAGUCCAGCGAAUCCAUCUUUCAAUACGGCGCAUGCCAACAGCAAGAGGGGACAUAAUUCUUUUAACGAAGGAUGUAGCCAACGAUUUUAUCCGGUCGAACAUGUUCUUCGACUUAUAAUACUAUUUAUGGUUAAACAAUUCAUAAGUAGUUGAAAUUAAUUUUUUUUUGGGGUAGAUAAUCUCAAUUUUAAAAUACUUUAAAAGAUUUUCAAAGAUAAGAUACAAUGGUAUACAACUAAAGCCUAAUCCAACAUUGUUGAAAAGUAUGGUGUUCGUGUGGAAUUUUCAGCUAAAAGUCUACAAAGUAGCGGAAUUAAUCAAACGCCGUGGAGUGCACGGUGGUUGGACAAUGAGAUGAAAUUAAAAUAUCACCCUACUUAUUGCUGGCAGUUAUGAGCAUUAAAGCACAGAAGCAUGUGUGUUGAAAAGUAUGGUGUUCAUGUGGAAUUUUCAACUAAAAGUCUACAAAGUAGUGGAAUUAAUCAAUCAUCGUGGAGUGCACGGUGGUUGGACAAUGAGAUGAAAUUAAAAAAUUAUCACAGAACUUGAAGGAAGGUUCAUGGCAUCGAUUUAUUCUACAGAAUCGCGCACAUUUGGUUCAAAAAUUGUUUUCAUCUGAAUCAAAAUCUCUCUCUAAUCAAUUCAACUGUUUCUGUUGAUUAUGGCUUCUUCUUCUCAAAACAACAAGAAGUAUGAUGCUUUUGUUAGUUUCAGAGGAGAGG
This 142843-nucleotide long non-coding RNA is filed under the name Citrus x clementina. RNAcentral's name for it is "Citrus clementina (C. clementina) long non-coding RNA (CCLE_LNC004251)". The record is from RNAcentral. Lineage: Eukaryota; Viridiplantae; Streptophyta; Magnoliopsida; Sapindales; Rutaceae.